RNAcentral lists this long non-coding RNA (89553 nucleotides) under Ananas comosus (pineapple). Its description in RNAcentral is "long non-coding RNA (ACOM_LNC032441)". The record is from RNAcentral. Lineage: Eukaryota; Viridiplantae; Streptophyta; Magnoliopsida; Poales; Bromeliaceae.
CAAAAUCAUAUCUUCUAACCACUUGAUCCAACUCAAUUUAUUAGAAUUUCUAAUCUUUUUAUACUACAAAUUUUUAUUCAUAAUAUACAAUGUUGCUUUUAUUGUACCCGAAAAUAUCUAAUUGAAGUCAAACAUUAUAAUCUGUUUGGGUCAUUUGUUUGCUGCUGAACAAACCUCAAUAAUUUAUCUUUAUUAAAACUUGAACCUUAAAAUAUUUUGGUUUAUUAGGGCAAAAACUUUAAACAACAUGAUUAUUUUUCUAAAAAGAUAUUUUUGAACCUUUUUGGUAGCUUGUUCUAGUUAUCCUUAAUCUCUUUAUUCCCUCAACUAAAUUAUCUAACAUGGUCUUUGAGGACAAUUCUAAUCUUAAGUCAGAAAAGUUUAGAGGGGUAGGCUUUGUGGAGGUGGCGAGAACAAUUGGAGGUCUAGCUUAUUAUUCUAGGCCUCAUAAUUGCAAUUGGAAAAGCACCUCCCUAUUCUACUUCUAAAACUUCUUCAGCUGCUACUCCUGCAGAUUCUUCAAAACCAAACGAUUCUUCUAAAUCUGCUAUUACUUCAGUUACCGAACCUAAACUUGUUAGAUCCCUCAAGGAAAUUGAAUUUCAUUGUAGAUUUAGAAUACUUAGUUACCUAUUUGAUGAACUUUAUGAAACUUAUGAAAAAACCAAACGGGCAAAGAUUAUUGUAUGCCCUACAAGAUGCCUACAUUAGAGAUAAUGAGGGCGCUGCUAGGUUUUCAAUUAUUGAUUUUAACAAUUUUAGAAUGGUUUCUAUAAAUAAUUAGAUCCACGAAUUUCAAAAUUUUAUCCAAGAAAUUCACAGAAAUGGUUCAACCUUAGAUGAUAUCUAUUAGAAUAGAACCCAGGAAACUCUUAAACUUAGGUCGGCAAUCCAAGCUAUUAAAAUAGAAGACCAAUACUGACUUGGGGAGAUUAAACCGACCCAUAACCGAUCUAACAUAAACCUGGCUGAGAUUCAAAACCAGAGCCAUGAGCAUAAGAAAUUUUAAAUCUAUGGAUAAAGACUUUAAGGAUAGAAACCUGAAUUGAAAUUGAACCAUACCCAGAAGUCCAAUACCAACCAACUAGUGGGAAUAAAAGAAUGAUGGUUUUUAUUAUGUCUGUGGUCGGGGCAACCAUUUUGCUUCAAAAUGCUUUUAUCGAAAGCACGAGAAGAUUGCCUACGAGAACAAUCAAAACAACAAUCCUAAAUCCCAGGUUGACAUAAUUAAAGAUAAACCUUUCAGUUCUUAUUUUAGAUCAGUCUUCUAUAUACCCUGUAACGCUCCAAUAGUCCGAUAUCAGAUGGAAAAAUAAUUAUGAUAGAACAUAUGAGGUCUCUAUGCAAGCAAUAAUAACUAGACUUAAGCAUUUUUGACCGGUAGUUUGGGCCCGAUAAGUUAUUAUUGCUAGCGGGUCGGGUCAUUACAAUUAGUAUCAGAGUUGUAUACCAGCCAGAAGUGUGAGAGCUAAGUGUUAUGCGGGGCAAAGUGCGACACCAACGGGUUUGGUGCGAGCUACCUUUUGAACCCGUAAGAGCCAUCUCUAGAAUCUCACAUCACCUGGUAUAUCUGGUUUGUCUAUAAUCUAGGUUUUGACCCGACAAGGACGUCAGGAUCUAAACGGGGGGAGUUUGUAACGCUCCAAUAAUCCCACAUCGGAUGAAAAAAUCAAUUCUGAUUAGAAUAUAUGAGGCCUCCAUGCUAGUAAUAAUAAGUGGACUGAAGCAUUUCGGGCCGGUGGUUUGGGCCCGACGAGUUAUUAUUGCUAACGGGCCCGAUCGUUACAUACCCAAUGUUAACCUUAUUUAUUAUGAUUUAAAUUGGUGGUUAAACUCAGAAGCCAAUGUCCAUAUAUGUACUAAUAGGUCCCUAUUCUCCUCUUACCAGGACACAAGUGGAGGAUGUGUGACCUUCGGAGAAGAAAAACAGUCAAUGUGCUAGGGAUCGGAACAGUUAAGCUACAGUUAACUUCUGGAAAGACUCUGAUCCUUCACAAUAUGCAGCAUGCCCCCGAGAUCUGACAGAACUUGAUCAGUGGAUCUUUAUCAGUGCAGUCAGGAUAUAAGAUUUUAUUAGAGUUCAAUAAAGUUAUAAUUUUUAGAGGGAAAAUAUUUAUUGCAAAAUAUUUGUAUUUGAGGGAUUGUUCAAACUGAAUGUAUUUUUUUUUGCUAAUAAUAAAAAUUCUUCUACUUUUACUUCUUCUAUUAUUGUUUUAAAUACUAAAUUUUGUGAUGUAUGGCAUAGUAAAUUAGGGCAUGUGAAUCUAAGAUCUAUUCUGAAAUUAACCAAUCUUAAUCUUGCACCAAAACUCAAGAUUGAUCUUAAGUCCGAAUGUGAAAUUUGUGUGCAAACUAAACAGCCUAGAAAACCUUUUAAAUAUGUUUCUUAUAAAGAUACCCAAAUUCUUGAAUUGAUUCAUAAUGAUGUCUGUGAUUCUAAUAGGGGACUUAUUGAGUAGAUAUGCUAAUUACCCUAGUGUGACUCAUUGGAUUGUUUUUGAAAGAGUAUUUCAUUAUCUUAAAAGUACUCUCUCUUAUGCUCUUAGAUUUGUUGGCUAUCCUGCUAUAAUUGAGGAAUACAGCGAUGCCAACUGGAUUUCUGAUUCCUUAAAUAUCAAAUCCACUUUUGGUUAUGUACUUAUUGUUGGUGGUACUGCAGUUUCUUGGCAAUCCACCAAAUAGACCAUCAUAGCCAGAAGCAUAAUAGAGACCGAGUUGGUUGCUCUUGACUUCACUUAUCUUUAAGUCGAGCGGCUCACGAACUUUUUGUCAUCGAUUCCUUUAUUUUUCUUUCCUAUUCCACCUAUUUCUAUUAGGUGCGGCUCUCAAAUCGCAAUUGAUUUUUGUAGAAAGAAAUUGAUGAAUUUUAAGACUAGCAGACAUAUUAAGUUAAUACAUAAAUCUGUUAAAUGGUUAUCUUCUUAUGAUGUUAUUUUUUUGAGUUUUAUCAAAUCUUGAGUAAAAUCUUGAAAAUACCUUGACGAAAGAUCUGAGUAGGACUAAGGUCCUAAAGUCAUCGAGGGGGAUGGAACUUUGCAUAUAAAAGGCCUUCUUGCAGUAGGAGCUCAAUCUUUCUGAUAGGAGAUCCCUUAAAAAAAGUUCAAUGUGGUAAAAAUAAACUACCAGUUGGCCAAAGAGCACUUUCUACAGUUUUAUACAAGAGUUUUAGCUCCAAUCCCAUACCUAUGGUGACUAGUGCUAUGGAUAGUGGUUGAGGCUGAGCUUAUAGCUCUUAAUAGGAUCCAAGGCAAUAAUUUUCGCUAGACGUGACUUUACACAUAUUUUUGAAAAAGACCACCUAUAUAAGAGUAUCCGUAUAUGGCCGCGGCUAUGAGAUGUGGAUUAUCUAUUGAAACUCUUAUAAAAAAUAAAAAAGUAAAGAUACUGUGUAUGGCUAUUAAUACACAUACUCGCGAUGAAAAAUUUUGUACUGUGUGUUUGGUAGCUAAAAUUAGAACGAAAGAAAUGUAAUUCAAUAACUGAUUCAAUCCAAUUUCUUCUGAUGGAAGCUAUUUACACAAAGUGGGGUUAAGUCUUUUAAAGACACCUAACACAUUGGCAUUGCAUAGUAUAAACACCCAUUACUUUUUAUUUUAAUUCUUGUUUUUAAAAUUUUAAGUUUUGUGGGGGAUUGUUAAAGAAAAACUCAAAAUUUUGAAUUUUGAGUUUAUUUCAUUUGUAUUUUAUAUAUAUUUAAUAUUUACUAUUAUUUAUUAUUUAUUAUUAUUUAUUUAUUUAUUUUCUUAGUGUGAAAAAAAACCCAACAUGAAUUGUUUUUAUUCCAUUUCUUGCACCUAAACGUGGGUCGAGCAUUUUCUAACGUUUGACUCCCUUAUCUCCUAUAUAUUUUCAUCCCCCGUUCUUGAUGAAAGAUAUUAAAAGAAAAAAAGAUUAUCAUCUUCUCUCUGUUCUUACUAUUUUUCACAUUCUUUUUAUUUAUUAGGUAUUGAAAGAAUCUUCGUCAACCUCUGCCAUGAUAGCGCUCGCAAGGGGAACAAUUAUUAUCGUACCUUGGGGUGGUGUUUUCGGUUAAUCAAUCACGCACGAAGGACGGAAAUACACCUUAGGUCAGUGCUACGCAAGCUUCCGGAUCAAUUAAAUUUUUCCUGAAUUUUAGCAUUUAGAUGUAAGUUUUAAUUUUAUCUUUUCGUACUUUUACUACUAAAUUAGUUAGAUUUUGAUAACAAUUAGAUUUAGUAGUACAAUUUUUUUCUAUCACAAUCAUCUAUCACUCGUAGCAUGAACCAGGAACCCAAUUUCACUACAAGGAUUAUAAAACUUGGAAAAUCUAUAUAAACAACUAAUAAUUGGAUCAGCAGGGGAACUAUUGCAACAAAAACAGUAAUAUAUAAAAUAUUUGAACUCGCAUGUCCUUUUACGCUUAUGCAAGGAAGUACCUAACAUUUUAGAGUUUCUAUGGUAGGAAUUUCAUUACCAACAAGCUUAACAAUAGUGAUUUAACAUGCUACAUAAGAUUUUUCGACUUUUUGGUGACGGAAACUUCCGCAAAGACUAUGAAUGGAACAAUUUGAUAGUUUGCGCCUUUGUGUACAACAAAAUCAAAACUUAUAUGAGUGAGGCUACUAUGCUAUCGGAAGCACGGAGCCUUCCGUGCUUCCAGCUCAUUUUCGAUGUUGCGACUUUCGAAUCGUCGAUCGGCUCUGUUAAACUUGAUCUAGAGUAUUUGAAGUACCUAGAAAAUAAAUUUUAUGAUUUUACGAUAUCAUUUGCCUAGUGAAUGAAGGGGCUCAAAAUCAACGGCUGAAAAUAAAAAUCUUACAAAAUGUAAUAAUAUGACAUUAAAAUUUUAAAUCAAAGAUAUUGAUCUUAUUUUAUAUAGUAUAAAGAAUUUUCUAUCAAAAUUUCACGUGAUUUGGUUAUUUCUACACCGUUAAACUUGCAAACGGCUCACUACGGCCAUUGAAAUUUGUUGAUUUUGAGCCCAUUCGAUCACUACGCAAAUGAUAUCAAAAAAUAAUAAAAUUUAUUUUCUAGGUACUCUAAAUACUCUAGAUCAAAUUUAACGGAGCUGAUCGACGAUUCGAAAGUCGCAACAUCAAAAACGAGCUGGAAGCACGGAAGGCUCCGUGCUUCCGAUAGCAUAGUAGCCUCACUCAACUUAGGGAUCAAAGAUGAAACAUGAACAAUAGAUAUGCAUGCCCUAAUCAUUUCAUAGUGGCAUUAAAUCGAACACAAAGCAGGCAUAAUUUCUCAAUCUUCUUGCAAAAGAUUCUGGCGGUAGGACCAAAGAUCAAGACAAUUUUGAUAGUUUGAGGCUUUGAGCCCUCUAAUGCAACAAAAUAGAACUUAGAAAUCAGAGUGAAACAUGAUCAACAAAUUCACCCUAGUUAUUUCACACCGGCAUUAAAACAAACACAAAGCAAGCACAAUUGCUCAAACACUUUUACCAGUAUAUGAUCCGGCCGUAGGGAUCGAAUAUGUGCACCGCUUGCCCCAUCAACUGCAGAACCCUCAAGCACUGCCUCUCCGACAACCCACACGACACCACCGCCGGUGUCGACGCCGACCCCGCACGCGGCCUCACCGAACGCCCCGAGGGCACGGGCGCUGGCGCCGGCGCCGGCGUCGCAUCGGGAAGCGCGGCGCGGCCCAGUUCCGGGCUCCGGGAGGCGCCGUCGCCGCUCUCCACCUCAGCGGCCGCGGCGGCGCCGCCGGGGAUGAGCUUGGAGAUCUGCCGCUGCAGAAGCGCCUGCCCCGCCUCGAGAUCCUGGAUCUUCUUCAUCAGCUCCUCGGAGGGGCUCUCCAUGGAGGGAUCUAGCUCGAGAAAACCCUAGCUAGGGUUCGUUGCGAUCGGGGCUUCAUGGCCUCUCUUUGGGUUCUCCUCCUCCUCCUCCUCCUCUCUCUCUCUCUCUCUUCUUUUCUUUUUUUUUUUUAAUUUGAUAUUUUUUGUUGUACUUGUUGUGAAGCGCCUGUGCUCUUUUCUUUGUUGGUUAUUGGCGGUGGUUUUGCUUUCUCGAAAAGAAACACGUUUUAGUUCGUUGCCAUUGGAUUUGAUGUUUGGAUUUGUAUGGGGGGAGUUUUUGGGGGUAGUUUUAGGGUAAGCGUUGGAACUGUACAAUUUUUUUUCGCGGGAAAAAAUUGCGUGCACACACUCUGUUUUGACCGCGAAAUAAAGUUGCGUGGACGAGGCGCACUACACCAUUUGGUGGACCACUUAUUAAUUUUUAUUUUAUUUUAUUGUGUAGCGUGUUAUUUAUUAUUGAGAUAUAAUUAUUAGUGAAAACUACAAAAAAAACCCUCCUGUGGUUUCGCACUUUUUCAUUUUAGUACCAUGUGGUUUAAAGUGUAUCAAGUUAGUAUCCUGUGGUUUCUCACUUUAUCACUUUAGUACCCUGUGAUUUAAAGUGUAUCAAGUUAGUAUUCUGUGAUUUUAUUUUUGUAUCAAGUUAGUACCAUGUGGUUUUAUUUUUGUAUCAAGUUAGUACCCUGUGGUUUUUAAACCACAGGGUACUAAAGUGAUAAAGUGCGAAACCACAGGGUACUAACUUGAUACACUUUAAACAACAGGAUACUAAAGUGAAAAGAUGCAAAACCACAUGGUACUAACUUGAUACACUUUAAAUCACAUGAUACUAAAGUAAGAAAAAGUGAAACCACAAGAAGGGUAUUUGAAGUUUUUCCUAAUUAUUAUUGCCAGAAUAAAUAUAAUAAAUUUCGACAAUUUCUUCGUUCCUUAGAUAUGAAUUUUAAUGAUUAUUCUUGUUAUACUAAUAUUACAGAACAUUAAAAAAUUUAUAUAAUAUUAUUAUAAGUAUUUUAUAUUUUAAAAAGUGUUAUAACAUACUGAAACCGUAUAUUAUUCUUAUUGUACUUUACCACAAAUAUUUCAAAAAUUUUUCUUAUCCAUUAUUGAUAUAUUACAACACACUGACAAUCUAUAGAAAACUCUUUUGGAGGACCAAAUAUUUCUUAUUAUUUUAAAAUUUUAUUUUUAGACGAUACUUAUAAACUUUAUAUUAUGAGGCACCUGAAAGAAUUUAUGUAAAGGCUAUCGCGCACGUGACUUUAUGUAAACGGUUAGUAAUUUAUCACGUCACCAUGUUAAUAUAUGAUGAUAAAUGGCAUAUCAAUAAAGGAGUCUAAAAUUAGUAUUUUAGACCAAGUCCACUGAAGUUUCUAGGCUCUACUUUUUUAAUUUAUUAUUUCCUCAAUAAUGCAAGAGAUAUUGUGACUGCCCAUAACUUGUGAGAUUAAUACAAAAUCAUAUUUUUAUAUUUAUUUUUUGCCAUUAAUGUUAGUGUUUACUAGAUUGUAGUUUUUGAUUUUUCCCAAUACAAAAUGCAUCUCCCUCUUUAGAUAACUUUUAUUUUAUUUUUUUUACUUAUAAUAGAAUUAUUAUGAAGAGCAGCCUUUGUCAUCAUUUUAGAGCAAGUCAAUCAAAUACUAACACGUAAUGUAAAAGACGAAACAUUUUCUAUUUUUUUUAUAUUUCAUUCUUAUCUUGUUACAAUCAUACCUACUCAGGAUCUAAAAUUAUUAUUAGGUUUUAUUUGGGAUUACAGAGAUAUUACGUAGCGUGGGGUAAGAAGGUAUGAUAGAAAAAUAUAAUAUUUUGUCUUCGUGCAUAAUAUUACAUUAUACAUAUCGAAAUAAGUCAAUUACAGUAUAUUUUAUAGUAAAGUAUACGUUGCAGAAAUUUUUUAGGUAGGUGAAAUAUUUUUCAUCUCACGCUCUAUUUGUUGAGAGCCACACACAGCAUUUAAACGAAAAGCUAAUUUUUUUUCCAAAAUAUUUAAAAGUACUUUGCAUGAAAAGUAGUUAUUAGAAAAAUAACUAAAAGAAUUUUUUUUCUUUACACUAGAGACUAUUUCCCCGUUUAUUUUUACAGCCAACCAAAUACACCUCCCACAAAGUAGCAUAGAAGAAAAGGGAAUAUUUGUUGCAUUUAGAGAAAUUUCUCCAUGCAACGGGUGUAUAUAUGCAUCCCAUUUUACAUUCAAUGAUUAAUAUUUUAAAUUAAAAAUAUAAUUCAGUAGAUAUGAUCUACAAUACAUAUGUAAAAAUCAUCAAUUCUAAAGAACUACUGCUAAUGGCAUUUAACUUGUAAGAAAUUGAAAGCACACCCCCAAAUUUUCUUUUUUUAAAAAAAUUUGUGUGGGCUUUUUAAAUGCCACAUAGCAUAUUCAAUAAGUUUGAUUACAAUUUUGAGAUAUUUGUCGUGCAAUUUUACUAAAUUCAGCUAAAAAUAUGAAACAAUUACGUUUCGAAUUUGGAACCCUCGAGUACCAACCAUCAUAUAUAUUCUUAGCCAAUUGCACUAGGCACAGUCUGUGAUUCUAAGGCAUUUUAAAUGCUAUAUAAUGUUUUAAUGAGUUAGACUUUGAUUUUGAGAUCUUUAUCACGAGAGUUUUAGUCGUGCGGUGUAUAAGAUGAAUUUAUACACCUUGUCCAAGCAAUAAUUUCUGGUUGCAUUAACACCAGCUAUUAGUUGUUCAUUGAUAGUUACAUUAAUACUAACUACUGUUUAUUAAUUCCUUACCCUUUUCUUUUCUCACCUCAUUGGAUUUCUCUUUCUCUCCCUUUCUCAUGUCUUUAGCUUUUUGCUCCCUCUCACAAGCAAGUGGUUUUGUUUCUUCUAUUGUCCACAUCUUUUAGGUGGGGUUCUUAUCCCAUUUUUGGCCAUAUUUGUCUCUUUUUAUUAGCCACAAGUUAUUUAGAGGUGGGAAUAAAAGCAACAAAGUGGAAUAAGCAUUUUCUAAUAGGAAAAACUUCAAAAACCCACCCUAUUAUUUCAUAGUUUCUCACUUUGCCCCCCUGUGGUUUAAAAUGUAUCAAAUUGCCCCCCUGUGGUUUCGUUUUUAUCUUUUCAGUAGCUUUUUUGUUAAUAUUUCAUUAAAUUAUAUACAAAAAACUUCAGAUACCAUAUAGAUUUAUCAAAUAUUCACUUUAGUACCCUUUAAUUUUAACUUUAUCACUGAUUUAAGAAAAAAAAAUAAUGAAAUUGAUAAGAAAAAGAGAAAAAAGAAACCACAGGGGGGGCAAAUUGAUACAUUUUAAACCACAUGGGGGCAAAGUGAGAAACUAUGAAACUACAUGGGUGGUUUUUGAAGUUUUUCCUUUUCUAAUAAGGCUUCACAUGCUUGAUCCUUUGCCCAGUGCUUUUUGGCUAAGCUCUCAAUAUAGCUUUUUUCACUACCAAAAGUAGUUGGUUAGUCAUAUAAAAUAGGCCAAUUUGCAUAAAAUAUUCACUAGUUUUGGGCUUUCGCAAAACCGGGUCACAUUUUUCGUUUUUGCAGAUUCGGUCCGCUUUUUCAAAAAGAUGACCAAACUAUCCCUCUUUUAAAAUGCAUAAGAAGUACAUGCAUUAAUUAUAUUAAAAAAUACAGCUGACAAGUCAUUAUUACAGUUACCUUUUUCUUGGAAAAUGAAAUUCUUAUUAACAUACAAAUAAAAAACUUCAAAUAAUAAAAGUAAAAAAGAAAGAAUGGAAUACACCUUAAAUAGUGCAACAUCGUUUCAAAUUGUGCAAUAUUUCUUUCAAAUAGUGUAAUAUUUGUAUAAACAGUGCAAUGUUUGCACAAUUUAUAUAAUGUUGCACAAUUUUUUAUACUAAAUUACGAAUACUAUAAUAUACUACGGGCAAAUAAUAUAACGUAUUACAAUAUACUAUAAAAAUCAUGUAUUAUAUGUAUAAACGUGAAUAUUUUAUACUAUUUGUACAAAUAUUUACACCAUUUGCAUAGAUGUUACACUAUUAUGAGAUAAUGUUGCACCAUUUAGAUGUUAUGUUGCACUCUUUCUUUUUAAAAAUUAAAGUGCAUUGUAUAUUAAAUAAAAUGUUAAAUUCCUUGGAAAUGACAACUGCUAAAUCAUAAUUACAUGUACCUUUCUCGAGAGACGAGAAUCCUCAUUUAAUUAAUAUAAAAUAAAAAAUAAAGUAUCAUUAAUACAAUGAAAGAGUGCAACAUCCUCUUAAAAAGUGCAACAUAGUCUCAAAUAGUGCAACAUUCUCUUCUAAAUAGUACAAUAUUUAUGUAAAUAGUGCAUUAUAUGUAUAAACGGUGAAUAUUUUGCACUAUUUGUACAAAUAUUUACACCAUUUGUAUAGAUGUUGCACUAUUAUGAGAUAAUGUUGCACUAUUUAGAUGUUAUGUUGCACUCUUUCUUUUUAAAAAUUAAAGUAUAUUGUAUAUUAAAUAAAGUGUUAAAUUUCUUGAAAAUGACAGCUGCUAGGUCAUAAUUAUAUGUACUUUUCUCGAAAAACGAAAAUUCUCAUUUAAUUAAGAUAAAAUAAAAAAUAAAUUAUCAUUAAUAUAAUGAAAGAUUGCAACAUUAUAAUGAAAUAGUGCAAUAUUCUCUCUAAUGUUGCACCAUUUAAGAGGAUGUUGCACUAUUUGAGACAAUGUUGUACUUUUUCAUCUUAUUAACAAUACUUUACUUUUUGUAUUUUGUUUUAAAUGAGCAUUCUCGUCUCUCGAGAAAGGUACAUGCAAUUAUGACUUAGCAGUUGUCAUUUCCAAGAAAUUGCACUCUUUAUUUAAUAGAUAAAUACUUUAAUUUUUAAAAAGAAAGAGUGCAACAUACCAUCUAAAUGGUACAACAUUUUCUUAUAAUAGUGCAAUAUAUAUACAAAUGGUGUAAAUAUUUAUACAAAUAGUGCAAAAUAUGCACCGUUUAUAAUAUAAUAUAUAAUUUUUAUAAGAUUUUGUGAUAUGUUAUAUUAUUUUCGUGUUAUUUUCACGUAAUAUAUUAUAUUAUUCAUAAUUUUGUAUAAAAAAUCAUUCAAUAUGUGUAUUAACGAUGCAUAUAUUGCACUAUUUAUAUAAAUAUUGCACUAUUUGGAAGAGAAUGUUGCACUAUUUGAGACCAUGUUACACUCUUUGAGAGGAUAUUGCACUUUUUCAUUGUAUUAAUGAUACUUUAUUUUUUACUUUAUCUUAAUUAAAUGAGGAUUCUCGUCUCUCGAGAAAGGUACAUGUAAUUAUGACUUAGCAGUUGUCAUUUUCAAGGAAUUUAACACUUUAUUUAAUAUACAAUGCACUUUAAUUUUUAAAAAGAAUGAGUGCAACAUAACAUCUAAAUGGUGCAACAUUAUCUCAUAAUAGUGCAACAUCUAUACAAAUGGUGUAAAUUUUUGUCAAAUAUGUGGCAAAAUAUUCACCGUUUAUACUUAUAAUGCAUCGAUUUUUAUAGUAUAUCUUUAUAUGUUAUAUUAUUUCGUGUAUUUUCACGUAAAUAUAUUAUAUUAUUCGUAAUUUUGUAUAAAAUCAUGCAAAUGUGUAUUAACGAUGCAAUAUAUUGGCACUAUUUUACAUAAAUAUUGGCACUAUUUGGAAGAGAUGUUCACUAUUUAGACUAUGUUACAUCUCUUUAAGAGAUGUUGCACUCUUUCAUUGUGAUUAAUGAUACUUUAUUUUUUACUUUAUCUUAAUUAAAUGAGGAUUCUCGGCUCUCGAGAAAGUAACAUGUAAUUAUGACUUAGCAGUUAUCAUUCCAAGGAAUUUUACACUUUAUUAAUAUACAAUGCACUUUUACUUUUUAAAAAGAAUGAGUGCAACAUAACAUCUAAAUGGUGCAACAUUAUCCUCAUAAUAAUGCACAUCUAUGCAAAUGGUGUAAAUUUUUGUACAAAUAGUGCAAAAUAUUCCCCGUUUAUACAUAUAAUGGCAUGAUUUUAUAGUAUAUUUUUAAUAGUAUAUUAUUUUCGGUUAUUUUCACGAUAUAUAUUAUAUUCGUAAUUUUGUAUAAAAAUCAUGCAUAUAUGUGUAUUAAUGAUUGCAUAUAUUGCACUAUUUACAUAAAUAUUGCACUAUUUUGGAAGAGAAUGUUGCAUCUAUUUGGACUAAAUGCACUCUUUAAGAAGAUGUUGCACUCUCAUUGUAUUAAUGAUAAUUUUAUUUUUUAUUUUAUCUUAAUUAAAUGAGGAUUCUCGUCUCUCGAGAAAGGUACAUGUAAUUAUGACUUAACAGUUGUCAUUUCCAAAAAUUUAAACAGUUUAUUUAAUAUACAAUAUAUUUAAUUUAUUAAAAGAAAGAGUGCAAAUAAUAUCUAAAUAGUGCAACAUUCUCUCAUUAUAAUUGCAACAUCUAUGCAAAGGUGGUAAAUAUUUAUACAGAAUAUGCAAAAUAUUCACUCGUUAUACAUAAUACAUGAUUUUUAUAGUAUAUUGUAAUACGUUAUAUAUUAUUGCGCGUAGUAUAUUAUAUUAUUCGUAAUUUAGUAUAAAAAUUAUGCAUAUUAUAUAAAUUGUGCAAAUAUUGCAGCUGUUACACAAAUAUUACACUAUUUGGAAGAAAUAUUGCAUAAUUUGGACCCGAUGUUGCACCAUUUUAAGGUGAUUCCUCUUUCUUUUUUACUUUUAAUUAUUGAAGUUUUUAUUGUCACGCCCCGGGGCCGAUUUAAAAGUCUUUUUAAAACAGACGUGCGGAAAACGUGCAAUUUUUUUUUUUUAUAAAAUAACAUCUUUCUCAUCCUGGCCCACCGGAACGUACAGACCCCCACAAAUACAAAGUUUCUCUGUCGCACAUCGGACAGAACUCCUUUGUAUUUGCACGGCGUACCAACGAUACAACAGAAUCUCACCACCAACCUACAUUUACCCAAUCAUACCCACACCAAGGCAUGAUAGGCAUUUCCAUACAGCUAACAAUCCUUAGAAUGAUGACUGCGGACAUGUUAGCCUCCUUAGGCAUACUGGAUGAUGCGAUGCACAAUAAGACAAAACAUCCUAUUUAAAAGUGGCUCCCCGACACGGAUAGCUUUUGUUUUUUAAAACUCUAAUUCAAUCAUUAUAAAAACAUAUCGAAAACGAGCUUUUUAAAACUGUUUCCCAACACGAACUUAUUUAAAAACCGACUACCUCGAGCGGUAGAAAACCACAGAUGCAUGACUACAAGAAACCAAAAUCUCCACAGAACCUAAAACCACAGAUCGAAAACUCAUCUCAUGUAUAUAUGAAAACAUCCAUAAAUCUCAUGCAAACGGAAAUCAACCACAUUCAAAUAGUCUAACUGAACGAUUAUUAAGAAAACUACUUAAGGUGCGGGAAAGAAAUAACCAGAGGGUGACGGUCCGGCUAACUUGCAGCGUACCUAGAUCAUCCUCGUCGUCGAGCCCAAAAUCCAAGUUCCCUCGUCUCUUGUACCUGGGUGGGGAAAGGGGGUGAGAAAACCGCACCAUGUUCUCAGUGGGGGUAUCGACAGCAGCCACAACAGGCAAGUCGUAAUCACCGGAAACCAAAGUGAGAUAGAUUAAAUCAAAUAUAUAUCGUAAGCUGAUAUGAAUAGAACUACAGUUACUACAAACAGAUAAAUAGGAACAAUAUAAUAAACCUGCUACUGUAAUAGAAACAAUGCAAAGAAUGCCUGAAAUGUAACUGAAUCCAGAAACUGUACCCAAUCUGUCCUGCUGUAUCGGUCCGGAGACCUCAAGCGCAUACUGUUCAUCAACUGGCAGUCCGACCUGAUCCAUUACGCGCCCGCCAGGAACGACCUACUCCGGAAAAGUACACCUCCGAUCGGUUGGCCAAACCGAUCCGCGUGUCAUGAAUACCCCCAAGGCCGUGACUAUCAUGCUGUAUGCUCAAACGAAAACAACGCCGGCUAAUAGCCGGUGCUAGCCGAAGCCAACAACGAGGCGAAAUGCACAAACUGAAUAGAAGACCUAGGGCGUAACAACCCGAACCUCGUAUCAACAGAUCGAAAUACACGACAAAGAGAGUGCGAGGUUUGCCUGGACCCAAGUCCACAGAGAAAUACUGAAAUACAAAUGCAACCUGUCUACAUGUCUUCCACAACUAUACCAAUGUCAAUCAGGGGUACGAAUAACCAAAACGACACAGCAAUGAUCAUUAGAGUCUAAAACAGGAAAUGGAAAAACAAGAAGAGAAGAAUGUAAAACCUCUCACCGACCUACCAAGCUUCGAAGUCACCCCACCUGUCACUGUCGCGGUCGGAAACCCGCUGGAAGCUACGCACAAGCUAACCGGACUAAAGAAGAUCCACAAGUUCAGUAUCAACCACUAACGCCACAAGCACGAGACUCACAAACCCCCACACAGGAUCCCCGUAAUCGUUUCCGGAAAACCGAUCCCCGUAACUAUCGCGAAGUCCGGAAAACACACACCGGACGCCAGUCGGACGCCACUAAGUGUCCCGCCACUCACCGACGUCGUACACCGUAUCACCUGCUGCCCAAGAACAUUCGCAAUUUGGAUGCCCUGGGCAGCGAACACAAGAGGUACAACAAUCAUCGAUCAUCGCCGGAUAAUCGUCGAAUCCGGGUUUUUUUUUUUUCCCGGAAGUGUCUAUUUUCGACACGAACCUCCGUCGCUGCACCUAUGCAUCAUCGACCACAAAAUGAUGUGUGACCACCAACAAGCUCAGCGACAAAACGGAAGGCAACCAAACACCUCGGAAAGAAUCCGAACCGAAACCGCCACGCGCUUCUUACGGCGAAUUUCGCGAAAACAGCGCCGAAAUCGACCCUACCGAUUCCGCGAAAGUUUAACGCGAGUCAUGACAAUCAGUCCUAGCGAUCAAUACAAACUCUACCACACUGCAGGCACAGUAGCCACGGCGAAGCACAAAUGCAUACAAAACCCUCUAAUUAUCAUAAAAUAUCAUCAUUUAUGUCAAUUUGAGGCGAUCAAGCGGCUCGUUCACAGUGCAAACCGAGGACUUCAAAAAGUCCGCAAGAACACGUACUGACAGGUCUCGACGUACGCGGAGUCCGUGCUCACGAUCCGGAGCACAGCGCUCGCUGUGGAAGCGCGGAGACCCGAAGGUUCAGCGAAUACGCGCAGUCAGGGUAAAGAUCCGCCGCGACCAGAAUAACCGGACCACUAUGUUGAUCCAAGUGAUGGAGCACUGUGGGAUCAGACACUGACGCAACGAUCACCGUGCUCCACCUCCGGAGUGCAUCAGGACAGGCCUCGGAUCGCCGGAUAACGUGCGCGAAAACCCAAAAAGCAGCCAACAGGCUGAAACGGAAGCGAUCAACGCCAAAAAAGUGAACGUGAGUCUGCCCGACAACUAAGGUGAGCACGAUGAUUCAGCAACUUGCCAGAUCAUCGGUGCUCCCUCCGUACAGAUACGGGGAGGCUCGGUGAAGUUUCAGAGCGAGGAAACCACUGCCAAUAAGCUCCAUUUCAGGCUUGGCCGGAGCAACCUUGCUCCGGCGCGGCCUCCCGGCGGCACGACUGCAUGCUGUGGGGACCCUGAGUCGGUCGAGGGGGAGGUGAGGAUACACCGUGCCACCUCAGGAGCGGCUGAAGCGGCGUACGGCGGCGGGGAGCAAACCGAGCCCGCACGGAUCGGGCUCGGUGUCAGAGUUGCUGCGGCACGGCGGCGGCGGGAGCUCCGGACGGCAGAGGCGGGCUGGGCAGAGUCGGGGGAGUGCCUCGGGUGCUGCGCCCAAGCGGCCGGCGGCGCAGGCGAAGAAGACCCGAGCUCGCUACGGGCCGAGCUUGCCCAAGGAACCGCGCCACCGCGACUCAGCGCGGCGGCGGCGUUCGGCGACGCGGCUGGCGGCGGGGAAGGACGGCCUGGGCUCCGGAAAGCUCCGCCGAGGUGGUCCACGCUGGCGGCGGCGCAGAAGAAAAGGCGCCGCAGGCUUGCCUCGGCUGGGCUCGGCUGGGCGGCUGCAGCCGGCCGAGGCGGCGGCGGCGGAGCGCUGGGGCGGCGGGACCGGCGGGAAGGGGUGCCGGGCUUCGUGGAACGCCGGCGGAGAGUUUCCAGGCGGCGGGGAGUCGCGCUGGGUGGCUGCGGCACCCGGUUCGCGGCCAGCUCGGCCUGGGCUGCUUGCAGGCGGCAGAACGCUGCGGCGGUGCAGGCCGACGGCGGCGUCGCGGCGGGAAAAGUGCCGGAGCACGGUUGAAGUCCAGGGGGAGGUCCUGCAGAAGGCACAAGCCCCGGGCCUUCACACAACGCCGAGAGGAAGAGGGGAGAGAAAGAAUGGAGAAAGAGAGAAGUGGUGGCUGUCGCGUGGUUGGCUGGCCGGGGGCUCGGUCGCGGCGGGCCUGGCACGCGCAGCAGGUGCCCAGGGGAAGGAGAUGAAGGUGCCUGGGGCGACUAGGUGUAGACUAGGGUGAGGUUGAGUGGGCUCUCAAACCUAAAGAGACUUAAUACAAGCCAGACUUGCAAAAAGGGUCACCAAAACACGCGAAUUUUCAAUCGAUGCCCUUCACGGAAACGACUAAAAACGCAAAGAACGCCCUCCACGUGCGAUCCCUCGCGAAACGGUACCUAAAAUAUCCGCGAUGUUCGCGAAAAUACGUUUUCGCACACCGACCUCUCCUCGAUCAAACUCGCGAUUCUUCCACAGAUCCGUCCGUCAGAUUUGCGAACGGAUUGCACCGGUGCGAUCAGCACCUCGGAGACAACAAAGCUGCGAUUUCGUUUCGUCUUGAUCGACCACGGAUUCACGACAAGAUCCAACCUUCUUCGAAUAGAAGGAAACACACACAAAAAUACAUAUAAAACACGUAUUUUUGGAUUUUCUCGAGAUCCGUGCGUCAAACUCAAAAUCCGUCAGCGCCACUAGUUCCAGAAUAGCUGAACCGGUCGAAACGAGCUAUUGGACUGCUAUGAACAGAGUCCGGUACGAGCCAGAAGCCAACUUCUCACCGCGGCUUCUCCGGAAAAUCGAGUUACUAUUCACUUUAAGUGAAACUUGGAAAUCGCGUAGAAUUUCCGUUUUAAUUCGAUUUCGCCCGAAACUUGACGAGUGCUUUUGUAAUUAAAUCACACACAAAAACAUCGUCAACUGAGAGUUUAGCUACACUGCAAAAAUCUCAGUCCUUACAUUUAUUUGUAUGUUAAUGAGAAUUUCAUUUUUCAAGAAAAAUGUAACUGUAAUAAUCACUUGUCAGCUGCAUUUUUCAAGUUAAUUAAUGCAUGUACUUCUUAUGCAUUUUGAAAGAGGGGUAGUUUAGUGAUCUUUUUGAAAAAGUGGACCGAAUCUACAAAAACGAAAAAUGUGGCCCGGUUUUGCAAAAGCCCAAAACUAGUGGAUUUUUUAUACAAAUUGGCCUAUAAAAUAUAAUUAAGUUGUGUUUGAUUCGACAACUAAAUUUUUAACAAUAAUUUUUUAUUAUUGCUGGAAAUAGGGGAUAUUUCGGUAUAAACUAAUACGAUUAUAAAUUUGUGUUUGGAUGCAUUCAGGGAUAUUAUAAAAGAUAUCAUUAGUAGUGUUUUCAUAAAAAAAAAAAAGAAAAAUAUCUAAAUAUGUUUUUAAAAAAUAAAAUAAUUAAUUUAUAUCAAUAUAUUUUGUAUAAAAUUAAGGGGAAACUUUAAAUACCCCUGUGGUUUUGCACUUUCUCACUUUAGUACCAUGUGGUUUAAAGUGUAUCAAGUUAGUACCCUGUAGUUUCGCACUUUCUCACUUUAGUACCAUGUGGUUUCAAGUGUAUCAAGUUAGUACCCUGUGGUUUCGCACUUUCUCACUUUAGUACCCUGUGGUUUAAUAUUUCGUUAAAUUAUAUACCCAAAAUGGAUAAUAAAAAGAGAAAAUUGAAACCACAGAGUACUAACUUGAUACAAAAAUGAAACCACAUGGUACUAACUUGAUACACUUGAAACCACAGGGUACUAAAGUGAGAAAGUGCAAAACCACAAGGUACUAACUUGAUACACUUGAAACCACAGGGUACUAAAGUGAGAAAGUGCAAAACCACAGGGUACUAACUUGAUACACUUUAAACCACAGGGUACUAAAGUGAGAAAGUGCGAAACCACAAUGGGGUAUUUGAAGUUUUUCCUAAAAUUAAUUAUAAAUUUAUUUUAGGGUAAUUUGCAUAAAAAAUUCACUACUUUUGAGAAUUUGUAAAAGUAGGCCGUUUUUUGGAUUUUGCAGAUUCGGGUUGAAUUUUCAGAAAAUUGACCAAAAUACUUUUAUUCUAUUUUCUCUCCCCUUUUUUUUUUCUCUCCAACCCCUACACCACCUCUGCGGCCCUCCGUGAUGGUAACGAUGGCAACGCUGCAUUCUCUUCCUUCAUCUUCACCGUCGCCGAAAAAAGAGGACUUGGAGCGAGCGUUGGUGAGAGCAGAGUGGACGAAGGCGGUGAGGUCGUGGCCGGGGCAAUGCUCGCUGUCGCCUGUGAGGGUGAAGGCGAAGACGUGCCCGCACUUCUCCAAGAAGCACUUCCGACGAGAGCGGUGGCCGCAGUAGAGGGCGAGGGAGAGACCACGAUAGUGAAAAAAGAUAUAGAUGAUAAAAAAAAAAGAAUUAAAAAGAAUAAAAGAUAAAAAAAAAUGUAAAGAAAAAUAUUUUUUCUACAAAAGGUAAAGAAUCAAAGAAAAAAAAAAAGAUAAUGAAGUUGCACUGUCUUAGAAGAAUGUUGCACUAUUUUAGACAAAAGUUACACUCUGAGAAAAAAAUAUAUACUUUUUGAAAAAAACAAAUUUACACUUUUUGGACGAAAGUUAUAUUUUUUGGACGAAAGUUAUAUCGUUUCUCCGAUCCUCCCCUUCCUCUUUUCUCUGUGUUUUCUCUUUUUUUUUUGUGCCCAUCUCCUUUUCGCCAUCCACCUCCACCGCAGUAGAUCCGCCACCCACCAAACCCACUUCCAGAAACUUGCUGUCCCACCAUCGCCGUUGACGACGAAGAGGAAGUACUUCUUGGCGCUAAAAAGCUCACAGACGAGGAAGGGGACAUGCGUCCCAUGGUGCCUACAUAGGGACGGCGGUGCACGCGGUGCAGAUGGAGGAGAAAACGGUGAUGUCAAAGAAGAGAGCAAGCAAUGAGGGCAGGGUUUACGGUUUGGACCCCCCGCCCUCUUCUUCGGCAUCGCUGUGCUCUCCUCUGUUUCCACCGCAUGCCUUGCCGUCCCCACGUUGGCGGAGUGGGCCGUGUGCCCUUUUUCUCGGCACCGAGCUCCUCUGCACCGAGAAUCACUUUCUCUUCAUCAUCGGCGACGUCAAUGGGGAUGGCGAGUUCCCAAAAGUGGGCUUGGUGGGUGGCAGAUUUGCUACGAUGGAAGUAGAGGGUGAAGAAGAGAUGCGCGCAGAAGAAGCAUGAGGAAGCAGAGGGGAAAGAGGAGAAAUGAUGUAACUUUCGUCCAAAAAAUACAAUUUUUAUCCAAAGAGUGCAACUUUUUUCUCAAAAAGUAUAAUUUUUGUCUCAAAAAGUAUAAUUUUAGUAUAAAAUAGUGCAACGUUCUUCUGAAACAUUGCAACUUCAUCUUUUUCUUCUUUUUUCUCUGAUUCUUCACCUUUUUGUAGAAAAAAUAUUUUUUUUAUAUUUUUUAUCUUUUAUUCUUCUUUUUUCUACUAUCUGCAUCUUAUUUCGCUACCACAAUCUCUCCAUCACUCUUUACCGCGGCUAUCGCCCUCGCCGGAAGCGCUUCUUGGAGAAGCGCGGGCGUGUCUUCGUCCUUAUCCUUACGAGCGAUAGUGAGCACUGUCUCGAUCACGACCUCAUCAGUUUCGUCCCCUUCGCUCUCACAUGUGCUCUCUUCGAGUCCUCUUCCGCGCCGGCGUCAGUGCCUGCAUUGGUGAAGGGAAAAGAAAAAGACGCGGUGCUGCCCUCGUUACCGUCGCGUAGGGCCGUAGAGGUGGAGGAGCAGGGUCGGAGAGAGAAACAAAAAAUAACAAUAGAAAAAAAAUGAGAGAGAAAAGAAAAUAAGGGUAUUUUGGUUAGUUUUUUUUUAAAAUUCGGCCAGAAUUUGCAAAAUUCAAAAAGCCGACCUACUUUUGUAAAAUCUAAAAAUUAGUGGAUUUUUUUUUUGUAUAAAUUGGCCUUUACAAUUUAAUUUAUAUCAGUAUAUUUAAUUUAAUUCAUUUAAUAAUUUAUUUUAUAUAAUUUAUCCAUGUAAUGAAUCAAAUAUGAUACUAGAAAAAUACUUAUAAUUAAUAAUACUAUAAAUUUAAUACAAAUUUAAAAGAAAUAUAUAAUAUAUAAAAAAUAAUUUAAUAUAUAUGAUGCUUAAUAUAAAUAAAAUAAGUAAAUAUUAAUGUAUAAAUUGAUAAAACUUAAUAAAGUAAAUAAUAUAUCACAUUUAAUUCAUUAUAUUAUAUAAUAAGAUUUAAGUAGAAACAUAUNAAAUUUAAUACAAAUUUAAAAGAAAUAUAUAAUAUAUAAAAAAUAAUUUAAUAUAUAUGAUGCUUAAUAUAAAUAAAAUAAGUAAAUAUUAAUGUAUAAAUUGAUAAAACUUAAUAAAGUAAAUAAUAUAUCACAUUUAAUUCAUUAUAUUAUAUAAUAAGAUUUAAGUAGAAACAUAUUAUCACAAAUAUAAUAAUUAUAUUAAUAUAUUUAUUUAUAUUCUUAUCGUCUAAUAAAAUAAAGAGAAGAAUAAAAUUGUCCCUAGUUUUUCUUAGAAACAAUUUUUAACAGAUAUUCCAGAAACAACUUUUAACAGAUAUUCCAGAAUAAUCCGCUUUGGCCGGAACAACCUGUUUUCCCCAUUUCUCCAUCAAUUUGAUACGAGUUUGGGGAUAUCCUCCAUAUUUUGGGAUAAACCUAAUCAAACGCAGCCUUAUGAGUGUUUAAUUUGAUGUAAUUAUAAUGCAAUAUAGUUAGAAAUGCAUAGAGUUACAGAUACUAUAGUUACAUGUAGCUAUGCAGAUAUUUUUUUAUUGGAUGUAUUAUAAAGUGGUGCACCUAGAAAUAAUUUAUUUGCUUGCAUGUGGUGAGAAUUAUAGUUAUACAAUUUUAGGUAAAAACGUACAGAACUUAUAUGAACUAUGGACUAUUUUGAAUUGGCUACUCAACCUUUCAAAAAUUUUAUUUUAUUAUAUAUCUAACUUUUCAAUUUGUUUAAUUUGAGAUAUUUUGACUUCAAAAAUUAAGCUAAUUUUACUUUAAUAAAUUUAUAGUUUCAAGAAGUAUGUGAAGUAUAUUAAUUAAAUCUAUAAAAUCAAACAACACAUUCAAAUUUAAAGCUAAAGUGUCGUUAACUAAUUCUAAACAAAGUAAUUGAAAGAUUAGGUAAUAAAAAUAAAAUUUUAAAAUGUUCAAUAGCCAACUUAUAAUGGUUCAUAGUUCAAGUAAGUACUGCACAUUUUUUACUUAAGUUUUAUCAAUUAAUUUAUAUACUGGAUAGUGAAAUUACCUUCUAGAAGCAAAUAUAUAUAUAUAUAUAUAUAGAGCAGGACUGCUGUGCUCUCAGGAGCACGGAGGCCUCCGUGCUCCUGAGCCGUUUUCAAUGAUGGAAUUUUCGAAUCGACGAUCGGCUCCAGUAGACUUGAUCUAGGGUAUUUGAAGUUUCUAGAAAAUAAUUUUUGCGAUUUUUUGAUAUCAUUUACCUAAUGAUCGAAAUGAUUCAAAAUCAAUAAUUUUUAAUGGUUGAUAUCUACCGUUUUCAAGUUUAACGGUGUAGAAGUAUUCAAAUCAGAUGAAAUUUUGAUACAAAAUUCUUUAUACUAUCUACAACAAGAUUAAUAUUUCUGAUCGAAAAUUUUAGUGCUAUAUCACCACUUUUUAUAGGAUUUUUAUUUUCAGCCGUUAAAAAUUAUUGAUUUUGAAUCCUUUCGAUUGCUAGAUAAAUGAUAUCGAAAUAUCACAAAAAUUAUUUUCUAGAAACUUCAAAUACACUAGAUCAAGUCUAACGGAGCCGAUCGUCGAUUCGGAAAUUCCAUCAUCGAAAACGGUCAGGAGCUCGAAGGCCUCCGUGCUCUUGAGAGCACAACAGUCCUGCUCUCUCUCUCUCUCUCUCUCUCUAUAUAUAUAUAUAUAUAUAGAGAGAGAGAGAGAGAGAGAGAGAGAGAGAGAGAGAGAACUAGGCUACUAUGCUAUUAAUAACACCAAAUCAUUGGUGCUACCAAGUUUUCGGCCAUUGGAUUGAGAGAUGUGCGGUUAGGAUGAUGUGGGCCUUCUAGGGUUGAGUAGGUGGUUGGUUGAAUAGUAUGAUCUAACGGGUGAAAAUGAUCAAAGGGGUGGAUCUAACGGCAGAAAACUUGGUAGCACCGAGUGCUUCGUGCUAUUGAUAGCAUAGUAGCCGGACUCUGUAAGUCCAUAUUUUAUUUAAAAAGUAUUGAAUAGAAAAUUAAGAAAUGUAAACAUUAUUUUUGGUUAGUUUAAACUUUUUGGAUAAAAACAAUUGCUUUUUAUAAUUUAAUAUGAUAGUAAAGUAGGAAAUUUUGAGUUUGAGCCAUGUCGAGCUCCUAGUUUUAUUUAGUUUUCUCCUAUUUAAUUCAAGUUCACAUUUUUUGCCGGUUGGAGAAAAAGAAGGAAAGAGGAGCAAAAGAGGAAAGAGAUUUUUUACUUUGAUUAUUUUAAUCUCCAACAUUAAAAAUUUGUUAAUCUAGAAGGUGGAGGAGAUAAUACAUAAAAAAAAAAUAAUAAAAUUUUGACACUUCAUUCUCUUCACUUCUCUUUUUUGUUGAACUUCUCUUCAUUUCUCUCCUCGCUUUUCUGACAAUUCGUUAUGAUUGUUGAUGCAAAUUUUUAGAAUUAUUAUAAUUAAGUCGUGCAAUCUAAUUUUGAGGGCUAAAUAUUGAUAAAUUAUUAAUAUUAACGUAGAAGUGAUAUAGAAAUAUUAUGAUUAAUUAUGCAUUAAUAAUUAAGAUACUAUAUUAUGUUUACAUCACCGAUGUGGUAAAUAUUUAGUUAACUAAAUUGAGUUGUGAAAUUUAAUUAUGAUAAUAAUUGUUCAGAUUUGGUCAGAUUUGUAGUUGAUUUUUUAGUUUGAUAAGAAUUAAUAUAUUUAAAUCUAUUGGAGAUAAGUUAAGAUUUAAAUAUUAAUUAGAGUAUAAAUCUAACCCGAAUAAAUAUUUAGAUAUAUUGGAGAUAAACUAAAUAUAAAUUUAAAUAUUAUUUGGAGUAGGAAUCUUAAUUAUACUAAAAUUGCGGUAUGUUCUAUUAUAAGCAUUAUAUAAGCACCAGUUGGGUUGGUUUUGAAAUAUAGUACGACAGGAGAGCGACCGCCUCUUGGGUGGUGUCGUACGGGAGAGAGAGUUGGCCAUGGUUGCAUGCACUUAGUGCAUGGGUGUGUUCAACGAUAGAAGUCUUUUAGAUUUAUAAAAGACGAGAGAAGGAUAAGAGAGAUUCAGAAAAAGAGCUCGGGUUUGAAGUUAGAAGUUACUAGAAAUCAGGUGUAAUAUUCUUUUAUUUAGACUUAGUUUGGUAUUGAGCUCUAUCUAACGCCAUUAGAUAAAAUAGAGUUGAGAAAAAAGCAUAUAGGGAUAUGCUUUUGCAUUCUCCGAUUGGAGCGCAGAAAAUAUAUCAUAACCGAUUCAUUACGUACGGAAAAUAUUUUUUCAACAUACUUUCUCACCGCACGUAACGCAAUCUCCCCACAAUCCCAAAGGAAGCCUUAGUAAAUCUUAUUUUAUCCGUAUAUUUUCUAUUUGAUUUUUUCUUUUUUGUAAUUGUAUCAGCUUUUUUUUGCCAAGAAUGCGAGUUUAUGGCAAAAAUUCGAUUCAGAUGCUUCCGUUGCGGAAUUCCAACAUUCAAUUUCGAAUCAACACCAGUCGGUAUCAGAGCGGAUUGCGAAUUCUCAAAAUCUGAUAUUAAGGCUGAGUAUUAGUGUCACGCCCCGGAUUACACUUUCCCCGGGCGCGCCGACAAAUCCGCCGUAUACAAAGGAAUUUCCCCUGUAUACGAAGCGAUAACUGUACCUGUAAAACAAACACUACUACGAACAGUAGUAGAGAGCUGCUAGAGAAAACAGAAGCUAAACAAACUGAGUUUCAUAUACAUAGUCCAAAUCCAAAAUACAAAGCUACUCACACUAGCGAGUUAAGUCCACUAUGUACAUAAACUCGAAAUAAAACAUCUACCUGCAGUAAGGGCACCUCUAGCUCAGCACGUCGGGAAGGGCUCUAACUCGCGACGCCCUUGCCUCGAUCCUGAUCCGCGGACGGUGCAGCAGCCAGAACCUGUGGCUCUGCAAAAACAUAGGUAACAACUGGGCGUGAGAACUACUGUAAAAACAAGUAGUCCUCAGUGGGUACCGCCCAAAACAACAUCGGUCCACCCACUAAGUCUACAGAAGGGAGCAAGAAUAGUAGUAAAAUGCAGGAAUAAAGUCUACCGCUAUCAAACACUACACUAUCAUGCUCUACACUAACCAACUGUAGAAAUAUCCAACCUGACCCAAUCCAAUCGGGACUGUAAGCAUACCCGUCCCCGGGACUGUGAAUACACCCGUCCCUGCCCCGUUGCGACUAUCGGGCUCUAUCCACACUAACUGGUCCGUGGAGAGCAAGUCCAACUGGCAUGAGCGACACCAACGCGAAAGCACAAAGCCUGACUCCGGAGUGGCACUCGUGGGCGCUACCCAACCGAGUAUGCAGCGUAUCUCUGUCGAGCUCAAUCAGGCUCCAACUAGCCAAAGUCAAGUAAAUAGGGUCAAAACUAGUCUACAAACCAAACCCACGUGCCCUCGGCACAAUCUGUGACCAAAACAAGAAUCUGGGUCCACCGCUAACCCGAACGGCACCCAACGACCCGAAACAGCCUAUACUCUGCUGAAAAAUAAGCUCGGCACCCCAGCACGAGCGUAAAUGCCUUCUAAACUACCCCAGAUAUCCAUCGCACUGAUACUGCAACGAUACAAUCGAAUCACGGCUCCUAGAGCUAAAUCUGGUAGUUUAAGCAUAUGACGGGUCAAAACGCAGGUUUUCUCCUAAGUCAAAUUUCAAGUCCAACAUGUAUAAUUUAAAUAUUCAUUUCAGCAUACUUCUACAUUCAUAUUACAUUCAAGAUGCUAAUCGAUGAAUUAAAGCAUGAUAUACAAAAAUCGAACUAUACACAUCGACUAAACAUGCACUUAGGAGCGAAACCGAUGAUACACCCACCUCGAGAGCAAAUUCCUGGCAGCACGGAACUCCCUCAGCUGCGGCACAACCUGCUGGAUCGACUGAAAAUGUCCGAGUCUCAAAAUCAAGCUAUCUCCAAGCUAUCAACAUCAAAAUCCACAAUUCAGUCCAAGUACACAGCAGCAGAGAAGGGAAGGGUUUAGACCAAGCUAACCUUCACCAAAAUCCACAAGUAAGGACUUCGUGGAUUCCUCUCGCAGUCCCUAAACCAACGAAUCAAGUCUUGUCAAAAUCCGAUGCUCCUACGUCGAGUACGAGCUGAAAUACUAACAGUCGACGAUGAAGUUCAGCAAAACAGCACUUUAAGCUUAAAUAUCUCAAUUCCAAUGUCAAAACUCACCUAACGAACUCCAAAUCAGGUAAGGAGGGUCCCAAUUCCAGUACUGGGUGAUAGGGAAAGUGACUCAACUCCACAAAGCCCCUGCUUCCAAAGUUCACCCCAAGAAAACUCAAAAAUUGGUAAAUUCUGCCCAAAGCAACAGCAGCAGAGGAAAACCUUAGUUCGACUAAGCUAACCUCAACUAAAAUCUGCAAUUCAGGGCUCCGUGGAUUCCUCCGGAAGUUUAGAAUCCAGCAAACCAAGUUUCGUCGAAAUCUGACCUUCCUACGUCGCGCACGAGCCAAAACACUGGAGGUCGUCGCUGAAGAACUGCAGAAUCAGCACCUUGCAAUUCUUGGAGAGGUGGAUCUUGAUGCAAAAAUGGAAAGAUUGGAGGGAUUUGGGAGUAAAAUCUAAGUCCUCUGUGAAGAACAGGUAAAAGAGCUCAAAGGGGGCGCUUCUCAGCUAUUUAUAGGGUGAAAAUAGGGUCAGAUGAACCUCAGGAACAAAGGCUGAAAUCUGCUGUCCCUGCAGAAAAUCCGAGAUCUGGGCGCCCUAAACUCAGUUCUGGGCGCUCAGAACUUCCAACCUGCACAAAACCGCCCUCAUCGGUUCCUUCGCCUGCGGUAUGCUGCACCCUUAUCCUGCUCCGGCGGCCCACACCUACCACCAGCCACGCGUCAACACGAUCGAUAUUCACGAUGUAGAAUUUCCGGACCCACUUCUGGGCGCCCAGAACAUAGGAUCCGAAUUGGCUUCCAGUUUCAGUAAAAUUCAGCACUCAGUACUGGGCGACCUAAAUCCAUUUCUGGGUGCCCUAAACUUCUGGGCGCCCUAAAUCCAGUUCUGGGCGCCCUAAACUAGCAAAACUCCAGUUUUGCUUAUUUGAGUGCACCGAGUCCAAUUCUGCAUCCAAUUCGUGCAGAAUUGACUCCGACUCAGUCCGACACUCUCCAGAGAUGUCGACCAGUCUAUAAUACUGAAGCCAAUCCUAUCCAAAGCUCAGGAACACUACAAUUAGAUUUCCAACAAUAAUUUUAAAGGUUGGAUUAAAAAAUUAUAAUAAGGACCAAAUGUGCCAUUUAUCCUAAAUAUUUUCCAUUGACAAAAACUCGACCACGUUCAUUGAAUCUAAACCGUGUUUCGGCUCAUUCACGCUCGUUCUGGGUGCGGGGUAAGCCACAGUACCAUGUCAUCUAUAGACCACCAAUCAAAACACAAAAACGUGCUUACGAAGCCACAUCUUCUCUCCUCUCAUUGGAUCGGUGUAGUAGACCCUGUCCAUACAAUAAUCCCUCAUCCAUUUGCAUCAAACGCCUCUAUCGAUGUUCGCUAGGGGUCUGUUUGGAUUGACGAAUCCGUAAAUCCAACGUAAGUCAAGUGCAGUGGUGUUUGAGUUUUUCUGAAGUGUGAUUAUUUUUUGGUUGUUUGUUUUGACGUAAAUCGUAUAGCCUGAAAGUUAAAUUCAAUUAUUUCUUCUGUUUGUUUUGAUGUAAUUUGGUGCUGGUGAAAUUAGUUUUGUGAGUUCCGUUGUUUGUUUUGAUGUAAGUAAGUGGAUCUCAUUAUCUCCUAAAUAUAAUAGUAAAUUUACCGCUAUAAAAUUUAACUUAUUAUAUAAUUAAUUUUUUUUAUUAUUAUUUAAAGAUAAUCCUAAUUUAUUAUAAAUAAGGUAAUUCUAAUCUAUUAUAAGGGAAGUAGAGUUUAGGUUUUACUGUUUAAUAAAUAUUUUAGAGGAGGUUGAGUAUGGUGGAAGUCGAGUUUGACACUUUAGAGGAGGAAGUCGAGAGUAGGUGAAGUGGAGGUCUAACGUAACUUGAGUUACAUUAUAUUUUUCACUUACACCAAAAUAAAUAACGAAAGUGAUGGAACUUGAGUUCCAUCACUCCACUUACACCAAAACAAACAUGCCCUAGAAUGUUCCGAACGAACUGUGGAGUUCGACGUCCGCACGUAACACCAUAGACCGGGCCCACGUCCCACUCUCUGACUUGUGGGCCCGCAGUUGUACAGCUGUUACACUGUAGUCCUUCCACGUGGACCUGUCGUUCCGCAUUAAAAGAUAUCGCCUGCAUCACAAACGCGCCGCAUAGAAAUCCAUAUGCGGAAAACAACUGACCCGUCCAUUUUGGUAUUUUCACGGCAGUUCGUUUCUCGCAUGUAAUAUUUUAUAGGUUCCUGCGUAUACGAUUUCAUCCGAUCACCGCAUAGAGGGGAGGCUGAUGUCUUUCACGUUGAACCCUGUCUACCACGUCAUCCGUAAGCCCGUACUAUCACGACCUCACCUUUGGUGAACCUACAUUAUAUGAUAGGCUAGGCUCGAUCUCUUAGACCAGGUUCACGAACCGUGUCUCCCCUCAGCGAGAGAUCCAAUGAUGUAAACUGAUUCGUAGCCGUUGGAUCUCAAACGAACGGUCACAAUAAUACUAAAUAAUUCCUUUUAUAUUAAUAUUAUAUUAUUCUUAUUUUUUUCCUUUUUGGCCUUUUUCGUUUCCUCCCCGUUCGGUUCGUUGCUACUGUGAAGAAGAUAAGGGGAGAGAGAGAGAGAGAGAGGAGAGAGAGAAAACCCUAAUCGUGAGCUCGGAGAAACCCUAACCCUAAUCAAAAUCCUAACCCUAAGAGGGUGGCUGCAUGAGUAGUCGGGCGGAGGAGGGGCGCGACGUCAAUCCCAGGUUCCUGAAGCAUCCAUGGGGUUGGUUAUCGUCGUCUCUGCUGCGCAUCCGCCGCGGCUCCUCCGCGCCGCCGCGUUCUCCACUCUCCGAGGAGGAGCUCCGCCGCAGCCCCUCCGCCGCCGCCGCCUCCACGGCCUUGUCUCCCUUCGACGGCCGAAGCUGAGGAGCCCUUCUCAAAAUGAUCCCUGCGGCAGGUAAUUGGCGCAGUCUCUUCGUCUUGGAGACACUGAUAACCUUUUUCCGCUUUCCGAUUGGACCAAUUUUGAUCUCUGAUUGAAGCUCUUUUGGUUAGGAAAUGGGUUUUAUUUGGAAAGUUCGCACCUUUAGUAGUUUGAAUUGGAAAUGUGGGAUAUUGGAAUCUGUGCAUGGUUAUGCUGGUUAGUAUGGAUUGCUCUUGUGGUGGUUUAGUUCUCUGUCUUGUAGAAAAGAAGGAUUAAUUGUUCAUUGUAUAGUCGUGAGAAAAGAUAGUAAAACAUGGGCUCUUAUAUAGUUUGAGCAUCGAAUUCAGAUUAUGGAGUUAAGCUCCUCUAAACUUCACUGUCAAUAAUGUAAACAGCGUAUGUUAGUUUAUGUAAGAUGUGUGUUCAGUGUAAUUUCUUUCAUGAGCUGGUCUCAAGCCGUAAUAAAGGAGUUUCGCAUAAUGUAGCUUGACAGCAGGGUUAUAAUUUUUGCCAGGAAAAGCAAUAUAUUGCAUUUCCGGCGCAAAAAUGCGAUGGUGAGGAAAGAGUGGGAUAAAUGCACUGGGGCUCGGACGAAAUGGUGUUGAAUCAGAAUUUGAACGAAAACAGAUCAAAGUGCUGAAAUAAGAUUUAUAUAUAACCGAAAACUUGGGGUGAAGAUUUCGCUUUUCCUGCCGGUAGAACUUCUUUUUUUUUCUUUUUUUUUUCAUCGGAAAUGGUAUGACUUCUUUAUGGCUGAGUUGUUUGGUGAAAAUUUGGCAUAAUCUAUAUAUUUGGUGUCUUUUCUUGUACAUAUCAAUAAGGACAAGAUGUGGUCUUUUGAUAUCUUUGGAAACCGCUUCUUCAUGCUUCCACUGAAGUUUCACUUUGGAUUAAGGGAGCUCCAAUCUCCCGAAGGAUGAUAUAUUUGUAGUUAAAGCAAUCAUUUUUCCUAUUUUGUGUGCUAUGAUGUGAUUUGGUGCUUUUUUGUCUUUCAUGAGUACCUGAAUUACACCUCAAUGACAGCUUGUAAAAGUUCUCUACCAAAUCAGUGGACUAUGUAAUAUGUAUAUAUAUUGCUAUCAUUAUGUGUUCCUUUGUUUAAUCUCAUUUUGUUGGUUAUGUUCAGUAAGAUCCGUACUAAAGUUUUACUAUUGUUGCUCAGUAUUGACAACAUCUAUAGCUCAUCAUGCCAGGUGGGACAACCUUACAUCGAAAUGUUCUAUGGCAAAUGUCGAAGUUGAUUUCAACCAUGUAGAAACUAAAGAUGAGGCUGCGGAUGAACUUUCAUCUCUUUCAUCUGGUUGCUCUAUUCCUGUUGUUCAUCUCUCAGCUGAUGUUCUUGAUUCAGGCUCUCUAAAUCUACUAACAGAGGAGACUUGCCAGAGUUCCAUCUUUACCGAAUUGCCGGUAUCUGUUCAAAGUUUACUUGCUUUUGUAUUUUUUUUUCUUUUUUUAUCCAGAAUAUAGUUAUUGUUUCUUUUUAUCUUAUUUCAUCUCUUCAGUUUUGUAUGCUACCAUAAUCGUUAUAUAUCCAAUAUUGUGCUGUGCAGGUUCUAUCUGAAGGUGAACAAGAUACUCUUGCAGCAACUCCAGUUCACCCUGCAGGACUCCAUGGUAGUAAAUAUUCCCAAUUCAAGAUGACAUUAGUUUGUUUGUUUUAUUUUUGCCAUUUUAUAGUACUGUUUCUUAUUUACAAAAGAAAAGAUUAGGAACUAUCAUAGUAUAUGAAGUAUAUGAAUAAUUAAAUUUGGAGAUUUAGUGUCUUUUAGUCUUCUAAAUAAACAAGACCUUUCAUUGUAGAUUAAUUUUGUUGAGUCCCAAUAUAAACUUUUGGCUUGCUAUUAAGUACCAGUGUUAGUUUAUUUAAGUGUUGUAGAAGUCACGACCACUACUCUUCAUCGUUGAUUCAGAUGAUUAUAAACUUUAUCAUCAUGUUAAUUGAGCAUGCAUUGCAUGUAAACCAGAAAUUUUUUUUUUCUUUAGUUGGUAUGGGAUUCUUCCUAGUCUGAAAUCUGAGCCUUUGUUGUCCUUGAUUUAGCAACAAUAUGUUUGCAAAGAUUUCUAGGUUGGUGAAGGCAUUAUCUAUGAGAAAGGAGAGCUAAAGUGAGCAUGUUUAGGCUCACGCAUUUCUCACAGUUGUUCAGUUUAAUUCUAACUGUAGGAUGUGUAACAUUAAUAUCACUGGAUAGGCUUAGCAUGUAAAAUUAUUUAUUCUCUAUUUACAUUUAUCAAGAUCAUUGUAACAUCAUUAAAGAUUUUUGCAGCUUUGUAUGCUAGCUAUGUAUUUGGGAAUUUGGUGGAGCAACUUUGGAACUUUGCUUGGCCUGCUGCUCUUGCAAUUCUUCAUCCAAGUCUGUUGCCUGUGGCUGUUGUUGGUUUCUUUACAAAGGUAUAGAUGCUAUAUUACAAUAUUUAUUAAACUGCCUAAAAGUGAAGGGAAAUUCCUAAUCCAUUUUAAUGACAUUGGCAGCUUUCGAUCUUCAUUGGGGCCCCAAUUGUUGGUAGACUUAUGGAUCAUUUCCCUAGACUCCCAACCUAUCAAAGUUUGAAUGCUAUUCAGGUGUGCAUAUGCCUUGUUGAUAUCUUCUAUCUUAUGCUUUAUGGUUGGGGAAAUAUGGAUUAUACCUAGAGAUUGUUGCUUGCGUUUACUACAAAUUUAUUUCUUGGAGUUUGACCCAGAUUUCGGUUACAUUCUCAGGUUUCAACUUUUAACUUCCUAGUCCUUGAAGUUUGUUCAAUGUAACAACUACUAAGUUCCGUUGUUAUUUUGUAGUCGAAGAACCAAAAAAAAAAAAAUUUGCCAACGUAGUUUACUAACAAUUUACUGUUGCUAACUCAAAGAAAGUUGCCACACUGACAGACUCUGAUGAUGGCGCUAAUUUGGCAUCUUUUCUCAAACAGUAGGCUACAAAGAAAGUUGCCACACUGGCAGACUCUGAUGAUUUGCGCUAAUUUGGCAUCUUUUCUCAAAGAGUAGACUACAGAAGAACUAAUUGUCAUGUGAAGAAACUUUAAGGACUAAGGUGUUAAAAUUGAGACUCUGAAGAUGUAUAUGCUGUCAAACUUUGAGAUUUCUAAAUUUAUAAUUUACUCCAUUCAUUUCUGACGACUUAAUCUUAUAUAACUUCAUCUGUCAGGCAACUACUCAAUUGUUGUCAGCUGCGAUGAUUAUAUAUGCUCUCAAGAAUGUAAAACACAUAUCUACGUCAGCUGUUCUUCUCCAACCUUGGUUUAUUGUAUUGGUCGUAGCUGGGGCAAUUGAAAGACUAUGUGGUUUGGCACUGGGGGUCACUGUGGAGCGUGAUUGGAUUGUACUGGUAAUCUACACAGUUCGCUUAGUUAAUUUUGACCAUUUUAUCACCUUUGAAUUACCUAUCGCCCUUAUACAAUGUUUUGUGCUUCUUUGUGAAGUUAGCAGGAGCAGAUAGGCCAGUUGCACUAGCUCAAGCUAAUGCUGUGCUUAACAGAGUUGAUCUUCUUUGUGAGGUGAAAACACUAUGCUGCUUAUGAUUAGUAUAAGUGAUAGGAAAUUCACAUGACAGGUCCCUGACUUUUAAAGCAAUUUCAAGCAAAUCCGUUAGUUUUGUCUACUUUCAGUGGAAUCUAACUCUUGUAAACGUCAUAUUUGCAUUCCUUUUAUCCCUACGAUUGAUGCCCCUGACACUCUACACCCAGCAUUUACCAACUUUAAAGACAAAAACUUAGAAUACUGAGACUAAUGAUUAGACAUAAAAGCUUAGAACCAGAUUUUAUAUGGAAAGAUGAAUAGUUAGGGAUUUCUAUAAAAUUGUCUAAAGAAGAUAGGGACUUGCACGUAAAUAAGAUUUAAGUAAUACUUUUCAGUUUGAUAAUCUGGAGAUGCCUGCCUAUUUGAUGCGAAAGUAGAUGUUUAUAUAUAUCCCCAGGUAGCUGGUGCUUCAGUUUUUGGCUUUCUAUUAUCCAAGUUCGACCCUGUGACCUGCUUAAAGAUGGCUUGUGGUUUAAUGAUAUGCACCCUUCCUAUUCUGGUACGCCAAUUUUUCCCUUUCUGCUCAACUCUAUGUUACUAACUUUUCAUUCUUCAGCCCAUAAUUAACAUAUUUGGUCUUUCCAGCUUAUACUAGGUCAGAUUAUAAAUAUUCUUUCUAGUCGUGCUCUUGAUCGCUAUAGAGUUCCUUGUGAUAAAUCUGCUGCAGCUGAUAUUCUUCUCGAUGCCAGGAAAAUAGGUGCGGAUACUAAUUCUUUGGAACACCUCUCCCUCUCUCUCUCCUUGCUUCGAAUUGGGACCUAUUAGGGUUAGGGUUAGGGUUUGGCGCAGGGUUUCGCACUUGCCGAGUCCUUUUUUUNAAUGCAAAGACCUUACCAAAUAUUCCAUCAAGCAAUGGAGUAUUCCAUUAGGUUACCAAACAAUCCAUCAAUAAGUUUAUAAAUACCAUUAAUGACUAUGAGAAAGUUAAAUAAAGUAUUUGGCAAGGUUGAGUAGUAAAAUCAACAUGUCAAAAGUUGAAGUAGCCAUUUCAAAAUGUGCUAUGGUCUGUUACAGAUUUACCAUAUAUCUCUUACUAUUUUUUAUUUUUCUCCUUACGUAGUAUAUGCCUAACGUUCUUGUUAUUUCCAGUUGAAAAUGGAUUAGAGACCAUUAAGCAUGGGUGGAAGGAGUACAAACAUCAGCCUGUUCUUCCUGCGAGUGUGGCAACUGUGCUCCUAUAUUUUAAUGUAGCACUUGCCCCAGGUGCCAUUAUGACUGCACUUCUGAUGCAUCAUGGUAAGUGUAAGUGUGUAACGUAUUUGCAGUUUUGCCCUUAUGAUAGUGGGAUUUAGUUAGACAUGAUUUAGUUUCCCUUCAUGGUUUUGGAGUAAAAUUGUAGAUCUCAAAGAACAAGAUGAUGGUUGAGGACUAGGUUUUAUCUAUUAAAUCAGCGCUAUUUCUUCUUGUCAUUAUCUCUUUUCUGCUCAGCUCUCUAUUUUCUUUAUUACAGUGAAGCCUAUUUUCUUUGUUCUGCUCGGAUCCUCUUCAUUAUGAGGGACAAAGCUCUAUGCUUAUAUAGUGCUUCCUGCUUAGUCCUCAAUAUUUGUAUCUAAUACAGAAUUUAGUGCUCGUGAUAUUUGAACAGGCAUAAGUCCUUCUAUUAUUGGUUGUUUUAGUGGAUUAUGUUCUCUCAUGGGCUUCACUGCAACAUUCAUUUCUUCGAGUCUGGUAAAAAGGCUUGGAAUUCUAAAGGUUGGGUUCUCACUCUUACAGUUUUUCCAAUUUCUUUCAUAAUUUCCUCCAAAAUCUGAACUGAAAAUUGCUAUAAUUUAUGACAGGCAGGAGCAGCUGGAUUGAUAUUUCAGGCCUUACUUCUAACUGUAGCUGUUGCUGCGUAUUGGACAGGUUCCAUAUCACAGAAAAUACCGCUAAUGAUCUUUCUCUCUUCUAUUGUAAGCACUAUUCGUUUUCCCUUUCUAAUACAUAAUUUGCUCUUAGAUAUAGACUAAAAUAUGGAAAACCUUCCACAAAUUGCAUAAUUUUCACAUUGCCUCCUUGAAAUGUUAAAAUCUACAUUUUACCCCAUUGACCUAUUUAAGCAUUAUUGUUAUAUCUUUUGUCUAAGGAACACUGGUGAAAGGCGGCUAACUGGCAAAAGAUUUUAUGGGUAUAUGUAGGUUUAUAAAUUAUAAUGUUAAAGUUUGGCGACAUAAAAAUGAUGAUAUUUGUACGUGUCAAUGUAAAUGCAGAGCAUAAUCCCAUGUAUAAUAUACAGGUACUAUCUAGGUUGGGCCACAUGUCCUAUGAUGUUGUGGGGACUCAGAUACUUCAAACGGGUAUACCCAUCUCGAAAGCAAAUCUGAUAGGGACAACAGAGGUGUCGAUUGCCAGCCUGGCGGAAUUUCUAAUGCUUGGGGUGGCGAUCAUUGCGAAUGAUGUCUCGCACUUUGGUUUCCUCGCUCUGCUCUCUGUGUCUUCGGUUGCGGGUGCCUCGUGGAUGUUCUGCCGGUGGUUGGCGAAUCCGACCGAAGAGCAGAGGAAGCUUUUUGUGUUUGAUUGGCAGUUUGAGGCCAUGUAAGUGCUAUUUUUCUUUGUUUGUGAUCUUUGCUCAUUGAAUGGCACAUCUGGUUUCCACAUAAAUUCUGCAGACACAACUUCGUUUAUUCAGAGUUUUCCUGUUUUUCUUGGAAAAUAGAGCAUAAAGUCAGUUUGCGGCUCAACUAUUAUAGGAAUAACUGCAAGGAAUGCAAUGAUAGUGUUAUAACAAAUCGGCAUCAAAUUCUGUAUUGUGAUCUUGUAAUUUUAUAUGCUUGGAAGUGAAACCUAACACUUGUUUUACCCUCAUCAAAUUAUUAGUACAACAUUGGCAUUUUUGCUGCUAAUGCAGUUGAAUCCAAAGGUAUUUAUACAAAAUGUGGAUACCUGAUAAUGUAAACCGAGCCAUUACUUAUUAAUUCUAUAUAAAGAUUCAUAACAGUUCUGAAGCCCUUAUGUUCCAUUUAAGAACAAGGGUUAAUUGCAUAUAGGUCCCUGCAAAUAUAGUGAAUUACAAAUAUAUUUCUACAAAGUUCAACUUUCAUUUGUUGUCCCUACAAAAGUUCUAAUGUUUUCAAAUAUGUCCCUUUGGUUUGUUACUGUUAAAGUACUGUCUAUUUUAUAAGUGAAAUGACUUUUUUGCCAUCACAAAUAUGUCCCUCCAAAGUCCCAACUGUUAAUUGAAGAGGGGUAAAAAAAUCAAUUCACCUCAUUAACUAACUAGAGUUAACUAUUUAACCUAUGGUUAACUAAAAUUUUCUAACGGAUUCUAACGGCAGGAACAUAUUUGAAAAUAUCAGGGUUUCUGUAGGGACAAUAUAUGAAAGUUGAAUUUUGUAGGGAUAUAUUUGCAAUUCACUAUGUUUGCAGGGAUAUGUAUGAAAUUAACCCUUAGAACAACUAUAACUUCAAGUGCUUAAUUGCAAACCACUGAAGAAGUUUACAAUAUACAUCAGUGGCACAUUUUCCAAUAGUCUUUAAAUUCUGUUCUAUGCUCAAUUGAGAUUUUACAAAUGACUAGCAUUUCUGUCUAUUGAACUUCUACAAAUAGAUGCUUGCUUAGUUCAUUUCCUUGUCUUUUCAACAUGUGCAGUGAUUAGCAGCAACCGUUGAAAACAUUUCCAAAUACCCUCUCGCCACUGCGGCAUGUUACUCCAGACACCGCUUCGGCAUUUAGUCGGUCAGUAUAAACAACAUCAUAUAGUUCUUCAAGCUGCUUUGGUAUUUUAUCAUUGCAGAGGAAAGAAAAAAAAACAUAGAAGAAAUGUCAACAUACACAGCUUGUGAUCAAGGGAUGUGUAGGAUAAAUUCGUUUUAUUGCCUAAUUUCUGUUUUUUUUUUUAUUUUUUAAAAGUAGACCCAACACAGUUACACAGGAUAAUACAUGUCGUUUAUUUUACAGUGUCAUCAUAGAUCGCUUUCAAUUGAAUUGUAUUAUACAAAAGGUAGCACAUAAGAUUGUAGCAUUCUUUGGUAAUGCUUUGUCCUUGCAUUUUUGGAAUGAAUACACUAUUGUUUGAACCAAAUGUUUCAUGUGGUUGCUUAUGAAGAACACCUAUCAUGUUGUGGGGACACAUUGAGUUCCUUGCAAGAAAUAGAUGUAAUCUCUUUCUAAAUGUCGGUGACACACUUUUGAUACAUGUGCGCGCGUGUAUGUUUGCGCGUGUGCGUACGCACGUGCACGCGCACACGUACGUGUGCAUGUGCAUGUCUGCGCUUGCGAGUAAAAUGCAGAACACGUUCAAGGUGUCCCAAUAAUUAUGAAUUCAAUCUGAUCGAAACAAGUAUGUCAACACCUUCAACAGUAUGUUUAGUUGAUUAAACUCAUCAAUUAGGUCUAAGCUUGAAAACAAUUAUUUAGGCUCAUAUGCUGUAGCUUGGCUCAUAUUCAGUAUUUUUCGUGCUGAUAAUAGAAUAAAGAACCCAAGCUUUAUUAAAUCUAAGCAACAUAAACAAUCUUCUAUAAAACAUUAUUUAUUAUAAAUUGGCUUAGUAGAGUGGUUAGUUCAAAAGUUUAGCAUCUCUACAAUCAAGUAUAGAUAUUAUCCAUUAGAGUGAACAGAAAUAAAGAUUAUGUUUAAUUAAUUGUAAUUAGCUAAAAUAUUAAUGCAGUGAGAUUAGGUGCUGUGGUGUAGUCAGUUAAUUUGUAUGUAAAAAGGAUAUAGGUUUAAUAUAUAUCAAUGUGUAAUGGCCUUGAUGAAAUGAAUUAGAUGAGGCUGGAAGGGGAAAAAGCUCUUGUACUUAAAUUAUACGACAAUUUGAGAUCGCGACCUGAGCUUAUGUUUUUACUGUACAUAAGCUGAGCUUAUGUUUUUACUGUACAUAACCUCCGUAGGAGGUGGUUUUCGCCGUUAAAUCGUAGUAUUCAGGUAACUUGUGUUGAUUUCAAAGUUUAGAUGGUGAAGUGAAACUGAGCUAAAUUUCGGUGGAUCUCAAACAUUUGUCUCAUGGUUAGUUCCGAGUCCUUGGUAGCAUGAUAUCAUCCAAUGUGGUUUGUUGUGAUAUCAAACUGUAACAGAUCCAAGUUUUGAUUGGGAACAAAAAUAUAGGGCACUCAUUGCUAUAAUGAGGCUCCAUAUGCUGAGUGGAGACCAAGUACUUGCUUUUUGUACUUUUUAUCUUAUGCUUGAUCUCAUUUAACCUAUAACUCUUGUUUUUAGUGCCUUUCCAAGGAGAACUUCUGAAUGUGUAUUAUUUGAACAGAGCUAUUCAAAAUGCUAAUAAUUUUUCGCAUAUUUUUAAAUAACUACUUACUUUACAGAAGUAGAAGUAUUAAAUUGAAACUGUUACCUUUCAAUUCAAAAACUUGUUUUAGCUUUUCGCCGCUUAAAGAGACGUAAAAAUUUUGUUUCCAAAUGUUUGUUGCUGAAGCUUUUAUAGUAGAGAAACUAUUUCAAAAGUCAGGUAGAAGAGGCACUGGUGCUGCAUAGUCGUAAUCUUAGUGCUUAGAACUUGUUAAGUGUGAUGAAGAAGCACUAAUUACUUUCUCUGAGCUCUUUAAUACACUCUCAAUUAUGUUUUUUGACACUAAUCUUAAAAACACUGUGCAUAAGGAGCCCCUAACAAUCAGAGAACUGGGCAUCUUUAGAGUAACUUUUCGAGAUUUCUUUCCUUCUUUCCACUAUUUUCCCCAAUUGUUAGAUUCUUUUCAACAAAUUCAGACAAUACACAUUCUAUUAUGAGAAAUCUUAGAUGUUUCUCCUUCUUCUAGCAUUUCUUUUUUCUGAUAACAAGCACUUUUUAAGUUGAUUGAGGUUCUCUAUCUUAAGUAAGAAGUACUUGAAACAAGAACUCUAAUUAUGUUCAUCAAAAAGAUUGAUUUGAUAGGAAAUGGCUAAGGAAUAGUCUCAAUAUCUCUGCUCGUAUGCUUGAUAGAAAAUUACAGGGAAACUAUAUAUGCUGCAUGCAUUGAUAGAAGAGAUAAUUGAAAGGAAAAAAAAUUUUGAUAUUUAACCCAUGGCCUUUUGGAAAGGAGGGGAGAUUAAUUAGGACCCACUCUACUAUCAUACUACAAAAAAAUACUAAUCUAAUAGAAAAUGAACUAAAAAUAGUCUCAACAAAUCUGAGUAUUAUAUAUUCCAUCUGUCUUGGUAUAACACUGUAAAUGAGUUGAAAUAUUAUCAGCAGUUGGGAAAUAUUUCUCCUAUGAUAAGGAAUAGCCAUCUAUGUAGUUCAUAAUGGGAAACAGUAAUUUGUGUCUAAAAGCUUAAGUUCGACUUGAAUUAAAUGAGAUGAAAUUAGUGAAAGGGACCUGGUAGGAUUCAAACGCAAACAACACAUUAUGUUUUGGUAUUAUGUAAAAUAAUAUGAAAAAAUAUUCUGUCACUAAAAGCUUGCCUGCUGAAGAGUAGUAAACUUAUAUUUGACAUGUAUUUCUAUUUUAUUUGGAGUGAUGUGGGAGUAUCCAACACUAUCCUCAACCUUACUCCCCCACCAAACACUGAAGAUGAAUGGGAGCAAUAGUUGUCAUUCAAAAGAUUGAUUUCAUUGAAAAUUUUGGGUGCAUGGGGCUAUAGAUUAGAUGUUGAAUAUGUCCAAACUGGUUGACAGGUGGUGACUUAGGCAGCAAUAAUGUUACAAGCAGCUUAAAAUGUAUUCUAAAAAUACUAUCAAUGAGUCAGCUUUGAAAAUUGCAGUUUAGCUUCUCAUACUAAAUGACACUCAUAAUAUUGAAAAUCUGUCUCAUCAUCAAACAAUUGGAGUUUGGGGUAUAUUUUGAUGCAGCAUUAUUCACAAAACAAUAGUCAUAAAUUUCUGAAAACACUAGUACAACUACUGUGGAAAGUACCACAGCAUAUAGAAUCAACAUGAUCACCACUCAUUGCUCUGAGGAAUUUAAUGAGGCCUUAUGUGCUUUUUUUUUUUUUUUUUUCUUUCUUUUUUAUAUCUUUUUGCCCUACUCUUAUAGGACAUCUGACCUAUCUAGAUGAUCCAAGAAUUCAUCUGCCAAAUUGGUGUUUUUAUGAGAAAAAGUCUGGAAUGUGAGAGCAACAUUAUGUUAUCGUGUCCCCAACUAAUCAAAUUGUGUUCAUAAGAAAAAGUCUGGAAUGUGUGAGCAGCAACUAAUUAAAUUGUGUUCAUGAAAAAAAGUCUGGAAUGUGUGAGGAGCACCAUGUUAUCAUGUCCCCAACUAAUCAAAUUGUGUUCCUAUAACUCACUGAUCUUAUCAUAUUUUCUUUAAAAGAUUUAUUAUACUUUUUUUUCUCAGAAGAAAAAAUUUAAUUAGUCUAAUAUGAUGCAACUGCUACAUAAAAGAUCACUUUUUUUUUUAUGAAACGCAUACGAAGAAAUUCUUUUGUUGGUGGUGAAGCUCCAAGAGCUCUAUUAAAUCUUCUCUAAUAAAGUGUCAUUUUUUUUUUGGCAAAAACCUCUUUAUUAAUCUUUGAUAAGUUUUACUUUUGGUUCUCAAACUAUAAGGCACGUGAUACUUUGGUCUUCAAAUUUUAAUUUAUUGUAAUUUUUGGCACUAACUUUUGAAUCGUUGCAAGUAAAUUUCACAACCCAAUUUAAUUGGCUUAGUAUUGAAAAAUUAUUAGUAUAGAAGUAAUGUAAAAGUAUUAUGAUUGAUGAUGCGGCAAUAAUUAAAAAUGUUAUAUCACUUUUAUAUUAAUGAUUUAUCAUAUUUAGUUAGCUAAAUUAGGUUAUGAAAUUUAAUAGCAAUAAUUCAAAAGUUCAAGCCAAAAUAAAGUAGAGUUGAGGACCUAAAUAUCAUGAGCUUCUUAUAUAGUUUGAGGACCAAAACUGUAAUUUAUCCUCAAAUAUUUCAUACAAAAUCACUCCAUCAAAAGGAAUGUGUGUAGUUCCUUUUUCACUUUAUUUUUAAAAAUCAAGCAUAGGCUGUCAUUUUGCACUCUAUUCACACCUACAGUGUGAUUCGAAUAAAAAAAACCAAGGUUUUAAGUGUUCGUCGGUACGAGACUUAUCCAUUGUGCCGAAUCGUGCCAAUAAUAUAUCGGCACGAUACAGAUCCCGUGCUGAUGACACAGCUCAAAACCCUUUAUUUUUUAGAGUAGUAAGUAAUUUUCUCAAUAAAAUUUAAAAGAUGUGAUAAAAAAACAUAAUAAAUAGUUAGAAUAUUUUGUUGCUAAAGAAAAUAAAUAUUUCAUAUUAUGAUGUGUCGGCACACAAGAAUUUUUUGAUCGGCAUGUAUCGGCACGUCUCGGCACGCACUGUGCCGUACCGUACCGGCAAGUUUCCGACACGAUCCCGUGCUACGGCACUUAAAUCCUUAAAAAAAAAACCCUUCCAACCAAUCGAACUAGCAAUUGGUGGCGAAAUUUGCACAGAUGAACAAUGCAAACAUUAUUCGUAUCCUUCUUACUUUUUAUUUUUGGCGAAUGAACGCUUCAAUUUGUCUAAAUAAAUUUGAAUAACUAAAUAUAGAAUCUCCAAUCCGAAUACCAUGUAAACAACUAUUUUUUUUUUACUCUUACAGUUCACUCUCAUGGCGAAUUGUGUUCUAAUCAUUUAUACUCAAACAAUUAAAGUAGAUGAGUAAUCUCUAUUAGGGAAAAAGUAAACAAUAAAAACAGUUGAAAAGUGAAAGAACCUACAUUAGAAAGCCCUAGAAUUUCUUUUAAAAAAAAUAUAUAUAUAUACAGAAGUAACAGAACUUACUCAAGCUCGAACUAAAACUAUGGGCCAUUUCGAAUUAGCCAUCUAAGCUAUUAAAAUUUUAAUUUGUUUGAUUUAAGUUAAUUAACAAUACUUUGAUUCAAAAUUUAAGAUAAUUAUUUUUUUAAUAAAUUUAUAAUUGUGAGAACUAUACGAAGUAUACUAACAAAAUUUAUAAACAACGCAUUCAAAUUUUAAAAUCAAAAUACUUAUGACUGAUCACACAAAUCAAUAAAUUUAAAAAUUAAAUAGUAAAAUUAAAUUUUAAAAAAUUAAAUAGCUAAAUCAAAAUAAUCCAUUAUAAUUCAAAUAAGGUUUGUAUGGUUCAACCUUCAAAAGAGAAAAAAAAAAAAAAAAGCCUAUAAGUGGAGCAUUUCUUGUACCAUCAACUCAAAUGGGUAAUCAAAACUAGUACGUAGCUAGUACUUACCAUCAACUCAAGAGAUACACAAGAGAUAUGCUACAUAAAAAUAUGUGUUUAAUAUCUCUUUUCUUUGUUAUUUCCUCAAUCCAUGCUAGGGCCAAAAAGAGAGACACAAUAUAUGUAACGAUCCGACCCGCUAGCAAUAAUAAUUCGUUGGGUCUAAAUCACUGGUUCAAAAUGCUUAAGCCGGGUUAUUAUUACUAGCGUGUAGCCCUCAUAUAAACUGAUCGAAAUUAGUAUCCCAUUCAAUGUGGGAUUAUUGGGGCGUUACAAACUCCCUCCGUUUAAACCCUGACGUUCUCGUUAGGUGCAAACCAAAUCACAGACAGACAGAGUAGGACCAGAUUACCAGGCGAUGUGAGAUUCUAGAGGUGGCUCCUACCGGUUCAAGAAGUCGCUCCCCCAAACCCGUUGGUAUAGCAUUUUGUUCCGCAUAGCACUUAGCUCCCACACUUUCAGCUGGUAUUCGUCUCUGAUACCAAUUGUAACGACCCGACCCGCUAACAAUAAUAAUUCGUUGGGCCUAAACUAUCGGCCCAAAAUACUUAAGCCGAGUUAUUAUUACUAGCAUAUAGGCCUCACAUAAACUGAUCGGAAUCAGUAUCAGCCUAUUGGGGCGUUACAAUGUUCCCUAUAUAGGAAGAGCACUAAAUUAGGAAGGAAUUUCCCACCUUUUCCCCUCACUUUUCUCUCGUAUGUGUAGGCUCUAGCCCAUGCAACUAAAAAGGACACAACAUAGGUGAAGUGAGCAUCUAGGGCUUAAGAAGAGGAACUAAGAAGAGAGAUUCUUUCCCUGCCUUAGUAAACACAAAAAAAUUAAGAGUGUUGGCAAAUGAUUCAUUUCUCUUGUUUGGUCACUAAUUUGUUUUUGAAAAAUAUUAUAUAUGGGAAAACAUCAAAUACCCCCCUUGUGGUUUCGCUUUUUCUCAUUUUAGUACCCUAUGGUUUAAAGUGUAUCAAAUUAGUAGUCUGUGAUUUUGCACCUUUUCACUUUAGUACUAUGUGGUUUAAAGUGUAUCAAGUUAGUACCCUGUGGUUUCGCACUUUCUCACUUUAGUACCCUGUGGUUUAAAGUGUAUCAAGUUAGUACCCUGUGGUUUCGCACUUUCUCACUUUAGUACCUUGUGGUUUCGCAUUUUCGCACUUUAGUACCCGAUGGUUUAAAAACCACAGGAUACUAACAUGAUGCAGAAAUAAAACCAUAAGGUACUAACUUGAUACACUUUAAACCACAUGAUACUAAAGUGAGAAAGUGCGAAACUAUAGGGUACUAACUUGAUACACUUUAAAUCACAGGGUACUAAAAUGAAUAAGUACGAAACCACAGGGGGUUUUUUUUAAAGUUUUCCCAUUAUAUAUAUACAUAAUUACAAUUAUCAUCACUCUGUCAUUAUAGUUUAAACAUAAGUGAGACACUCACAUAUAUGCUAGUUGAAGAAUGAUUAAAACCAUAUUUCAAAAACCCAAUAAAUAAUUAAAAAUUGGAGAAACCAAUACACACACAAUCAUGUGGCAAUAAUCUUAAAUAAAGUGACUUUAGUGUGUUUACUUCCUUUAUGAUAAUUAGUGCUAUUAUUGAUAAUUACUGAUAUUGUAAAUUGGUAUCUGUAUUUUAAACUUACACUCUUUAGUUUAUAGAUUUUGAUAUAUCUAUACCUUUAUACCUAUAUACAUUAAUCUUCAUGGCUAAAUCCUAUAUGUACCCACCCCCUGAAUUUGGGGAAGAGUGAUGCCUACUUUUUUUUUUUUCUUUUUUUUCAUUUAAUUAUUGUGUUAUAGAAAUAAUUUUAUCUAUCUAUACCUCUAUGCCUAUACAUUAAUCUUUAUGGCUAAAUCCUAUAUGUACCCAACUCCUUAAUUUGAGAAAGAGUGGGGCAUACUUUUUUUUCUCAUUUGAUUAUUGUGUUAUAAAAAUAAUUUUAAUUAUCCAUCUAUAUCUAUUCCUAUAUANUUAUAGAAAUAAUUUUAUCUAUCUAUACCUCUAUGCCUAUACAUUAAUCUUUAUGGCUAAAUCCUAUAUGUACCCAACUCCUUAAUUUGAGAAAGAGUGGGGCAUACUUUUUUUUCUCAUUUGAUUAUUGUGUUAUAAAAAUAAUUUUAAUUAUCCAUCUAUAUCUAUUCCUAUAUAUUAAUCUCUAUAGCUAAAUCCUACAUGGAUGUAUCCACUCGCUUAAUUUGGAGAAGAGUGGGGCCUAACUUUUUUUUUUUCUCAUUUAAUUAUUGAGUUAUAGAAAUAAUUUUAAUCAUCCAUUUGCGUGAUAUGCAACUUUUCUCGAACAAUAUUGAAUCAUUUUGUUGAAACGAUUAAAUUCUUUUUUAUUAUAGUUUUAUUUUUUAAAAGUGUUUGUCUAUAAUAUAGACUAUAUAUAUUUACUAUUUAUUGUACUAAACUGAUAUUUUAUUCUUUAUAAAUUAUUACUUUAAUAGUAUCUACCCGCCGUAACACGCAGGUGACUACAUUAGUAUUACAAUAUAAUAUCCUUAUUUUCUCGGAUUAAACUAAAAUAAGUUAAGUGAUUUACAAAAGGGACCAAAUUGUUAUUUAGAAAAUAAUUUUUUUUAAGAAAGAAAGGCAGCAUGCUACCCACUUCAUUUAUUUUUUUAGAAAUAAAUUUAACUGAAAAUGUGAAGCAACUAGGUUUCAAACUUGGAACCUCGUUUGUACUAUUUUUUAACGACUAGGGACUUAAAGUGCAGUGUAUCCAUGCGAAGGUUCAUAUGCUAAACAUUUCAAAUAACAAGCACAAGGACCACCUUGCAAAAUAGAGAUUGGAUAGGGAAAAUCCAUAUAUUUUUGUACUAUUACAAGUAUCAUGCUCUAAGGUUCCAAUUACACACUUUUAAUUAAGUUAUAUAAUUUUUAUCGGUCGUCCCUAGAGCAAGUGGCGAAGGGCUUGGUGGUUGGUAUCCGAGACUUAAGUUUGAAUCCUAGUUGAUUCACAUUUUCAGCUGAGUUUAUUUCUAAAUGAAAUUAACGAAGCGGGUAGCGUGCACUACAACAAAAACGGUCUAUAGCGACACAUUUAAAUGUAGGUACAUGUCAAAAAAGUGCUGCUAGCUAAAAUUACCGACAUUUUUAAAAAGUGUUGCUAUAUGUGGGGUCGCUAGGUAUAUAGUGACAGUUAAAGAGUGUCGCUAUAACCUAAAAGAGUGCUGUUAAUUUACGAACACUUAUUUAAGCAUUUAGCAACCGCCGAAACUCUAUCUCGUUGGCUGCGGUGGCGGAGGAGGACGACAGUAAAGGCUUUUCGUCUAGAAUUUCAGUGGGUUGAGUGAAGAGAGAAGAAAAGUUGGUAAUUGAUUUAUCCUUUUUUUUUUCUUUUCUGUUUGUAAUCGGGCCAAAUGGACUGUGUGUGGUGGGUUUAGCAGAGCAAUCUUUUAUUUUUGGUUGGAUUGUGCUUUAUAUUUAGGCAUUAGUAGAUAUAUUUUUAAGUUUUAGCAUAAAUGGGACACUUACUCAAAAGUGUCCCAAACAUGUGUCCCUAUAACCUAAUUCUGUUGUGGUGGUGCUACCUAUCUCUCAAAAAAAAAAAAAAUUAUAUAAUUAUUAGGCUAGCUAAAAAUCUAGUAAUAGAAGUUUCAAAAUGAAGAUCUAAACCGUUGAAGGUACUUGGUAAUAUAUGAUUUUUGAAAAUCUAGUAUCUUAAAUUUUUCAACUUUGUCCUUUCUUAAAAGUUUUGAAUUAUUGAUUUUUAACAUCACUUGAUGUAUAGAAAAUCGAUUUUAAAAACUUGCGAAACUAUAAAAUUUUGCAUUUUAAACAUUCUUGAUCAUAUUUAAUGGUUUAGAUCUUAUAUUUGUGUAAAAACUUGUGUAGCGUACACAUAAUGUAAUUGGAUUCCUAGCCUUGAAAUUAAGUUUAGUAGAAAAUGAAAACUAUUGCCUUGUGUUCUAUAUAAGUGCAAGGACACCAUUCUCAUCUUAUAUGCUUGAGCAAAAAGAGCUUCAUAUAUUCAUCCCUACUCUCCCUCUUUCUCUCUCUCUCUAAUCUUUGUGAACAAAGAGGAUAAUGGAGCUCAACUAUGGUAGUAGCAUGGAGAUGAGUGUGGUUGUGAGGGAAUAUGAUGGAGAGAGGGAUUUGGAAGAGGUGGAGAAGCUUGAGAGGAACUGUGAGAUUGGGUCCAGGAGAGGCUUUUCCAUCAUCACCAACAUGAUGGGUGACCCCCUUUGUAGGGUUAGGCUUUUCCCUCUCCAUGUUAUGUUGGUAGGUGUGGGGGUAUGGCUUUAUCCAUUUAUAUAUCAUUGCUUCUUUUUUGUUGCACAUAUAUAUGUUUUUACAACCCAUCAUCUUCUUGCUCCCUAUUUCAAUGUUCUAACCAUGCAAGUAUGAGAUCCACAAGAGGUUAUAAUAUAUUGAAUGUCAUACAAUUAAUGGUGAUACUUCACUUGAUUGUUAUAUAUAUAUAUAUACAUGGUUGUUGUCUUUAUAUAAGUGAUUAAUGUGAGAAUAGUUUUUGCAGGUUGCUGAGUUUGUGGGUGUUGGGGAGAUAGUUGGAGUUGUUAGAGGUUGCAUGAAGUGUGUGGGGACUGGUCUUGGUGCAGGGAAUGUGUGGAUAGGUUGCAUCCUUGGCCUUAGGGUCUCCCCUAAGCAUAGGUUAUAGCUCUCUCUCUCUCUCUCUCUCUCUCUCUCUCUCUCUCUCUCUCUCUCUCUCUCAUAUUAUUAUCAUGUAUGAAACUAAGCAUUUCAUGCACAGAAAGGCCCAUAUGAACUCAGUAAUAUUUAAUGCAUUCAAGUUAAUUUGCUAUUACCCUAGAAGAACCAAUGCAUGAUGAUUCCACACCCUGGACAAAAAGAUGUUGUACAAAGUUUACUUAAUGUGAUGUAUGGAUACUUAUGUGCAUAUGCAUAUAAAGCUAGAUUGAUGCAUAGUUGUUGCUAGAAACAUUAAGUUUUGAGACAAAACAACUACUUGAGAGAAGAUCACAAGUAUGAUUCUACUCACUCACCAAUAUCAUUUGAUGCAGGCGGAUGGGGAUCGGAUUAAAGCUUAUGAAAUCUAUCGAAGCAUGGGCCGUACGAAAUGGCGCGGAGUACAUUCUCCUAGCGACCGACGAGAACAACGUCGCCUCGAUAAAUCUCUUCUCUCUCAAGUGCCAUUAUGUCAAGUUGAGCUCAUUGGCGAUAUUCGUACAACUGACCGACACGCACCCAAAGAUUCAUGCCCCAUCUAAUGACGUAGCGAUCGAGAAGUUAAGCAUCGAGCAAGCUAUACUACUUUACAAAGAUCGACUCGCGAAUGAGAAGUUCUUUCCUUUAGAUAUAGAUAACAUUCUCAAUGAAGAGCUAAGCCUAGGCACUUGGGUCUCAUAUUACAAAGGGGAAAGGUGGAGUGGUUUGCAUUGCAAAGGAAAGGAUGGAGAGUUCCUAAACAACACACCAAGUUCUUGGGCUGUUGUUAGCAUGUGGAAAACCUAUGACUCAUACAAGUUCCAAGUUAAAGCCACACCUCUAUUUAGGUGCAUUCAUGCUUCUCUUAAACAAAUAGGACCCAACUUUCUCCAUUGCUUGAGGAUUCCCUUGGCAUGCAAAUUGCCACUCAAGCUAUUUGGGUUCCUCUUCCUCUAUGGGCUUCAUGGUGAAGGGGAUAAUGUAAGGGAACUCUUAAACUCCUUGUGGUGUUUUGCAUUUAAUAUGGUUAGGGAUGUGAGGGAUUGCAAAGCAAUUGUGAGUGAGGUGAGCUUAAAUGACCCUUUGUAUGCUCACAUGCCUUGGGUUUCCUCCACCUCAUGCAUCAAUGAUAUUUGGUUCUUCAAAAGAGUGGGUACAAGUAAAGGAGUGAUGAAGGGUGAGGAGAAUUGGGUUGAGAUGAACCCUAGGGUGCAUUGUUUUGUUGAUCCAAGAGAUUUUUAGCUUAGCUAGGGAGGGAUCUUGUGAAUCACUCAAGUUUUGGCAAUUUGUGGGUUAAAGUUUCUUCUUGAGAAAAGCACUUUUUUUGUUAGAGGCUUUUGAUUCUUAUCAAUGCCUAUGCAUGUGCUUGUCAAAUCUUGGCCAUCAUCUAUAUAUUCAUAUGGUUCUCUUCCAUUAUGUUACUCACAAUUUUUCUACUUUUAAUUAGUUACAAGAUCUAGUAAGUCAUGUGCAAGCUUGAAGGUAUGAACAUUUUGUUCGGCAUAUCUCUUUUAACGUAAUAAUUAGAAGAUGAAAAGUAUAACUAGAUACCUACGACGACAUAUUAUAUUCAACUUUUAAGCUAUUUUCUUGGAACAUUACUUUGUAAGUGGUAUGUAUUUCUGCACAAGAAUUAUGGCCGGCUUUAAGAUCUUAUUGGGGGCUAAAAACAAACUCCAAGAUGAUUAUCAUGAAAUAAUCCUUAAAAAUGCACGAAUUAUCACUAGAUAAUAAAUCAACAUCCAAACAGACUCCAUGAGUUCGUUUGGAUGUCAGAACAAGUACUUAUUCAGUAAUAAUUUAUGUGUUAUGAAGGUUCGUUGGGCCGGGGUUAAAUUGAUGAACCUGAGCUUGGCCUGACAUUUUUCGGGGUUUCAUUCUAUUGCUCAGCACGGCAAAAUAAAAUGGUCCAGGCCCAUCUGUCGGUAUAUAACCAGAGAUGUAUGCAGUUAAAAAUACAAUUGUUAUAUCUAAACCCAUUUUAUUUGGGGGAUCUACCUCCGCUCCUCCAUUUUCUUAGUGGAUUGGGGUGAAUCCAAAAUGUAAUGAUCCAAUCCCGACCAGAACUGUCCACCACGCUCCAUUUUCUUAACGGACUGGGAUGAAUUCGGAUUGUAACGAUUCAAUCCACCAGGACUAGUAACUCAUUAGGCCAAGCCACCGGCUCAAAAUAUUUAUGUUUAAGAUGUUAUUACUUAGGUCCAUACUCUUUUAUAUUCUUAAUCAUAAUUUUUUUUCUAUCAAAUGUGGAACUAUUAGAGUGACGCACAUGAUGAAUUAUUCUUUAUUCUAAUUUUCCGUUUAUAUUUUUCUCCAUAUUUGGAGCAGAUCAGGCGGGGGCUACAUCAAUCCGGAUCCACAUUUGCAUCCAAGUAGGUGCGUCAAUGAGCCGAACACGAGCAAGCUAGGACUGGGUCGCAUCUGACUCGUUUUAUAAAUGAGUCGAACACAAGUUGACUAGUUUAAAGUAUCGAGCCAAAAAAUUCUGCUCAUGUUUGGCUCAUUUAUUAACGAAUCGAACACGAGCUGACUCACAAACAACAAGUUAAAAGGAUUAAAAAAUAUAUAUAUAUAAAGUAAAUUUAUGAGAUCUUAUCGAUUAAGCUUUAAUCUAAUAGUUGAAACUUUAUAUAUGAAUGGAUCUUUUUAUAAAUGAGUUGGACUUUAUAUUUAGAUUGGGUUAAAAAUCAAAAAAUAAAAGUUUGUAUCGUGUAUAUAUAUAAUUAUUUAUUUAUAUAUAAAUUAUAUAUCGAGCCGAAUACUAGCGAGUUGAUCCCAGCUCGUGUUCGGCUCGUUUAUUAAACAAAGUUGAAAAAUUCAGCUCGUAUUUGACUUAUUUAUUAAACGAGCUGAAAAAUUCAAAUUCAACUUAUAUUCGACUUGUACGCUAAACAAGUGAUUCAAUUUCGAGCACAUGUCGAGCCGGACCCGAGCUCGGUCGUGAAACAGCGAGCUGGAUCACCACCUCUGAUCCGUGAGAAGCAUCUUGUGGCUGUUACACCGAAGGAGUGACAUAUAUCCGUUACACCGAAGUAACCCCACUCUCUCUCUCUCUCUCUCUCUCUCUCAAUAAUGCGUAGGCCGAGUCAUCGUCACCGCCCAUCGCUAUCCCUUCGUAGCGCACGCACUCACACACACACACACACACACACACACACACACACACACACACUCUCUCUCUCUCUCUAACGUCUCUCUCUCUCUACUUUUUCUCUCUCUCUACCUUGGCUCGAGCUCUCUAAUGGCGGAGAACCUGGUGCGCGGCGGCGACCACCUCGUCCUCGUCACCGUCCUCAAGGAGGCGCUCUACGAGGAGGGCGAGAUGCAGCUCUGGGAGGCCACCGGAUCUCGUACGCAAACCCUAACCCUAACACCAACCCUAAUCCUAGCCCAAACCCUAACCUCUCUCCCUCUCUCUCUCUCUCUCUCUCUCUGUCUUAUUUCCAAGCCCUUGUUUGAUGAUCUCUUAGUUGAUUAAUGAUUCGUGUUUGAUGUGUUGUUUAACUCUUUGUAUGGUUAUGAGAUCGAGAUGGGAUUGGAUUCAAUUGGAUUGGAUUCGAUUCGCAAUUUGAUGGAGCCUGGAGGGACAUGCUUUGUACGGAGAGUAGUAUCGUGUAUGCUAUUGAUGUGUUGGUAAAUUAAUGUAGGUUUCUGAACUGCGUGUCUGAAUUAAUCAAAAUCCUCUUUAUCAUGUUUGCUAAUAAAUAAUCGGCCUAGAAAGGUAGCAUUUUGGGGGCAAAUCGAGGCAGUUCUCCGGACUACACGAAUGAACUAAUCAAAAUUGUUAAUUUCGUGUUCGUCGAUAAAUCAACGGCCUGGAAAGGUAGCAUUUUCUAAGCAAGUCGACAUAAUUGUUCGGACUACGCACAUGAAGUAAUCAAAAUCCUUAAGCCCUGGUUGAAUGCAUGAAUAUCUUGUUUGAUAUACCCCUUGAUUUAUUCAAGAAAUUUGUAUAUUUGAUAGAUAAGGAGUAUAAUCAAAUGUUUAGAAUAGAAAAUUAUCUUGGGUCUAUAAGUUAUUUUUUCAGAAUAAAAUAAUUGCUUCGUACGUGAAAUAUGUUAUCCUAUCAAAUCAUGGAUAGCAAGACCUUCGAAGAAGUAAAAAAAUUAUACUUCCUAUUUACAAUCAUACUAGAAAUUCUUAUACCGAAUAAGUUAUUCUUGAAUAACUUAUUUGGACAUCAAACAAAGGUUGCUAAAUCAUUGGGAUUUUCUUGUUGUAAGAUAUGGGGAGGGAAGGUGACUUCUUGGAAAUCGAGUUCCAGUUGGGGGGACUCAAGAGGUUUGAGUUUAGGGUGGCUGAGCUCCCGAUUCUCGAAGAAACUAAGAAAAAAGAAUCAUUUGAGAUUAAAACUUCUGUUAUUUGGCAUGAAAUGUGAUUUGAUUGAAUUGGGGUUUUUACCCCAGUGAUGUUUAGAUUCUGUUGCAAGUGAAAAACGGGGUGUUAUGUAUUGAUAACUUGAUUAUUUAGGGAAUAGAGAGCCAAAAUUAAUCAUUUGAAACUUGUAGUACUAGAAUUUGGGAGGAAGAAAAUGCUAAUAUCUUGUGCUGGUCUUGCUAUUUUCAAUGGAAUCGGCAACAGAUUUGACAUAUGCUGUAAGUUGUGAUGAGUUGAGUUUUUCACGUCAUCAGUAAUUGAAUUAAGAAAUAUUGAAGCAGCUUUCGGUGAACAUUGAAGCAGAUUUCAUUGAGCACGAUCCUUUUGAUGUCAUAAUGAUAGCGCAUUCAUAGAGUCCGGUCAUGUUAUUUUACAACUAAAUCAGAGUAGGCUAAGAGUACGAUUUCUGUUUACAUGAGUUCGAAGUUCACUUGGGUUUACAGGCAUGUGAAGAAAAUUUGCCAGAAAUCAGGGCUAAGUGUUUGAUUGAGAUCCACAUAUUUUUCAUGCAGUUCUUGUGAAAUUUUUAAAGUUCAAAUAGUGAGAUGCAAUAAUAGUAAAGUUUAGGGGGGAUCUGGGGCAUCGUUUGCCAUAUUGAAACGUAUGUAUUACUCGCUUUAACCAUAAGAGUUCGUCAUUGUACUUCCACGAGUGUUUCGGUGGAUGAUAUCCAUCACAUUGCUCAAAACUCGAUAGAGUAAAAUGUAGACUUUGAAAUCCCAGGGCAGUGUGGAAAUUUUGAUAUCGAUAAUUAAUUUCUAAAGUUCUCAUCGGAUAUCAUGAGUGAUGCUAACUCUACUUUUUUUUCACAUACUAUAGCUCUUACUUUUUUAUUAACGCCAUCAAAAGUUGCUAACAACAUGGUGUGAAACUACACCUACACCUAUACUUAACAUAUUUGAAAUUUCAACUAUCCUUUUUCCAUUUGCAUUAUGUUUGUGGCUAUGAUGUGGUAUAGCUCUUGUUGUUGUUGCUACUUGUAGUUCUCAUUCUUUCAGAGUUUGACCGUAUACUUCCAUUUUUUGGGCUCUAUUAUGCAGCAUUCAUCCCUCUCUCUGAGUUCUCUGACCCUGGUAUUGCGAAGAAGUAUGGAGUGAAGCCCGAUGCUGAAACACUGGAUAUUCUUAACACUCUAGCCAGGCAAAAGGAGGUCUCAAAAUUCGUAUAUGCUGUCUUUUUUUUUGGGUGAAAAACGUACAAAACUUGCAUGAACUAUGGACUAUUUUGAAACGGCUACCCAACCUUUCAAAUUUUUGAUUUUACUGCCCAAUCUUUUAAUUUGUUUGAUGUCAGUCAGUCAGUUGCACUUUGACUUUAAAGUUUUAAUACAUCGUUUAUUUUUUUAGAUUUAAUUAGUAUACUUUAUACAAUUUUUGCAACUAUAAAUUCAUUAAAGUAAUUAGCUUAAAUUUGAAGUCAAAAUACCGUUGACUGACUCAAAUUAAAAAAAUUGGAAGGUUGGGUAGUAAAAUCAGAAUUUUGAAAGGUUGGGUAGUUGUUUCAAAAUGGUCCAAAUAGUUCACAUAAGUUAUAUAUGUUUUUACCCUUUUUGAACUAUAUGUUUGGUUUAUUAUAUUCCUCACAUGGAUUUGACAUUUAAGGUGGUGGUGGUUAUGAAAAUCUACUGGGGAGAUGCCCGUGAAAAGAUUUGCGAAGCUAUCAAUAACAUUCCCCUGAGCUGCAUUGUUAUGGGAAGCAGAGGGCUCGGCAAGAUAAAGAGGUAAAAUUAUAACAUAUUUGCUUCUAUACAAUCUCGAAAUACUCAACUAAAUCUAACAUUAAUUUUGAGAUUCUGGGUGUUUUAUUUUUCUUUUUUCCCUUGGUGAAAACCUAAUGACGCUCCCUGAACCUUUUCUACAUUCUGAAAUGGGUGCCUAAAUAUUUUAUAAUUUUGAUUUUGCUGCCCAACUAUGUUGUAUGUUUGAUGAAAAAACUUCUUGGGUACAAUGUAAUGGUAUUUUCAUCCUUCGGUCAGAAUAUUCUGUAACCUAAUGGAGUGUUGAAUUGCUUUUGCAAUGUAAACAGUCAAGUUCUAUCUGAACUUGACGGAAUUUUCUGACACGAAGGGAAUGAAAAGGUGAAACUAAUGAAAGAUGUAGCAAAACAAAUGCUUUUCAAAGUUCUGUUACAUAUUUCAAAAUAUACCAUAUUUCGCGUGUAGUUUGUAUAUCAUUUUUUCCUUUUUAUUUUCGAUUCAUAUGUGCUCCUUCUGUGGCUGCAGGGUUUUGUUGGGCAGCGUAAGUGAUUAUGUGGUGAACAAUGCUCCAUGUCCGGUCACUGUUGUAAAGGGCACCGAUCGCGAAGCCUAACUCAUUUUCCAAGUAUCAAGCUGAGCUUUACUCGUCGACAGGGCUUUGUUUGGCGCUCCUCUUUCCGGUAAAAUAAGAAACUUUUGAGUUCUUGAAUUAUGCUAAAUGAGUGUUCUUUUUCGUAACUUAUGCUUGUAUAUUAUGCGUGUUUUGUUGUGUAGUAUUUGCUCUGCUAUGUGAGAAACAAAUGUUAUGCUAACCGGUUGUUUAUGGUUUAAAUAAAUGGGUUAUUGUCAUAUAUCUCUCUUAGGUCCAGUUUACAUGCUUCUCUGAUUGUGAUUCUCACUAUAAUUUUAUAAGGUAAAAAUGUAUAAACAUACCUCUAUUAUUAUCUUUUUUUGGAUCCGACUACUUAACCUUGAAAUUUUUGAUUUUUCUAUUAGAUUUUUAAAUUUAUUUGAUUAGAGUCCAUUAGUGACUUUUUAACUUUAAAACUUGAAUGUGCCGUUUAUUUUUAUAGAUUUAAUUAGUAUUUUUGUGAAAUUUAUACUUUUGUAAAUUUAUUAAAAUAAGCAAGUAGCUUAAAUUUUGUAUUCGAAGAAUCAUUAAAUUAUUUAAAUCAGAUUUGAGUACAAAAAUCAAGAUUUUAAUAGGUUUUGUAGUCAAAUCAAAAUAGUAUAUGGUUUAAGUAAGCUUUAUAUAUUUAAUAAUUUUUUAAUAUUAAUGGAAGAAAGAUUGAAAGCGUUUUUAAAAUGUUUAGGCCUUGUGAAGCAUAAAUAGUCUUUAGAGCAGCUCAAUCACACCGUUUGGAUGGGGGGGAUAAGGGGAGGGAUAACCCUUACCCCCUUUUUAUAUCUAAACGCAAUUUUUUUAUCCGAAAAUGGUAGUUUUCGAGUAUCUGAAAUAAGCUGGUAUAACUAUUUUCACCAACACCUUUAUUUUCUAUAUAAAACUAUCCGUUAUUUUUUUUAUUUCAUAUUAUCUAUCCAUACGCUAUUUUUUUUAUCCCUGAAAACAAUUCAAUUUUCAUCCAAACACUAUUUUUUUUAUCCUCAUACUUGUGUCUAUUCCUGUAAUAGCUAAUUCUUAUUUAUACCCGAAUCAAACACUACCAUUAAAUGAGAAUAGUGAAGCUCUGAUAUUUUGCUAUUUAUAUUUGUGAUUGUUGUUGUGCAUCAGGAAGGAACCUCAAGGCUAUAUAAAUGCUUUUUUUUUUUUUUUUUUUUUUUUUUUUUUUUUUUUUUUNUAUCUUCUUAAUUUCAAAAGAUGGAAACUUUUAAAAGUUGAAUACCAGGCUGGCAUAUAUUAUGAUGCUUUUAUUACGAGAGAAAGUGAAAAUAAACUUCCGUGCUCCAAAAGUAGAAGCAACAACUUAAAAAGUUUCUCGAGGGUUUGUGAUUGAUAUUGUGCAUAAGGAAGAAACUUCAAGGUUUGUUUUGAAAAUAGCUUCUUUAUUUCAAAAGAUGGAAACUUUUAGAGGCUGAAUACUAGGCUCACAUAUAGUCUGCCAAAAUAAACUUUUGAACUCUAAAAGCAGAAGCUACAAUUGAAAGUUUUUUCUGCGGUUUCAGCAGCUAGAAAAUAUAGUCGAGAUUUUUAUAGAAAAGCUAGGAGUAGGGAUGUCGAUGGGUAUGGAUACCCGAAAUUUUAUCCGAAUCCGAACCCGAAUGAAACGGAUAUAUCCGAUGGAUAUGGAUAUGGAUUCGGAUAUAGAUAUCAAAAAUAGAAACCCGACGGAUAUGAAUUCAGAUAUGGAUUUUGAUUGUACCCGACGCGAACCCGAACCCGAACCCGACCCGAACCCGAAUUUAUUUUGUAUUAUAUAUAAUAUAUAUAUAAAUAUUUGAUGUUAUAUUUGAAUUUGUAUUUUAAAAAUUUAGAUUUAAUAUAAUAUAUUUUGAAAUAUUGAAAAAAAAAAUAAUUGUUUUGGGUUCAAAUUUUCGGGUUCGGGUUCGGGUUCGGGUUUUGGAUUUUUUGUCGGGUUCGGGUUUGGAUAUGGAUUUUUAAAAUCCGUCGGGUUCGGGUCUCGGGUUUGGAGUCGGGUUUGGGUUCGGGUUUUUAAAAAUCCGCCUCGAAUCCGAUCCGUUGACAUCUCUAGCUAGGAGUGAUCAAUACAUUAGUUUUUUUUUCUUUCCUGCUUUCUUUGUAAAUCUCAGGGAAUCUCAUUCUCCUUCUAAAACCCUAAUUUUUUGCAUGUGCUGUCUGCUUGUUACUAUGUUCAACAAUAUAUAAAAACAACAUUCCGCAGAACAUGUUUUAACAUUCCCGAGGACAUGUACCGGGUCUCUCCGAUCAUCGCCCUAAUAUAUUGUUGAUGAAUUGACAUUCAUUGUGGAAAAUUAUGAUUUGUUUUAUACGCACGAUUUUGAAAUACCACAUAUACUUGCCAACACAUUAAUAUAAGUAUAGAAGUAUAAUACUCUUCGGGGGGAUCAAGCGCAUUUCUCUUCUCGCAAACAUGUAGCGUGUUAGAUAUACUCUUAUGCACAAAAAUAAAAUUAUUUAAUUAGGAAUGUGUAUCAUAAUAACUUUAUAUGCAAGAAUUUUCUGACCACCUAAUCAAUGAUCAUCACUUGAUACUAAUGUAUGGGCCCCACAUAAGUGGGCCCAAGGCGGGAAAAACAAAACUCUCUAGGGCCUUGUUGUCAACCUCCCCGUCAUCAUCUUCUUCUUUGUGAGCCUUUUUUUUUUUUUAUUUCUAUGAAAAAUGGCCAAUUUACAUAAAAAAUCCACUUAUUUUGGGCUUUUGCAGAAUCGGGCCACCUUUUUCGUUUUUGCAGAUUCGGUCCGUUUUUUCAACAAACUGACCAAAAUACCCUUAUUACUUUUUCUCUUUCCUCUUUCUCUCUCCUCUUCGUUUUCUCGUUUUUUUUUUUUUUUCUUCGCCACACCAUGUCCGACUGGGUCGCCCGCUCCAUCCACCUCCGCCUCCUCCAUCCUCUCCACCGCCGUCGACCGCGCUCCGCCGUCGACUCCAGACUGCUGCUCCGCAAAUUAAUUAAAUAUUAUAAUAAUUUCUAUUAAUAUUAUCUCCAUCUCCAUCUCCAUCUCCAUCUCCAUUCCAUUUCCACAGCCCCCAAAACUUCGAUCGUCAGAGUCCGUGGGUGACUAAAGUCCUCUCCAACCCUGUAGCCCCCCGUCGCCGACCCGGACUCGACGCUCCUCUCCCCCCUCCUCAUCUAUCGCGCGCCGAUACGCGCGCAUCUCCGGUACGAAUGACUCCAGGUCUUCUUCCGCGCUGGCAGCGCGGCACCGUCCGCCCCAUCAGAGGAGUGGUUGCCGCUCAGGAGAGGCUCCCUGCGUCCCGCGCCUCGUCGCCUAGCUUCCCCGUCGCCGCGGGGAUCAUCGGAGGUUCCCCGGCGAGCCCAUGGUCGAGGUGCUCGCUCGCGCGGGAUCUGGUUCGUCGGAGGCGUGAGCGAUUGCCGCCUGGACGACGUUGACCAGCGCACCGCGAGAAGCGGCGCUAGCUCCGGCUAGAGGCCUCGGCCGGUGCGCCGCGGCGGAGCUCCACCUGCGGAGUCCGCUGAUAUCGUAAUGGUGUAAUGGUGCACGCGGGCCGUGCACAGCAGCGAGGCGGGCGGGCCACUGCUGGGGGCGCUUGCGGCUGUUUCUUCUUCGUCGUAAUGGAUGUAAUGGUUUGCCACCAUUACGACCAUUAAUGUGUAGUAAUGGGGUAUUACACCAUUAAGGGUGUGAACAUUACACGUUAAUUGUGUAAUUUCACCAUACACCAUUAAUGGUAACCAUUCACCGUUAAUGGUGUAAUUUUACCAUUACACCAUUAAUGGUGUAAUGGUGCUGCACCAUUUACACCAUUAAUGGUGAAAUCACACCAUUACACCAUUAAUGUGGUAAUGGUUGAAUAACACCAUUAACGGUGCACAACGGCCCACGGAGCGGAGCCUUGGGUGGACUCCGACAGGGGCAGCGCCGAGGCCUCUCGAAGCGGCAGCAGGCGUGGCGUGUGCGCUCGCGACAGAACGAAUCGAAGAGGAAAGAGAUAGAGAGCGAAGAAUACGGAAGAGGAUGUCAUUGUGCGGAGAGAAUGCAGCGACAGAAAUGAGGGUUGGAUGAGCAGCGGGCGACCUCCUCUCCCCCUUCUCAUGGAAGCGGGAACGAGCUCGAGCUUCGCCUUGGAUGACGGCGGAGAGUAGUGGAUCGACUGGGCGACGCUGCUGGCAACGGGUCUCCAUGCCGAACUGGAGCCGCUUCUGAAACUGGCCAGACGAACUUAGGUGAAGAUGAAUGCGGCAUGGCAAGGUGUGCCUCAGAUUGGGCGAGCGAAAAGGCGACGGCGAAGGCGUCGUCGGGCAAGCCGGGGGGAGAGCAUCUCGGGAUCUUGUCGAACGGAGGCCACGAUGUUGUCGAAGGUGAGGCGGAAGCAGCAAUCCUGGAGGUCGACUAAGGGUGAGCGGCACGGAUCGGCGGCAUGGAGAGGAUGGGGAGGAGGCCGGAGGUGGAUGGCGGGCGAACCCAGCGCGGGCAUGGCGUGGCGGAAAAUAAAAAAAAAAUAAAAAAAAAAAGAGAACGAGAGAACGAAGAGGAGAGAGAAAGAGGAAAGAGAAAAAGUAAUAAGGAUAUUUUGGUCAGUUUGCUGAAAAAACGGACCGAAUCUGCAAAAACGAAAAAGGUGGCCCGAUUCUGCAAAAGCCCAAAAUAAGUGGAUUUUUUAUGCAAAUUGGCCAUGAAAAAUACUAGAUGUACACUCCAAAAAAAAUAUAAAUUUUAUACCUUUUUAUUCUAAAAUUUAUAAUUUUUAAAAAUUAUUUAAUAUUUUAAAUAAAAGGUUGACAAGAUAAAGGCCAUAUAUUGAUCUUUGGAUAAAGAGGUGUAAGAUGUGCAGUUUACACCCCGAAACCAUUAGUUCGCAAGAUUUGGUGGGAUUUACUGUAAUACAACUCGAAUUCCGCUGUUUAAGAACAGAUUUAGCAAAAUAAUCAUUUGCCGCUACUUGUUGGUUAUAAAUAAUAUUCAUAACCCCAAUAAACUAAAGCUUUUCAAACAAUAAUACGGAGUAAAACCAAUUCGAAAUAGAAAUAUUCAUCUCUAAAUGAAUUGAUUUGAAUUCUUCUAAACUAAAAUAUGUUGGCUUAAACGAGCCAGUAUCUUAUCCCGUGGCAAGGCCUACGCGGGACGAGUCACAAUGAAAGCCUGCGGGCUCGUUACAGAAGCCGGACUGGGCCUAAUCACAAUGGAGACCUUUUGGGCGCCGUGUAUGUACAUUUUAAAUAAAUUAAUUGCAUCUUUCUAAUAGUUCGAACUUUUAAAAUUAAUGAUUAGCAUCCACGAUCUUACAAAAUCGGCUGAAUUCUAUUCAAUUUGAUGCCAAAUAGUGUGAUAAGGAAAUUAUCUGCUCCACAUGGGUAAACCAACCAAAUAGCAGCUUUGGGUAGAUUUACCUUUCUCAUUGGUUACAAAUCCGCGCAAUCCAAGACCAGAAACCCCUUUGGAUUAGCUUCAGGUUCUUGGGUCCUUUUCUCUAGUUUCCCUGCUGAUUGGGUUAAAGAAGCCCUGCUACUUCAUCCUCCUUAGAUGGUUACAUUUCGCUCCUGCGGCAUACAAUACGACAGUAAUCGCUGUUAACCUAAAAUAAAUGCUGUCUAUGGGUGUUCCCCCUUCCAUGACAAAGACUCGAAAGAUUACAACACCUGCAGGAUCAAAAUUCGGACCACACCAAUCAAUGAAAUGACAGCACAAAUGUGAUGAAACUGAAACAGCGAAUAUUACUUCGAAUAUCAGACCAUCCACAACAAGCAUUUCACCACAGUAGAAGCAAUUACAACUAAGAUCGUGCGGCAAAUUACAACUUUGCAGACACUUACUGAAACAUUUACGUCGUCAGAGGAAGACAAGGUUUCAGUUACACUCACUAACAUCACGGCACCAUUCCACUAAAUCAAAAUAUCAUUACGACGACAAAAGCAAAGAACCCUACAGAAGCAAGUAACAAUCACACCACAAUCUUCUUCACCAAAAAGGCUAAGUAGAAUAGAAAUAGAAGGGUUAUACAGCAAGCAUUUCACCACAGAAGAAGGGAUUGCAAUUAAGAUCGUGCGGCAAUUACAACUUUGCAGACACUUACUGAAACAUUAAGUCAUCAAAGGAAGACAGUUUCAGAUACACCCACUAACAUCACACACCAUUCCAGUAAAUGGGAAUAACAUUACGACGACUACCCUACACAAGCAAGUAACAAUCACACAUCGAUAUUCUUCACCGAAAGCUAAGUAGGCUAGAAACAGAAGGGUUCGCACUUCACACGGGAAUUAUAAUACUCAGUAGUUGUACUGCAACGUGUUCGCAGAAGCCGUAAUCGGCUGGACUGGGUAAGGAAGCUUCCACGGCUGAAGCAUCGGGUCGGGCAUCUCCGGGAUGUCCAUUUCCAGCCCACUGAACUCUUCCAUGAACAUAAGAACCGAAUUCACCGACUUCAGCCUCUCGGUCAAUUCCCUAAGCUGGGUCCUCAACACGGCGUUCUCCGACUCGACCUUCAUGUACUGCUCGGUGAUCAUAUUGAUCUGCAUCAAGAUCUGCGUGUUCUCGUUCUUGAGGCGUGCGGCCUGGUUCACCAGCUCGUCGAGCCGCUGCUGCUUCCUCAUCCGCGACCUCCUCGCGGACUCUCUAUUCGAGAGCAUCCUCUUCUGCUUCCUCUGAUCGACAACGACCUGCCGGUCUUCCUCCGACGACAUCUCGCGAUUCUAAUUCCCGGGUUUUUCUUCGGUGGGGGAUUUCGACGAACGGGUGGCGGGCGCGAAAAGUUAAAUAGGGUUCAGAGGAGAUCUAGUUCAUGAGAACACAUAGAACCAGUAGAGGAAGGCCACAGAGAAGGAAUGUUGGAAGCAGAUGCGGCGGAGGUGCGCUUCGGAGUACAUAAAUGCUAGAGAGGGGCUUCUUCUAAUACGAUUCGGCGCGAGAGCAUUGAUAUCAUGGAGAGGGCCCUCCAGGGCAGAAUCAACAACAAGAUCUCACAAUAAAGCACAGCAAAGAUGCGAUUUUUCGACCUGGGUUGUCUCAGAAAUUGCGGAAUCUGCUAAAAUCUCCCCCAAAGGCGAGAUUUUGGAACAGGGUUUGGGGGAUUCAGGAACAGGGGCUUUUCUACAGAGGUGGUAAAGCCCUAAAAACCCAGCAAAAUUUUGGUUUAAUUGGUCGGAAAAAUUUUAAAAAAACCUAAUUUUUGGGAUCUGGGUGUUGCUCUAAAUUAAGAAAAGUUACUACCCUACUAUGGAAAUUAACAAAAAAUAACCUAAAAUUAGAGAAAAAUAGAAAGAGUAGAGAGAGAGAGAGAGAGACUUAUCUUUUGGAGACACCACAGAGGGAGAGAGAGAGAGAGAGCCAAAAGGGGUGAGGAAGGGGCUAUUUAUAGAAGGGGAGAGGGAGGGGCAUUUUGGGAAUAAAAAAAAGGUAUCUUUAGACAAUUGAGGAGUGCACAACUACAUACACUGCACAUACAUUUUAAUUAAUUAAGAUAAUUACUUAUAUAUAUCCCUCAAAAUUUUUAAAAUUUUUUAUAUAUUCUUAUUUUUUUAAUUUCAAAUAUAUUUUUAUAUAUUUUUAAUUAUUUAAAAAUAAUCUAGCUAUUAGUAUCUGUUAAGUUAUCUUGAGUUAAAUCCGAAUUAAAUUUCUACCAGAAUUAAAAAAAUCAAAAUAACUCUUUUACCUCUAAAUUAAAAACAAAUAAGAAAAAUUCAAAAUGGUAGAAAAAUAUAUUUAAAAAAAUAAAAUAAUAAUUUCACAGAUUUACUAACAUAAUUUAAUUUUAUAAGUAUAUUUAAAAUAACUUAAAAUAUUAAAAAGCUAUUUUUAAUAUUAGUCUUUUUAAGGAUGAUAAAUAAGAAAGUUAAAAGUUGCCCCUAUUGAUUGAUUUUAUUUGUUUGUUUAUUCUUCUAGAAGGUAGGUGGAAUUAUAGAGGAAUUUUCUCUUUUUCUUUUUCUUAUUGUGUGACAAAAAUAUUUUGGGUGCAUGCACCAACCUAUUUUGGCACCAAAAAAAUGAGGCAAAAAUGAGAAUUAUAUAUGUCCUUUACUUUAAUUAUAAUUAUAAUAUAAUAAAUCAUUUUUGUUGGUAUAUGUGACAUGAGCAACACUAUCAGUACAUUAAAAUCUGGGUAUAAAUCUUCCACCCUAUUCAUACAGGGCCAAUAUUUUUGUACCAGUCUUGCCGCACUUUUAUUUUUUUAAUAUUAAACUUCUAAAGUAUUGUUUAAACUCAAGUAUCGUUUUUCAUGUAAUUUAUUAUUUAUUUUGGUGUUAUCCUCAGUCAUAUUUAUUAUUUGGUGUUAGCUGUCUCAUUGUUGAAAAGAAUACGAAAGUAAACGAUUUUAUUUAAUUCAGUCGAUAUUCUUACAAUUUUACAAUAAAUUUACUGUUUUAAAAAAUAAUUAAAUUUUUGACUGAUAAAAACAUUAAAUUUUUUUUAGGACAAAAAAGUUAAAGUGAAUUUCUGACCCAUAAAAAAAAAAAAAAAAAAGAAAACUAUAUCGAAAGCUUCAUUACCUACUACCACAAAAAUCAACUGAGAAAAUUUCAAAAAGAUGGUAAAUNUUACCUACUACCACAAAAAUCAACUGAGAAAAUUUCAAAAAGAUGGUAAAUAGCAUCUCAUUUAUAAGAAUAGUUUAAUGUGAAAAUAAAUUACAAUAAACAAUUGCCCCUUAAAAAUUAUAGGCUAGUAUAAUACUUUUUUUUUGCUACUCUAUAAUUUUCUUCUUGUUUUACUGUAGAAACCUGAUCUUAAUAUAUAGGUAGGAGUUUAAAUUGUUAUAAUUUAUAAACCACAAUAUAGCGAAGUAAUAUAUUUUAAAAACCACGUUAUAACAAAAAAAAAGUAUUAUACUAGCCUAUAAUUUUUAAGGGGCAAUUGUUUAUAUACCUCUAAAAAGUUUCCGACUUUCUGGUUUAUCCUCUUAGAAGGCUAAUAUUGAAGAUACCUUUUUUACGUUCCAAUUAGAGUUAAAAUCUGUUAAUGAACUAUGUUAUCUCUAUAAAAUUACUAUUUUGCCCUUUCAAAUAUAUUCUUCUAUCAUCACCGAUUUUUCUUAUUUGCCCUUAAGUUAGGGGCACAAAAAGUAUUUUGCUUUUUGGUCUUUUCAAAUAUACUCUUCUAUCAUCAUCAACAUUUCUUGUUUGCCCUUAAGUUAAGGACAAAUGUGGCAUUUUAAUUUUUUUAACUGUGGUAGAUAUUUAAAUCACGUUUAACCCAAGUUAACUUAAUGGGGGAUAACUGUAGGGGUAUUUUAGAAUAACGGAGGAACAUAUGAGGGGUAUAUUGGAAAGAAAAAAAAAAGUAGGGGUAAAUAAAAUAUUUCCGAAGUUUUGAGGGGCAUAUAGGCAAUUAUCCCCAUUUUUUUAAUUAGUCAUCACAUGGUUUGCCUUAUUUAUCACCUUAUUAUUUUAUUAUUUACAAGUUUUUAUAAUAAAAUAAAAAUAAAACUAUAGGAUGGUAAAAUAAAACCUUUUAAGCAAUAAUAGUAUAUGGUUGAUUAAUAUAAGAUGGGUGCAAAUUAGUGAAUUAAACCUGCAUCAUCCUUAUAAUUAACAACCGCUUUUUAUUUUAAAAGAAAAGCGCUAUUAUUUUAUUUUAUUUAACACGAUAUUAAAACAUAAAAUUUUAAGUUCAGACGUAAAGAAGUGUAUUGAAUAUAUUUAUUAAAAUUGUUUAUCUUUUAAGACUUGAGCUUUGGAAAAAUAUGGUUGGACUCUUUCGGAAAAAUUAAAAAAUAAAAUUAAAAAGCUUAUGUCAAUAGCAUACACAUCCUCUUAAUUUGUUUGGUACACUCAACCAUAUAGCUUAGCUCAUCAAAAAAUGACACAUCCAAUUAAAAAAAUUAAACCAGGUUAUGUAGAGGGUGUCAUCUUUUCUUUUUUUUUUUCAAAAAAAAAUAUUUUAACCCUUGUUUUCAAUUUUGAGCGUAACAUCACUUACUCUUUUUGUGUGUGUGUGUGUGUGUGUGUGUGUGUUUUUAGUGCUCACAACUUUUCUUUUUAUUUUAUAAGAUUUUUAUUUGUGAAAGUUCGACCGACGUUCGCUCCUGUUAUUCGAAAGAAUAAAUUAAUAUACAAUAGAUAUUAAAUAUUAAAUAAAAAAUAAAUAACUUAAAUUUUAAAAUUUUGAUUUUUUCUACAACAGCUAUUGCACUCGACCCUUAACAAUAUGUGGAUUGAGGCUUUUUUUUCUUUUAUUUACUCCAAUAUCACUAUAACAAAAACGGUUUAUAGCGACACUUUUAAAUAUCGGUACAUGUUAAAAAAAGUGCUGCUGGCUAAAUUACCGACACUUUUAAAAAGUGUUGCUAUAUGUGGGAUCGCUAGGUAUAUAGUGACAGUUAAAGAGUAUCGCUAUAACCUAAAAAGAGUGCUGCUAAUUUAUCAAUAUUUAUUUAAGCAUUUAGCAACCGCCGGAACUCUAUCUCGUUGGCUGCGGUGGCGAAGGAGGACGAGAGGAAGGGAUCUUCACCUAGAAUUUCAGUCGAUUGAUUGAGGGGAGAAUAAAAAAUGCUAAUCGAUUUUUCUUUUCUUUUUCAUUUAUGUUUGUAAUCGGGUCGAAUGGGUUGGGUUCGGUGAGUUAAGUAGAGUAACCUUUUAUUUUUGGUUGGAUUAGACUUUAUAUUUAUGCAUUAAUAAAUUUUUUUUAAAGUUUUGGCAUAAAUGAAACACUUACACAAAAGUGUUCCAAACAUGUGUCCCUAUAACCUAAUUCUGUUGUAGUGUAUUUCAAAUAGAUUUUUUUUUUUCUUUUUGUCAGAGUCAGAUUAUAUAUCACGCUCUAUACAUUUGUUAUGAAUUAUGAUAUAUAGGAUAAAAGGAUUAUAUAUGUACCUCUGAAAACUUCUGAAAUAUCGUAUAUAUUUUUAUUUUUUUGUUUUAAAUAUAUCUUUAGUAUAUUUCUCUAUUAUUCAAAAAUAACCCUACUUUUAAUACCCGUUAAGUCAUUUCGAGUUAAACCCGAAUUUUUUUCACCAUAGUUAAAAAAUAAUAAAAAUACUAUUUUACCCCUUCCUUAAGUACUGUAAACAAAAAAUGUUGUUAAUGGUAGAAAGGUAUAUUUGGAAAGAUAAAAAGUCAAAAUAUUCUUUUUUCCUAACUUAAAGGUAAAUAGGAAAAAUUAGUGACGAUAGUAGGAUAUAUUUAAAAGGACAAAUAGUAAUUGUGCAAAGAUAACAAUUGUUUCUAUACAUUCACUAACAUAAUUUAACUUUAUAGAGGUACAUUUUAAAUAACUUGAAACGUUAAAAAAAUAUUUUUAAUGUUAACCUUCUAAGAGAAGUAAAUAAAAAAUCAAAAAUUUUUCAAGGGUAUAUAAGCAAUUCCCCCUUUUUCAAAAGGCACCUUUUAAGCUAUUAAUCCCCUCUCCCAAACAAAAACUUUUACUUACAAAGCAAGUAAAUCACAAGAAUAUUCCUUAAAAACAAACAUUAUUAGGAAACUUGGUGUAAUUAAUGACCAAUUAAUAACAUGAGAAAUCUACUAAUUAAUAGCUAGAGAAAAAGUGUAUUAAAAUGGAGCAUGAUAUCACUGAUCAAUUAAUUAAGUUACUUCUCCUUUUUGUGGAGGAGGUCUCAAAGAUGACAACAUGAAAAAGUUCAAGUCAUUGUGACAUUUAGAUUAAUUAUUAUAAUAAUAAUAAUAAUAAUAAUAAUAAUAAUAAUGUCACCUAAUGGAAAUGGUGACACAUCCACAUCUAAGUGAGAGGAGGCAUAAUUAUUUAGGUCAGUUCAAGAUUGGGUGGAGAUGGGUACCCAUGAAUAAAAAGCUAAUGCUUUUGACUCUUAAUUAUUAAGUAAAUACCAAUAACAACCAUAGCUCAUGCAAGCAAUAGAUUUAUUGCUGGUACUUAUAAUUAAGAUUUGAUUGAUCUUCCAGAUAAUAUAGUAUUAAAGACACUCCUAACCCUUCUUCAUUUUCAGAGAUACUGCGUUUGAUUUUUAUUUUCGUCAUUUUAUGGAGUAUAUUUUCGUCUAUCUGCUGUCAUAUUAUAUGAGCCAUUUGAUAUCCAUCAUGCAUAUGAGCAGUGGUAUUAAAAUAAAUUUCGUGUCGUGUAAUAUGGUUUAGUUCACCACAUCAGCCAUAGACCACUCAUGGUGAUCGUAUGAGCUCCACCCUGCGCUUUUUGAACAUAAAAUCUCUUGUUAGUUAAAUUGCGUCUUUUCCAGAUUAAAAAUAAUUAGAAAAAUAUAUUCAAAUAUUUUGUAACUUUUAAUAAUUUUGACUACUCCCUAAACUUUUUUAAACUUUAUCAAAUAGUUAAUAUUUAGGCCUUUCUACUUAUUAACCCAAGUAACUACUCAAAACAUAAGCUAUUUGUUUUACAUGUAAAUUUUUAAAGCUUCAAAAACAAAUAGAAAACCUUUCUCUUCUAUUCUAAUGAAUGAAAGAAAAUAUAAUAAAACUUAGAAAUAAAUUCAUCCUAUUCUUAACCUCGAUAUUUCUUUUUUAUCUAUUAAAAAAGAAGAUAAAGAUUUUUCUUUAUAUAUAUAUAUAUAUAUAUAUGAAGAUUAUGUGUUCUCGUGAGACUAGAAUUGAGAUUGCGUUACGUGCGGUGAGAAAGUACGUUGAAAAAAUAUUCUGUUUAUUUCUGUAUGUAAUAUUGCGUUCCACAUAUCGCGAUAAGUCGGUUACGAUAUAUUUUCUGCUGUCCAACCGGAGAACGCAGAAGGAUAUCCCUAUAUGCUUUUUCUUGAACUCCAUUUUAUCUAAUAGCGUUAGAUAGACAUCAAUACCAAACUAAACCUAAGCUACCGUUUGAUUCGGGGUUAAGGAAAAACUAAUUAUUCCAGGAAUAGGUUUAAGUUCAGGGUUAAGGUGGGGUUAGAGUAUUUUUAUAUUUGGUUGGGGGUUGGAGUUAGUUCAGGAUAGUAAAAAAUAAUGUUUGGUUGGAGUAGGUGGGAUAAGAAGGAUAGUGGGUUACUAUGAAUAGAAAAUAGUGUUUGGUUGGAGUUUUGUGGAGUUAGGUGGAAUUAGCUAAUCCGGGAUAGCCCAUUUGAGGUGGGAUUAGCUAACCCCACCCAUUUUUGAGGGAGUUUGAAGAUAAUAUAGGGGUUAAGGGGUUAUUCCACCCCUUAACCCCCAACCAAACAAAGGUAAGUGUUUAACUCUGACUAUGUUAGAGGGAAAGAGAUAAUUGUACUAUUACUAAAGUUCACGAGGGUUAAGGGUAAAACGAAGACUUAAAAGGAAGAUAUAUAUAUAUAUAUAUAUAUAUAUAUAAAAUACAAGUUUAAAAAUAGGGGGGAAAAAAAAGAAGAAAUAGAAAAGAAAAUUUGUGAAAUGUUGAACAGAUGCACCAAAAGGGUGCAGAAUCUAGUGGCCACCUCUCUCUCUCUCUCUCUCUCUUUAUGGUUUUUGAUGCUUUAGUUAGGAUAAGACUUAAAAUAAGAGAGUCUAACACCAAAUUUGUUUGGUCAUGUGCAUGCUUUAUCAAAAAGCAUACAUGUUGUGUACGCAAAUCCAACAUUGAGUUAAAAAUAUUGGAUCUGCGAAUAGUCACACAUAGAAUAAUUAAUGAAAAAUAAAUACAUGGUUAAUAUAUAUAUACUAAUUAAUAGAGCUAUGUUUGAGUAAAUAUUUCAGUGUUAAACCAUAUUAAUAUUAAAAUCAUACCUUUUGUCAUGAUUUUUGAUAUUCAGAAUCGGAUUGUGGACGGUGAUUCUUCUUUGUGACUCGUUCUCAUUCACGAUCUACAAAAGAGCGGAAUAUUUUCAGUCUAUUCCCUUAUCCGCUGGUAUUUUGCUGAAGAAAUUGCUCUUCCUGAUAUGACUGAUUCGGUAAUCCCUUGGGAUGAAGCCGUCACAGAAACAAAUAUAGGAUUAGGAUUAAACCAAAACUCUCAUUAUGUUAUAAGAUCGUCUUAAAUAAAUCAUAUUGGCCACAUCCAACAUUCACAUCUUAGGCUUAUAGACCAUUUUGAUUCGACUACCUAAUUUUUUAAAAUUUUAAUUUUCAUACCUAACCUUCCAAUUUGCUUGAUUUAAAUAAUUUAAUCGCUCUUCAGAUAAAAAGUUAAGCUAAUUACCGACUUUAGUAAAUUUAUAGUUACGUAAAUUACAUAAAAUAUACUAACAAAAUCUGUAAAUUAAGAUAAACAACAUAUUUAAAUUUUAAAGUUAAAAAUCACUAAUUGGCUCAAAUCAAAUAAAUUAAAAGGUUAGAUAGUAAAUCAAAAUUUUAAAAGUUAGGUAGUAAAAUUUAAAUGAUUGAUUGUUGAGUUUAGUUUCAUAUAUUUCUAAUUUGUUUUCUUAUACUGUAAUAUCAACCAGAUUGGAUAUAUAUAUAAACAAUUAUUUUCACACCACUAACUAAAUUUGAACUGUAUAUACAUGAGUGAAUGUUCUUUUUUUUCUUUUCUUUUUCUUUUUUGUUGUUUUAACUUUUUUUUUUUUUUUCCCUAUGAAGGUUCUUUGGAAGAUAAAAUUUUUGACUAGAAGAUGAGAAGUCAAAACCCACUUCAUGGCAAUGUUUUUGUCUUCUAUCAUCCAUUCUAUGGGCAGCCUCCAUGUUAUUAGCCUCCCUUCUUGACUUUUUUCCUUCUUUCUUUUAUUNCCACUCUCUAUAGAGAUCAACUAAUCAAAUAUAUAUUUUUUCCUAUUCAAAUCUCUCUCUAUACUCUAAUCUCACAUUUCUUUUUAUUAUUAUAUAUAUACUAAUUAAUAGAGAUAUGUUUGACUAACUGUCCCUAGAGCAAGUGGCAAAGGGCUUGGUGGUUGGUACCUGAGACCCAAGUUCGAAUCCUAGUUGAUUCAUAUUUCUAGCUAAGUUUAUUUCUAAAUGAAAUAAACGAAGCGGGUAGCGUGCUACCUAUCUCUCAAAAAAAAUAGAGAUAUGUUUGAGUAAAUAUUUCACUAAACCAUAUUAAUAUUAAAAUCAUACAUUCUGUCAUGAUUUUUGAUAUUCAGAAUCAGAUUGUGGACUGCGAUUCUUCUUUGUGACUCGUUCUCAUUCACGAUCUACAAAAGAGCGGAAUAUUUUUAGUCUAUUCCCUUAUCCGCUGGUAUUUUGCUGAAGAAAUUGCUCUUUCUGAUAUGGCUGAUUCGGAAAUCCCUUGGGAUGAAGCCGUCACAGAAACAAAUAUCGGAUUAGGAUUAAACCAAAACUCCCAUUAUGUUAUAAGAUCGUCUUAAAUAAAUCAUAUUGGCGACAUCCAACAUUCACAUCUUAGGCUUAUAGACCAUUUUGAUUCGACUACCUAAUUCUUUAAAAUUUUAAUUUUCGUACCUAACCUUCCAAUUUGCUUGAUUUAAGUAAUUUAAUCGCUCUUCAGAUAAAAAGUUAAGCUAAUUACUGACUUUAGUAAAUUUAUAGUUACGUAAAUUACAUAAAAUAUACUAAUAAAAUCUGUAAAGAUAAACAACAUAUUUAAAUUUUAAAGUUAAAAAUCACUAAUUGGCUCAAAUCAAAUAAAUUAAAAGGUUAGAUAGUAAAUCAAAAUUUUAAAAGUUAGGUAGUAAAAUUUAAAUGAUUGAUUGUUGAGUUUAGUAUCAUAUAUUUCUAAUUUGUUUUCUUAUACUGUAAUAUCAACCAGAUUGGAUAUAUGUAAACAAUUAUUGUCACACCACUAAAUAAAUUUGAACUGUAUAUACAUGAGUGAAUGUUCCUUUUUUCUUUUCUUUUUCUUUUUCUUUUUUGUUGUUUAAACUUUUUUUUUUUUUCCCUAUGAAGGUGUUGGAACAAUUACCGCACAGAAAUCUGAUUGUGAUUUAAAUCUAAUUAAAUCUUAUUAUGAAAAUAAAUAAAUCAACUUACAAAUGAUCAAUAAAUCCAAAUAAAUAUUUAAUUGAUCCGGAAGCGUGCGAGGCACUGCCCUAAGGCGUAUUUCCGUCCUUACGUGCGGGAUUAACCGGAAACACCGCCCCAAGGUACGACCGGAAUUCCUCCUCCUGCGAGCACGAUCGUGAAGAAGGUUGACGGAGACUCUUUCGGCACCCGAUGACAAAGAGAUUGAUCAAAAUAGAAUCUAAAAUAAAAUUUAAAUUAUUCUUUGCAAUGUUCAUGUAUUUCCAUGAACAGCAUGCAAAGCUAAAUAUAUAUAGAGGGGUUAUAUGGUGUGACAUUGGAAUCAACCCCAACGUACAAACCUUAUUAUGCACCCUUAAUUCAUGUUUUAAUGUGAAAUAAAGGAGGAAUAAAUUAAAUUUAAUACAUUCAAUUAAUUAACUUAAUAAAUGACAAUAAAUGUAAAUAAUUAUAAAAUUAAAUGAUAUUUAGAGAUUUUGGAUUUUUUCACCAACAAUCCCCCACAAAAUUCAAAAUCACAAAAGAAGAAUUAAACAAACAAAUAAAUAAAUCAUCGGGUGUUUAUACUAUGCAAUAGGCAAGGUGUCUUUAAGAGACUUAACCCUACUUAGUGUAAAUAGUUUCCAUCAGAAGGAAUCGGAGUGAACCAGGUCUUGAACUACGUUCCUUUGUCCCUGACUUCAACUAUCACACACACAGUACAGAAUUCUCCGUUGCGGAUCUGUGCGUUAAUGGCCAUGCACAGUACCUUAAUUUUUCAUAAGAGUUUCUAUGAAUCGCCCAUAUCACAUAGCCGCGGCCACAUACGGAUACCCUUAUAUUGGUGGUUUCCUCCAGGGAUGUGUGUAGAGUCAUAUCUCGCGAAAAUUAUCGCCUUGGAUCCCAUUAAGAGCUCUCAGUUCAACCUAAUCCACUACACAGAGCACUACUCACCAUAGGAAUGGAAUUAGAGCUAAAGCUUCUCUAUAAAAUUUGUAGAAAGUGCUCUUUGGCCAACCUGACAGCUUGUUUUUACCACAUUGAACCUUCUUCAAGGGAUCUCCUAUCACAAAGGUUGGGUUCCCACUGCAGGAAGGCCCUUUAAGGGCAAGAUCCCAUCCCCCUCGAUGACAGCAGGACGAUAAUCCUCUUCAGGCCACUUGUCAAGCAAUCUGCAAGAUUCUUAUUAGAUCUGAUAAAGCUCAAAAAUAAUAUCAUGAAAGGUUAGCCAUCUAACAAAUUUUAGUCUCAAUUUAAUAUGUCUACCAACUUUAGAAUUUAUCAAAUUCUUUUCCAAGAUGAACAUUAAUAAUAAAAGAGAUAAAAAUACGAGAGCAAUCAUAAUAUCAACAUUUAUCAACAGAUAAAAGAUUGCCCCCCACAAGUUCUGCGAUAUAUCAAAACUUAAAAUCAUGAGGUUAAUCAUCUCUAAUGGGGUUUGGUUCAACAGCAAAUAGAUGGCCUAAACAAUUUUUUAAAAUUUUAUCUCAAUUAGAUCCUUUCAUUAUAAAAUACAAUGCAAGCAAUAUGCAUCAAACAAAAUGAUUACAGUAAAGUGGUGCUGUUGGUUACACGACUUUGUUCAAAGACUGUGCUUAAACAAACUGUGGGUGUCAAAUCCCAAUAUUGAAACAAUAACAAUAAUAUUUAAUAAUAAAGCUUAAAGAAAUCUAACCUCUUUUUUUUUUUUAUCAAAACAGUAAAAUAUAUAUAUNAAAAGGAUAGAGAUAUUUUUGUAAAGAGAAAAAAUUCAAAACUCACGCUUUUAUAAAAAAUUAAUAUCUUUUACUAUAUUAUUAAAAAUCACAUAUAAUGAAGAAAAUUUUAUUUCAAAGUCACCUAUAAUUAUGUUGAGAUAUUUGAGAAAUUUACGGAUAUUAUAUUGUGAAAGAAUUGGCGGUGCAGAUAUUACGCGUGAGAAGAAAAAUAUCUAUUCCUCUAUACCUAUACAUUAUUUCUCUUGGAGUUUGCCACGUGGCAAUUCCUCCUUCACCCCUCAUUUUCACUUCAAAAUUUCUAUUCUCCAAUCAUUGCUUCUCUCUAACGUUUACCUCUUCGACUUUCCGUCUCAUUAAUUUCUUCCCUGUAACGUUUGUCUCUUCAGUUUUCCGUCUCAUUAAUUUCUUUUCUGUAACGUAUGUUUCUUUGGCUUCCCAUCUCAUUAAUUUCUUCUCUGUAACGUUGCUGCUUCGACUUCCCCCUUAUUAAUUUCUAUUUUCUAAGAGGCGUUGCCCGAGAAGCCCCUGGGCACAGCAUAUGGCGUCCUCGACAACGACCUCGCCUACUACGUCCGCUCCAACCUCAAUCCCCGCAGGCGUGCCACCCUCGCCCUUGCAGUCAACGUCGAGUGAGUCGAACUCUAACCCUAGCCUUGAAUCUUCCUCCCUCGAUCUCGACUACUUAAAUCUGUAAUAUAUAGUUAUACAAAGGGUGUGUAUCCUUCUCCUCUAAUAGUCUCGGAGGACGCAAAGUAUCGAUUAAAUUAUGGACUUGCUGAAAAGGGGUUGAAGGCACUAUGGUACUUCACGAAAUUAUCCGUGUUAGUAGAAAAUGCCCUAAAUGAGGAUACAAAGUGGUCCGAUUUUUAUGUAACAAAUUUUUUUCUCCUAUAAUUCUUUUUUUAUCUUUUGUUGUUUUUCAUUGAAUUAUAAUUUUAUUUUAAAAUUUUUAAAGUAUUUUUUAUAUUAUUAAAUUUAAUCAAAUAUGAUUAUAUCCGCCGCAUCGCGCGGGUUCCUACACUAGUUUAUCUUUAUUUGGGAAUAAAUUAUUACUUAGUUAAUUAUUUGAAAUGAUUGGUUGAAAAUUUCUGGACAUAAAAAUAUUAGUAAAAAUGGAAAGAGGCAUUUUUGGNUAAUUUCUUUUUAAUAAUCAAAAGGUUUUACUGUAGCAAGAUUCAAACCAACCUCCGUACACAAGAAAUCUAAAAAAAAUACUGUAACAUUUUUUUAAGUGAUUCUAAAUAACAGUAGAAGACAAAUAAAAAAUUACAAGCAAACAAUAUGCAAUUAAAAUAUAAAUAUAUUUUCGGAUUAGCACUCGUUAGAUUUAAUCACAAUCAAAUUGGAAUUAUGCCUUAGAUUGUUGGAACAAUUACCGCACAGAAAUCUGAUUGUGAUUUAAAUCUAAUUAAAUCUUAUUAUGAAAAUAAAUAAAUCAACUUACAGAUGAUCAAUAAACCCAAAUAAAUACUUAAAUGAUCCGGAAGUGUGCGAGGCACUGCCCUAAGGCGUAUUCCCGUCCUUACGUGCGGGAUUAACCGGAAACACCGCCCCAAGGUACGAUCGGAAUCCCUCCUCCAGCGAGCACGAUCGUGAAGAAGGUUGACGGAGACUCUUUCAGCACCCGAUGACAAAGAGAUUAAUCAAAAUAGAAUCUAAAAUAAAAUUUAAAUUAUUCUUUGCAAUGUUCAUGUAUUUCCAUAAACAGCAUGCAAAGCUAAAUAUAUAUAGAGGGGUUAUAUGGUGUAACAUUGGCCCUUAAUUCAUGCUUUAAUGUGAAAUAAAGGAGGAAUAAAUUAAAUUUAAUACAUCCAAUUAAUUAACAUAAUAAAUGAUAAUAAAUAUAAAUAAUUAUAAAAUUAAAUGAUAUUUAGAGAUUUUGAAUUUUUUCACCAACAGAAGGUUCUUUGGAAGAUAAAAUUUUUGACUAGAAGAUGAGAAGUCAAAACCCACUUCAUGGCAAUGUUUUUGUCUUCUAUCAUCCAUUCUAUGGGCAGCCUCCAUGUUCUAAGCCUCCCUUCUUGACUUUUUCCUUUUUUUUUUAUAUUGCUAAAAUAAUUUUUGUUAGAUAAAAAUAUACAUAAUUUAUCUCAAUUAUCGCCCAGUUUGAUCUGAUUAUCUAUUUUUAAAAAAAUUUUAAUUUUACUGUCUAACCUUCUAAUUUAUUUAAUCUGCGUCGGUUAAUGACUCUUUAAUUUCAAAUUUUAAAUGUGUUAUCUAUAUUUAUAGAUUUAAUUAGUAUACUUUUUUGUAAUUCAUAUAAAUAUAAAUUUAAUGAAAUAAGUCAUUAGUUUAAAUUUUGUAUCGGAAGAAUCAUUAAAUGACUUAAAUCAAACAAAUUAAAAUUAAAAUUUUUAAAGAUUGAAUAGUCGAAUCUAAUGGUCUGUAUAUAACUUAGGUAAGUUGUAUAUAUUUUUACUUCUUUACUUUUGUUAGAGUAAGUUAGAUAUAACAUUUCUGUUCUGGCAAUAUCAAAACUUGCUCGACAAUAUCAAUUUAUUUUUGUAAUUCAUUAGGUUUUGGAUCGUUUUUCGCCCCCUAAUUAACUUUCAAUCUCCUUCUAAUUAUUAUUUGAAAAUCAUUAUUAUUAUAUACUAAAGUAGAACCCUUAAUCGAACCCAUGUGACAAAGCUGACACGUGCGUCUACUAGUUUGCCAUGUUCAAGCUUCACAUAUAGAUUUUUAGUUUUAGAAAUAAAAAAAUACAUUUUGAAGAAAAUAAUAUUUUUACUAUAUAGAAAAAAUCUACGUGUCAAAGCUCAAAUACUAGAUUUUCUACUUUAGGGACAUAAUUUCAAAGCUCACCCAUAAUAUACAUUGUGAGCAUUUAACUACUUUAAGGGAAUAUGACCUACUUUAGGAAAAAUAAAAUUAAAUUUUUUUAAGAAAUAAAUUUUUUUACACUAUAUUAUUAAAAAGUACCAUAUAAUGAAUGAAGGGAGAUUUUAUUUCAAAAGUCACGCUAUGAGAUAUUUGAGAAUCACCAGUUUAGCCCGCGUUCUGAUGUGAUAUUACUGUGUUAGGAAAUAACUACCGUGUCAAGCAAAAUAGAAUAUUUUUACUCUAGGAGAAAUUAAAAAGAUUUUUUAAGAAAAUAAUCAAAUUUAGGCGAACAAUAAUUAGACUUUUUUUAUAGAAAAUAAUACUUUAUGAAAACAAAAUAGAUUUUUUAAGAAAAAUAAUAUCUUUACUAAUAUAAAAUCUACCGUCCACAUCCACACACACCCAAUACACCGAUUCUUUCUACUCUAGGAAAAAUAAAUAAUUAAUUUUUAAGAAAAUAAUAUCUUUUAUAUAUGAUUCAAUAAUCACCAUAUAUGAAAAUAAUUUUAUUUUAAGUCACCUAUACAUAUUUUUGAGAUAUUGAAGAAAUCUCACGGAUAUACUGUUGCGAAAAGAAUUGGCGGUGCAGAUAAAUUACCAUGAGACAAAAUAUAUAAUCUUUAUCGGGAAUACAUUACUCCCUAAUAAUUAUUGAAUAUUAGUUAUAAUUACUGGACAUAAAAUAUUAAGUAAAAAUUACUGGACAUCAAAUAUGAGUAAAAAAGGAUAGAGACAAUUUCCUAACGUGGCUUUCUAUAUGUUUUCCCACGUGUCCAUCGAUCUAUUCUAAUUUACUAUAUUAUUCAAAUUCAAAUGAUAGGUUGGAUUAAUUAGAAAUAUUUAAGAAAUUCACGGAUAUUAACGUUGUGAAAGAAAUUGACUGGUCGCGGAUAUUACGCAACGCGUUGAAUGAAAAUAGGAUAGCAAAUGCGAGGGGUAAUAUUGUCAUAAAAAUUAACUUGACUAUUUUAUUUUCAAUCAUUAUAGAUAAGAUUUAAAGGCAAAAAAUUACAUAUCUUUUGGCUAGUAUAUUAAAAAAUCACAAAGGAGAUUUCAUUUCAAAGUCACCUAUAAUUAAUGUUGACAUUUUCAAAAAUUCACGCCGAGGAUAUUAUUGCAAAAAAAAUUGGCAAACGGUGCAGAUAUUAACGCAUCCGAGAAGAAAACAAUAUUAAAUCUUAUUUGGAGAAACAUAGAAGUUAAUACUUAUGUUAAUUAUUGAAAUGAUUGUUGAAAAUUUCUGACAUAAAAUAUUGUAAAAAAGGAUAAGAGAAUAUGUUUUGUAAAGAGAAAAAAUUCAAACUCAGGCUUUUAUAAAAAUAAUAUCUUUUUUAUCUAUAUUAUUAAAAACACAUAUAAUGAAGAAAUUUUAUUUCAAAGUCACCCUAAAUUAUGUUGAGAUAUAUUUGAAAAUUUACGGAUAUUCAUAUUGUGAAAGAAUUGGCAGGUGUGCCACCGAUAUACCGUGAGAAGAAAAAUUAUCUAUUCUCUAUAACUAUUACAUUAUUUUCUCUUGAGAGUUUGCCACGUGCAAUUCCUCUUCCUUCACUCCCUCAUUUUACUUCAAAAAUUUCUAUUCUCCAAUCAUUGGCUUCUCUCUAAACGUACCUCUUCGACUUUCCCGUCUCAUUAAUUUUUCCCGUGUAACGUUUGUCUCCUUCAGUUCCCGUCAUCAUUAAGUUCUUUCUGUUAACGUAAAUGUUCUUUGGCUUUCCCAUCUCAUUAAUUUUUCUCUGGUAAGUGGUGCUUCGACUUCCCCUUAUUAAUUUCUAUUUUUCUAAGAAGCUUGCCCGAAGAAGCCCUGGGCACAGCAUAUUGCGUCUCGACAAACCCGACCUUCCGCCUACUAACGUCCGCUCAACCUCAAUCCCAGUGCGUGCCACCUCAGCCUUGCAGUCAACAUGUCGAGUUAUAUCCGAACACUAACCUUAGCUCCCAUGAAUCUUCCUCCAUCGAUCUCGACUACUUAUAAUCUGUAAUAUAAUAGUUAAAUCAAAUGGGUGUAUCCUUCUCACUCUAAUAUGUCUGCGUAGGACGCCAAGUAUCCGUUAAAUUAUGGACUUGGCUGAAAAGGGUUUGAAGCACUAUGGAACUUCACGAACAUUAUCCGGGUAGUAGAAAAUGCCCUAAAUGGGAUACAAAGUGGUCCCGAUUUUUAUGUAACAAAUUUUUUUUCUCCUAAUAAUUUUUUUUAUCUUUUGUUGAUUUUUCAUUGAAUUAUAAUUUAUUUAAAAUUAAGUUAUUUUUAUAUUAUUAAAUUUAAAUCAAAUAAUGAGUAUAUCCCACGAUCGCGCGGGUUCUCCACUAGUGUUCUAUUGGGAAUAAAUUACUUAUUAUUAAUUAUUUUGAAUAUGAUUUGUCUGAAAAUUCCGCUGGCACAAAAAAAUAUUAGUAAAAAUGGAAAGAGGCAUUUUUGGUAAGAGAAAAAAUAUUAACAACUCCACAUCACUCCUGUAAUUUUCUUUCGCUCUUAAAUAUUGAAUGCGUUUAAAUCGAAUAUAUUAUUUCCUACUAGUCAAACUUUUCUGUAAAUUUUCAUUCAGUAAUUUUUGUCCUAACUUCCACUCCUGUAACUUCCAUCUCAUCGCCAUACAAAAUUUUUCUUUAUAUUUCUUAAAAAGCCAACAUUUAUAUGUUUUUUGAAUCUUAAAAGUAGACAUACGAAACAUAAUAUUAUGUGCUUACUCUAAUUUGGUCAAAUAUGAAAGUUUAAUUGAUACUCAUAUAUCUUUAAAUCAUACAUUCAUUGUAAUUUUUCAUAUCAUUUAAGUUAUUCAAUAGUGUCGUACAUCCGAAUAGUAAAUGAAAUUGUUUGCACAUCAAUUAUAAUAAUAGAAGCAGAUUGAAUUAUUGCAUUUUAAGUGAGAUAUUAUCUUCGCCACAUUUUUUUUCUCUAGCUGUGUACUUAAAUAUGUACUAAAAUAAAACUUGAUAUAUAUUUUUUUAUUUGUAAAAAAAUAAAAAUAAUAAAAUUUUUGUUAUCCAAUCACAUAAUAAUUUAUAUUAUCUAAGUAUUAAUAUAUGCGGCAUCGCACCGGGUGAAAACCUCAGUCUUUUUUCCUAUUUGCAAAGAGACAAUUUCAUUUUUAUGGUAUGUUUAACUUUAAAAUAUUUGAUUGUUAUUUAAUUAUGCACAUAGAAUAAAGUUUAUUCUCAAUAUUUAGAAUCCUUUCUAGGUGAAUGAUUUUUUGUUUUUUGUUUUUUUUUAUUUUUUAGAAUUUUGAAGAAAAUUUUGUAGCUAUUUCCUACUCUUAAAUUUAGAGAAUUCAUUAUAUUAUUAUGCAUAAUGUCCACGCCCCGUUACACUUCCCGCGGCACCCAGAAAAUCCCCGUUACCAAGAAUUUCUCUCUGUAUACGAAUGCGAUAGCCGUACCUUAAAUCAAACACUACUACAACAGUAGUGAGAGAGCUCUAGAGAAAACUGAAGCUAAAUAAAACAGAGUUUCAUUACAAUUCAGAUCCAAAAUAUAGAGCUUCUCACUUGGCGAGUUAAAGUCAACUAAUGUACAUACAACCGAAACAAAACAUCUACCUGCAGUAGGCCUCUACUCAGCACUCGUAGCCUCUAUCGCGAGGUAAGCUGGACCUGCUCGAAUCCUGCUCCGCAGACGUCAGCAGCCGGAACCUUGCUCUGCAAAAACAUAGUAACGAAACUGGCUGAGAAAAUAACUCUUGUCGUAAAAAAUCCAAUAGUCCUCAGGGUACCCGCCCAAAACAACAUCGAUCACCCACUAACCAUACAGAAUGGAGUCAAGGAUAGAAGAAAGGAAGCAGGACAUACUUUACCUAUUAUCUACUACACUAAUCAUGCUCUACACUAACCAAUCUGUAGGAAAUGUCAAAUCAUGACUGCCCAACCAAUGGACCUGUAAGCAAUACCCGUCCUCCGGGACUGUGAAUACCGCCCUCUGCCCCCCUUCGCACAUCAUGCUCAUCACACUCGUCCGUGGAAGCAAGUCCAACUGAGCGUGAGCGACACGCAAACGCAAAAGCACAAGCCCGACUCCAGAGUGGCCUCGUGGUGGCUACCCAACCAAGAUGGCAGCGUAUCUCUUCGAGCUCAAUCCAGCUUCCAACUAGCCAAAGUAAAUAAUUGACUCACAACUGGUCUAUCAACCACAUGUAACGUCUCCUCGCACAAUACUGACCCCAAAAAGCGAUACGGGUCCACGUCACCUGCACGGCAGCCCCAACAGUCCGAAACGACCCUGAACCGACCUGUAAAAAUCCGCCUCGGCGAACUCAGCACAAGUGUAAAUACAUUCUAAAACUACCUGGAGUACUACGUCUCGAAAAACUGCGACAGUACAAUUUCAACGGCUCUUAUGAGCUAAAUCAGGUAGUAACAUCUGGUACAGGUCAAAUCGCAGGUUUCCCUAAUUCACCUUUCCACAUCCAACCAUGUAAACUACUAAAUUAUUACCAAUGCUCCAAAAUUCAGAUAUUGCAAUCCACUAAUUAAUCCAGACUUCGAGCUAAAUAGAAUUACCAAAAAAAUUGAGUUAUCUAUACAUCUCGACGAGUUAUGAACUAUAGGGUCCAAAACCCGAUGUAUACCACCUCUCAAGGCAACUCCUUGUGCCGAAGAAGUGGCCUCGGAUGCAAAAGUGAUCCUCCUGGUCCCGUCGAAGUCGCCCGUCUCCUGCCGCUGAAGAAUUAACCCAUUUACACUUAAAAUCACGAAAUCCUGCCCAAAACAGCAGCAGAAGAAAGUGUUUAAUCCGACCAACGCGUAACCUUAUCCAAAUUCAGCAAAAAGCGGUUCCAACUGUCUCAGAGUCACGAAUCAAUGUCGCAACGGUUCCGCUGAAUUCCGACCUCCUCACGCAGAGAACCGGGGCCAAAUAUGGCCUACGACACGUCGCACGCGUGACGAUCACCGCGGAACAGCACAUCGAUCAAGAAACUCGCUAGUCCGGGCCCAAAGAGGCCCACCGUAGGUAAAACUGAGGGUCGACAGGCAAACCUGCUGCCAAAAAUCGCCGACUCGCUUUGGCGCUCACGAAUGCUGGCUCUUCGUCUCGAAGCUAUGCGCGGAAUUGCCUAGCCACCAAAUUUAGUGCCGGGUUUUCACACUUGCCUACCACCAGACAACGACUUUGAAUUACAAACAGUCCCGCGAGCCGGGUACGGAUCUUUCGAGCAAAGCCAAUCCCAUCCCCGACUAGAAGUGAUACACUAGCCUUGCGAACACAAUCCACAAAAACUGUGGCCUGAAUCACCGUCACCCUCGCGACGCGUCGUACUCGGCGCGACGCAAGAAAUGAAGACGCUCACAGUCUCCCGUCCUAUUAUGCAAAGCUCCCGGCAACCAAGCGCGCUCGAACGGCUUCGCGGCGGCGACGUCGGCCGACGAAAUCCCCACUAAACCGUAACCCAAGGCCGUGCCUAGAAGGAGAGAGAGAAGGAAGAGAAUGGUGAAAAACUAGCCUAACAACUCUCUCUUCCUCAGUCAAUCAAGCAGGUAAAUAGAGAGAGGGAAAGUGGGUGACAUGAACGAGGUGGAAUUUUACUAAUUUAGCCCUCCACCAACUCCCUUGUACCGGUACACGGGAUCCUGUACCGGUACAAGAGCCAACCCGAGAGCAGUUGAGCUGUUUCGCGCUGGUUGUACCGGUACAGCCACCAAGCUUGUACCGGUACAGUAAGCAGAAAAAAAAAACUGCUGUUUGCAGAAUUCUUCGCGAUAAGCUGCCCUCACGUCGCACGGAGUCCGUUUUACGUCUAUUUGACGUCAACGCGACUCAGACUUGUCCCGACACUCUCCAGAGCUGUCGACAAGCCUACACAGUCAAACACCAGGGAUCUCACACAUAAAUUUUAUAUUUUUAUUUUUUUUCAUUUUACCGUAAAAUUAAAUCACCCAUAACUCUACUUUUUCAAAUACCGUAAUUGACUUCACCCUCAGUGGUGCCGAAGUUAACUCUGGAGAGAAAACGACAAUCAAAUAAUAAAAAAUUAAGUGAUGCAACUUUUUUUCAUUCAUUUAUGAUGUAAAAAAAAUUAAAAGAAAAAAGUGGGAUAAUUAAAACUCCAAAACUAGGGACCUUCUAUUAAAUAAAUGGUACUGAAAAAACAUUUCACCUGAAAUUAAAUUUAACUGAAAUAUUAUUUUCAAUUUAAAAAAUCACUUAGGCCUAUUUUGGACUCUAUUGUUGUCUUCGGCCACUAAACCUAUCUAUGAUAGUAUGGGCCUGGCCGGACUCGGACUGCUAUGCCAAUUUUAUCGAGGCCCGAUCCAGCCCAGUUUAAAAUUUGAGGCCCAAGAAAAGCCGUGCCAGAAUUUUAUUUUCUUUUGUUGGUCCGGCGCUCGAGCUGGCAGUUCAGUUCGUUGUUUGCAAGUCAGUUCACACGGCUUAAAAUGAGCUCGAGAUCGAUCGGUUGCUUGAUAAACGAGCAGAAGAUGAGCUGAAUCUUUUAGCUUGAAAUCUUAACGAGACGGAUACGUGCUGGAGUUAGCUCGCUUUUGCUCGGUUUGCCGAUUUUUUUCGUAAUGUAAUUGAGGCCACAUCCAGCCCAAUUCAAGAUUUAGUUCUAAGAAAAUCCAGGCUGGUGCUAGAUUUUUAUUUUCUUUCGUUGGUCCGGCGCUCGGGCUGGCAGUUCAGUUCGUUGUUUGCAAGCCAGCUCACACAGCUCAAAAUGAGCUUGAGGUCGAUCGCUUGCUUGAUAAAGGAGAAGAAGAUGAGCUGAAUCUUUGAGCUUGAAAUCUUAACGAGACGGAUACGAGCUGGAGUUAGCUCGCUCUUGCUCGGCCUGCUGAUUUUUUCGUAAUUAAGGUCCAAUCCAGCCCAAAUCAAGAUUUGAACCCUAAGAAACGCCGGGCUGGUGCAAAAUUUUUAUUUUCUUUUGUUGGUCCAACACUCGGGGCUUGAAGUUCAGUUUGCUGUUUGCAAAUCAGGUCACAUUCGGCUCAAAAUCGAUCGCAUGUUUGAUAAACAAGUAGAAGAUGAGCUGAAUCUUUUAGCUUGAAAUCUUAAUGAGAUAAACACGAGCUGGAGUUACCUCGCCGAUUUUUUCGUAAUUGAGGCCCCAUCCAGCCCACUUCAAGAUUUGAGGCCUAAGAAAAGCCAGGCUGGUGCGAGAUUUUUAUUUUCUUUCGUUGGCCCGGCACUAGGGUUGGCAAUUCAGGUCGAUGUUUACAAGCCAGCUCGCAUUCGGCUCAAAAUGAGCUCGAGAUCGAUCGCUCGCUUCAUAAACAAGCAGAAUAUGAGCUAAAUUUUUUAGCUUUAAAUCUUAACCAGACAAACACGAGCUGUUGUUAGCUCGUUCUUGCUCGGCUUGCCAAUUUUUUCGUAAUUAAGGCCCGAUCCAACCCAAUUUAAGAUUUGAGGCCUAAGAAAAGCCGGGCUAUUCUUUCGUUGGUUCGGCACUAGGGCUGCCAAUUCAAUUCGUUGCCGGCUCACGUUCGGUUCAAAAUGAAUUCGCGAUCGAUCGCUUGUUUGAUAAAUGUGCAGAAGAUGUGCUGAAUUUUUUAGCUUGAAAUCUUAACACGAACACGAGCUAGAGCCAGCUCGCUCUUACUCAAUUCGAUAUAGCUUGAAUAUAUAUAUAUUUUUUCGAUCAAAGACAUUAAUCUUGUUGUAGAUAAUAUAAAAAAUUUUCUAUCAAAAUUUCUAUCACAGUUUCAUCUAAACUCGGAAACAAGCAGAUAUCAAUCAUUAAAAAUUAUUGAUUUGAACCCUUUCAAUAGCUAGGCAGAUGAUGUCAAAAAAUUACAAAUUCUAGAUAUUUAAAAUAUGCUAAAUCGAACCUAACGGGUCGAUCAUUGAUUCAAAAUUUUUGUUAUCAAAAAUACUUAGGAGUACGGAGGCCUCCAUACUUCUAAACGGGGAUUUAUAUUCUACUAAUAAAAUGAGGGAAUCUAUUUUUGUCCAUAAACUAAACUAUAUCUUCUACUAAUUCACUUUUUUUAUCAAUAUUUAUACUUAAAAUUAGAUAAAUAUUUCAAAAUUAAUGACUUGUUUGAGACAAAGCAUAAUUUUUGAGGGAUAUUGCAUUCAUUUGGUAAAAGAUAAAUUGCACCAUUGGCAUGUCACUAAUUUCAGAUUAAUAAGAGUUCAGGGACAAAUAAUAAAAGAAAAUGCAACUCAUACACCCAAAAAAAAAAAAAAAAAAGAGAAAUUGUAUCCGUACACUUCAAAAUGAGAUGUAGAUUUUACGCCCCUAUUUUAAAGUUCAUAAAAAUCUAAAUAAUUUUUAGUAAAAUAAAACAAAAAGUUGAUACGAUAAGUUCAGAAUUAAUGAUCCUUGAAUGGAUUGGGUGUAAGAUUUAUAUUUCACUUUGAGUAAAAAAAAUUAACCUUUUACUUAAUUUAUCUUUAGUACUCAACCUUUUUUAAUAAAAUUUUAAUUUAGUCCCUAAAACUUUCCGUAGUGUUUCACUUUAGUUCUUAUCUUGAUAAAAAGUUAUUGCUUGUAUCUAGUUCAUCUGCUCAUUCAAUAUCAUGAUUUUAUUAUUUUUUUUAUCUAUCUUAUACUUUUAACUCAGGAAUUUUAUUUUUAUACAGAAAAAAAAAAUUAAAACUUCUUAAAAUUGUCACUAAGUGCAUGGUACAUAGAUGCACAAAUUCACUGCAUGCAUGCAAUAAUUUAUUCUCUAAUAAUAAAUAUAAUAAUAAUAUAAAAUAUAGAAAAAGCUUCAAAUACCACCCUUGUAGUUUCACAUUUUUUUAUUUUGGUACUCCAUAGUUUAAAGUGUAUCACUUUCGUAUCCUGUAAUUUUAUUUUUCUUUUUUUGUUAUUUUCUCUACUAAUUUUUUUAUUAAAUCAGUGACAAUAUUAAAACUAAAGGGUAUUAAAAUGAAUAUUCGAUAAACUAUAGGUGGGAUAUCUAAAGUUUUUUGUCUGUGAUUUAACGAAAAGUUAACGAAAUACUGACAAAAAGAGAAAAAUGAAACAAUAUGGUAUUAAAUUGAUACGCUUUAAACUAUAUGGUAGUAAAAUGAAAAAGUGCGAAACUAUAAGGGUGAUAUUUGAAAUUUACCCCGAAAAAAAUGAAAAGGAUGGCUGUGUAAAUUCAUUUUCGUAAGGGUCCUAUUUGCAAAACUCCGGAGAAGAAAACUUUGCCGUUGCCGAGGCCAGAGUAGUUCGUCUUCUUCGUCCCCAUCGAGCACAGAGAGAGAGAGAGAGAGAGAGAGAGAGAGAGGGUUCCAUGGCGGCGACCGAGGCUCCCCCUCUCGACGAGAGGGCGAAGAGGACGCGCGACCUCCUCGCGAGCUUCUACAACACCGACCCCUCCGCCGCCGCCGGCGGUGGCGCCGGCGGGAGCGGAGGCGGAGGCGGAGGCGGAGGCGGAGGCGGCGCCGCCUCUACGGCGAGGGCCGCGUCGCUCGACUCCAUCAACUCCCCCUCCUUCGAUCCCGACGUGUACAUGAACCUCCUGGUAGUACGCAAAUCUGUGUCUCUUCCCUCUUCCCUUUGAUUCCGAUCGGCGUUGUUGUAGCCCUGGAUUUCGCGGAUCUAAUUGGAUCGGUGCGAGAUCUCGUAGGGUGCCCCUUCUACCUGCGCGGAGACUCAAUUUGCUAAUUGAAAUCGUUCAUUUUCUCUAAAAUUUAGCUUGUUGUGAUUAGAUUUGAGAUCAUCGAACGCGGCGAGUGUGGGGAGAUGAUUUGAUUGCUGUAAUGUGCUCAUUUGAUUUCGUUCGUGUUUAGAGAUGGAAUUUGCUUUAAUUAGUACCUGAUUGAAGGUUUUCGCAGCAUCUGAUUGUUAUGAAGUGCUCAUUUCGCGUAGUUGCGUGAACAACUUUGGGAACCAGAAGCCAAGCAUUUGAGUAGAAAAAAAAAAGGAGAAUGGAGAUUUUAGUUGUGGUGAGAAUCUGAGGUUAGCUUUUUGGCUAAAAUGCAGAAGCUGUUGUUGAAGACUCUGCUGCUAGCUACAGUAUGAAGCGUUAAGAUUAUUUAAUUGAAAAGCUAUUAACUAUAUUUUGAAUAGCUCUACUCCAACCGCACUUUUACAGGUUCUCUGGCCUGGCCAAACAGACCCUCUAAAUCUAAUCCAGCAUUAUUGUGAUUUUUCGCAAAUUGUGUUCAGAACAAAUCAUCUAUCAGUAACUAUGGUGUGCCUUUGUGCCUUAGUAACACAGAUUUCACAACACCUGUGCCUGACAUAAGAAAUCUGUAACUUCUUAUAUAAUUUGUUCUGUGUUUUUAAGAACCUGGAAAUGACGUAUCUAAUUAGUUCUUUGUGCCUUUAUAGGUUCAAAAAUCGAAUUUGGAAGGGCUUCUCCAGAAUCAUGUUCAGAUGGCAGCUGAGAUUAAGAAUCUUGACACUGACUUGCAAAUGCUCGUUUAUGAGAAUUAUAAUAAGUUCAUCAGUGCCACCGAUACCAUAAAAAGGUGAUGGUACAUGGCUUCUUUUUCUUGCCCUACUUCAUUACGAAUUUCCUGUAAUCUUGCUCUACUUUCUUCUGUCUUGGUUCCUGGGAAUCAAGCCUCAAGGUGAGAGUUAGACAUAAUUUUGUAAAUUGUCUGUAUCAACCAGGCUAAUGUGAAGAAAGACCCUCUUGCUUGACUCUGAUAAACUCCUGCAAAACCUGAUUAAUAUUAGGUUAUGUAAUUGGUAAUAGGUUGUCCACAUGUAAAGUGAUAUUAAAAACCCUACGCAUACAUAGGUUUUUUGGUGCAGUUGCCCAGGUUUUCUGGUGCAGUCUAGGACUUUCUUGUUUUUUUUUUUUUUUUUCAUGAAAUGCUGGAAUAAUGCAUUUAUCUUUCCAUGUUUAUGUGACGAAUGAAAAAAAAGUAAAGAUCUACCUUGGGCACAUAUUUUAUAGGAUGAAAAAUAAUAUCGUUGGAAUGGAAGCAAACAUGGAGCAGCUCCUCGCGAAAGUAUGCCCAUUUCUCUUUUUUCUGUUUGUUAUCUGCCAAUUGUGUUUGCCUAAGAGAGGUGUCACCUUCUUUUAAUGCUUGAAACAGAUAACAUCUGUCCAAUCGAAAAGUGAUACAGUGAAUGCAUCCUUAUAUGAGAAAAGAGAACAUAUAGAGAAAUUGCAUCGUACUCGAAAUCUUCUACGAAAAGUUCAAGUAAGUAAUCUGAACAUUCAUAAUUCUAAUAUACUCUUUUGCCUGAAAUUUGAACAAAGAAUUUGCCAAAACCAUCUAUUGUACUAUCCAUGUCUGUGAAACUAGUCAUUUCUAUCAAUCUCAAUCUUUUUGGAUAAAUUAAUGCUGUCUCCUUGUAUAUUUCUAACUCAAAAAGGUUCAGUAACCUGCAUUUUCUUUCUUGAGAAAUCUGGCAAGCUCUAAGUUCUCAUCCAGUAUGUUGUGCACUCUAAUAAGCUUCAUUGGUUAACUGCUUUAUAUGUUCAGUUAUUUUGUUGUUGUUCCAUUGCAUGUAAUACAUUACGAAGAUAAUUAAGAGUAUUAUUACUUUGUAAAAUCAUAGUUCAUUUAUGAUCUUCCCACCCGACUCAACAAAUGCAUCAAGGCAGAAGCAUAUGCAGAUGCUGUGAGGUUUUUUACAGGAGCUAAACCAAUUUUUGAGGUGAAAUUCGUUUCUUACUUUUACAAUAUUAAAUCAUCCACUAACUUUUUAUUCCUCUUGUUAUUUACUUUAUUGAUAUUUAAAUUAUGAUGGUGUUAAUCACGCUUCAUGUGUGCUAGGCGUAUGGAGAUUCAUCUUUCCAGGAUUGUAAACGAGCAUCUGAAGAGGCUAUAGAUGUAGUCAUUCAGAACCUUCAGGUAGCUCUUCAUUAUAUCAUUCUAGGCAAUUUUCACUAAUGAAUUCCAUCUACCUCUUCUUUGUUUCAUUAGUUCAUGCAAUAUUUUUGCUUGUUUAGUAUUUGUAGUUUUGUACUUAUAGUUUGCAGAAUUCCUUGUCAAGUAGUAGUUUAUUUCAGAGUAGUUUAUUUUAUUAAUCAACUCAGCUGAUCUUCUUGACCUACAUCAAAUAUUUGUUUUGUUAAAACUGUAAAUGUACCAAGGCAUCUAUCUCAUGCCUCAAGCAUAUGAAAGAACAAAAAGAAAAUGUUGAACCUAAAAUUUUAUCAUCAACCAAGUGCAGCUUAAAUACUUCUCCUUAUUAUUCUUCAUGCGCAAUCAAGGAAAUAAAUGAAAAAAAUUUGGAAGAUUGUGACACUCCUAGAAUUUGGAAUAGUACUAGAUAUAAAGAUAUAAUAGGAUUAAACCUCUUAACCCUGCUAUAGCAUUUUGGGCCGUGACUAGAGCCGAGAAGUUUCGAGGGUUAAGCGUACUAGGGCUAUAGUAUUCUAGGAUGAGUGCCCCCUUGGAAAGUAGGGCAUCAUAGUUGGUAUUAGAGCCAAUCACCAGCCGGAAGUAUGAGAUGAGUUUCGGCCGAGUCAGGGAAUGAAUGGCAGGCUAUACGAUGGUCUGAAUGACAAAACUAGCGAGAUAAGUUUCACAUCGCCUGAUGCUUGUGUGCUCGAACCUGACGAGAAUGUUUUUUUUUUUUUUGAGAGAGAGAGAAAGGUAGCAUGCUACCCGCUUCGUUUAUUUCUUUUUUAGAAAUAAACUUAGCUGAAAAUGUGAAGCAACUAGGCUUCGAACUUGGGUCCUCGGGUACGAACCACCAAGCCCUUUGCCACUUGCGCUAGGGACGGUCGGUAGCUGAUGAGAAUGUUAGGAUUGAAAAGUGAGGGAGUUUAUGAUUCCCUAAGGCUUAAGAAUAGUGCUACAUCGAGUAGUUAUAGUUAGGUGUGGGGGUAUAUAAGCCUGAAUAGGCUAGAUUCAAUAACUGGGUUUAAGUAUUUUGGGCUAGUGGAUUGGGCCUAAUUGGGUCUAGAAUACCCAAUUAAUUGAGCCGCGGGCUCGUUGAUAGGUGACAGCCUGGGAAGCUAGUCGUGACAGUUGCCCAAGAUAAAGUGAAUAUUCUUGAAAAAGAUUACAAAUCUAUUAUUAUCUUUGUCAAGGCGAAGAUAUGACGGUCCCUUUCUUUCAUAAUUUGUUCCUUUAGGUUUAUUUCAUGAUCACAAUCUUCUUUGUUUCACUUUUGGCAACAUUUGCGAUUGCCAUUCGCCUUGACACUUUUUUUCUUGAUUUUCAUUUUUCUAAUAUCCUACCUUAUUGUCCCAGGUGCUGAAGUUCACAGUGAUGUUGCAAUUUGGCAGCUAAUCACAUGCGAAACAUUAUGUUGCCAUGUAGUGGCAGCUUGUUAAAUAUAUAAAGAAUUGCUAGAUGAGAAGGCCAAGCCCAUCACAUUGUAUUGUUUCAUAGAAACUAAAUACUUAUCCAUGAUCUUCUUGCUAUUGAUGCGGGACAAAUUAGGAAAAUCCUAAUCUAUCUUGCAAGUGAUGAGUAGAAUUUUCAGAAAUUUUGGAGUAAUUUUCAGAUUUAUUUACAAAAAUUAAGAAAAUUAAGAGAUAAUUGAAGGAAAUAGCUGAUAAAUAGGAAAAAGUCAGAAAAUUUGUAGAAUUGUUUUAGAAAAUUGGAAAAGCAAAUUUAGAAGAAGAAUAAGAGAGAAAUAGAGGAAAGAAGAAGAUGAGGAAAGAAAGAAAGAUAGAAUCUUUUUAGAAAUAAGAAAUUUGCCGGCGCACACGACAAGGAAAGAGAGAGGAAGAAAAAGAAGAUAUUAUGACCGCAAUCUAAACACAAAACCCAAAUUUUAUUCCAUCAUAACUCCUCUCUAAAUUACAAAGUAUAGGCUAUAUUUAUUACCUUCAAAGUAUAAUCCUAAUCUAAAACAAAUCCCACGAUUUUAGGGAUCAUUUCCUAAUUCGAAAAUAUCUAAAAAAAGCCUAAACCACAUACCUAUCUUUAGAGAUUUAUUUCACAUGAUAAAUCCUAAAAAUCUUUGAAAAAAUGACUAAAACAGAUUAACAAAGAGAAUAAUUCCGCAAAGUAGAAAAAAAAUAAAAUAUACCUAAUCUUUAGAGAUUUAUUUCACAUGAUAAAUCCUAAAAUUUUUUGAAAAAAUGACUAAAAUAAAUUAACAAACAGAAUAAUUCUGAAAAUUAGAAAAAAAAAUAAAAUCUAAAUGACUUAACAACCCUAAUUAAAAAAUUGACUCAAAUAAAUAAAAGAUGACUCGACCGAACCCUCUUUGAAUAUGGUUCCGCAUAGCUAUUGUUCCCUUCCAAGAGAUUAUAAUGAAUUUCUACCCAUGGUUGCCAAGAUUUUCAGUCUCAGCUAGGUUAUGUUUGUGUCACUCUGUCGAACAUAUUUCAAUUGCAACUAAACAAAACACCAUAUAUCUUUUAUCAUUUCUUAUAUGAGGUAGAAAUUCUUAUUAUUGCACUGCACAUAUUGAGCAAAAUUUACUCAACGCUCACUUAAAAUAGAACAGUAUAUGACUAUAUGUUCUUUCAUCAUUGACUUUUUGCUGCAUGACUAGUUUAUUUUCUUCUUAUUUCAGGCAAAAUUGUACUCAGAUUCUGAACCUAUUGAAGCAAGGGCUGAAGCUGUUGUACUUCUUAAACAGCUGAACUUCCCUGUUGGUAGUUUAACCUUUCUUCUCAAUUGGUUCCUUUAACUUGUUUAGUUUGUGUUAUUUCUCAUGACCUUUUUAAUUAGCCAAAUGAGUGAAAUUUCAUAAGAGCUGUUUCCUCAUAGCUUAAGUAGUGUGUUUAUUUCAACUUGGUCUUUUGAACUUGAGUAAAAUUUUUGGAAUGAAUAUAUUGAAAUUGUAAGUAAUGAAUGUUAUAGUUGUCCAAGAGUUCACGAAAAGUAUGAGCAAUUCUUUUAUGAUGGUUACAUUAGGUGACAUGACUGUCCAGCUUCAUGGUACCUCAGCCAACCCCACCACUAUAGUGUUUUAUUUUUUUAACCGUGAAGAGUAAUAUUAUCUUUUUGAUGGCAUGUUGUUGUCUCCUCAUUUUAUUUCUUCAGGAACUUAAAUUGUAGAUAAAAUUGUUAUCAGAAAGAUCAGAUUGCUUGGGUAAAUAUUGAUAGUUCAUUUAAUCGAAUUGGUGCUUGAUUUGGUGUAACUUAGAAACGAGCAAGAGAAAGUGGUCUGAUGUACCUUAUGGUGAUUUACAUCUCCAAAGGCUUAACUAGACUGUCUCCAAGUUCUGAAAGAAGUGUCUAGAUCCUUACUGUUGUCAGUUUCUUUUUUCUGGAAAGAACUUCAAAUUUAAUUUGCAAUUGACCUUUUAAAAGUCAUGAUGCUUAAGGGUUCACAAUGCAAUCUUGUUGCAUGUGUUUGUCAUAGAAAAGUAGCUUCUCCAGUGAUGGGAUAAGAUUGUAAAAAAGAAGAACUGCCUGUGUAUCUGCUUUUUUGUGUCUCUUCUUUGAACUUCUUUUACUCUGUUUAUGUUUAUUAGGUGCAAACGACUUCAAAAGUGAAUUUAUUACUCAUGAUGCUUAGAUCCAAAAUUUUCACAUUAAGAAUGAAGUUUAUAGUCCAUAAUAGACGCUAAAUAGUAAUUAAAAGGUUUUUUUUCGCAAAAUUUAUUCCUUUCACAUAUGAACUAAUUACUACAGGCCACCAUAGAUAUCUCCAAACCUAUAUAUUUGUUUAGUCUAAAGCUUUAUGACUGGAAUUGCCAAAACUGAUCUGAGUUUGCUCAAACUACCACGUGUAAACUAAGAGUCUCCACCACAGCUUACCACUGAAAUUAAAACUUGGAGCAUUGAUCUAAUAGUUGUGCUCUUUUUCACAUUUAGUAUUCUUUAUUUGCUAUUACUGCAUCCUGUACUUAGCAUAAUGAACAAAUUUUUGUUUGCUGUUUUUUGAUGUUUGAUAUUUUUUUUAUAUCUUGGCAGGUAGAAAAUCUAAAGACAAACUUACUUGAGAAGCUUGAGGACUGUCUCUUGAAAUUCAAGGAUGAAUCUAAAGAGGUAAGAGGUUUCAGGAUCAAUUUAGGGAGAACCAUUUAGAAUUAAGAACCUAUGAACUUAUUAAUAUCUUUCUGCAUUAACUGGAUGCUAUCUUUUGAAAUUUGUGCAUUUAAUAAUUUUCUUGGCCUACUGUAACUUUCCGGUUCUAAAGGCUUCUGUCAAGGUCAAAGAAAUUUAGUUCUUUUCCUCCAUUUGGAGUAUGCAGCAUAAUUAUUUUUCCCCCCUUUCACUGAAGCUGUUCACUUGUGAUGUAAUUGACAUAAUUAAGGAAUGUUUACCUUCUGAUACUUCAAUUCAGAAAUAAAUUGCGCCGCCUCCUGAAGAUCGCCUGGAUUUUCUUUGAUAGAAUUACUUGAACUUUGUAAAUAAUACUUAUCAAUGAAACAUGUACUUAACUGUUUUCUGAUUUUCUUAAUAGAUUAUCUUGCUAUUUGUUUAUUUCCUCAUAUGUAGGCUUCCAUUGGUGAUAUAUCAAAGACAUUCCGUGCCUAUCUUAUAAUAUUUCCUGAUUCAGAACAACGACUCAUUGAACUUGCACAGGCUUUGUUUUCCAAGUAAGGCAUUUCUUAUUUCACACAUCAUACUAACGUCCCUAUUCACUUCUAUGGAACUUCAUGUUCUGAUGAUCAUUGUGUUUGAAGGCGUUAUGAAUCAGUACGACAGCAAAUAAAUAAAAAACUGCCAUCAGCGGAUCUACUGGCAAUGCUGCGUAAGUUUUUGCCUGUAAUUAAAUCUGUACUGUUUGCUGUUUGUCUAUCUUUUGGUGAAAAUAUGUUUGGAGAAUGGAAAUGCAAACAGAAAUCUCUAACGUAUCCUACUGCUUCUUAACUUGUGAUUAUUUACUCUCCUUGUGCUCCGCUAUUAUCUUUUUGUUUUAAUCUCCCAUAUCAAAAUCAGUUAAAUUACUCUAUAUAUGGUAUACAAUAUACUAUACAAAUUUUCCCUUUAAUGUCAUGACUAGACCAUUAUGCUUUUUAAUUUUGAAUUAGCCUUUUCUGGAAUGAAUUUAUUAGGCUAAUGAUUUAUAUUUAUUGUUCAUUUCAUUACCACUAUUGUUGAUUCACAAGAUUAUCAUAAAAACGUUUUGUCUUCUUGGAAAUGGCAGUUGUCAAUAUUUUCUUUAGUGGAAGAUCAUAACUUGCCAUUUUCAUUAGGAAGAUUCCCUUCCAAGUGUAGUGAUUAGUGCUGCUUGUUAUAAGUCUUAUAUUAUCGGUGCACAGGAGUGAUUUGGGAAGACAUAAGUACUGUUGAUGAAGUUCUUCCAGAGGCUGCUCUUCCUGCCUUCUCUUUAGAGGUUUUCACUUGCACCUUUUAUGCUUUAAAUUUAUUAUGAAAUUGAUAAUUUCAAGAUUAUAGUAUUACACAUAUUGUCAUUCUCCUUUUUUCCCCCUGAAACUACCUCUUACACAUUCAAGUGUUAGAAUAUGUUUGAUUUCUCUUGCAACAUCUGCAUUAAUCAUGUCACCAUUUGUCAACGUUCUCUUCAAAUCUGACAAUCAUUUUAUACUCAAUGACUUGCUAUCAGGGAAAAGUUUUGGAGUCUUUUAAAUAUUAGGUAAUCUGUAUCUUUCAGAAUGAUGUUAGUUUUAACAUUUUCAGUAGUAAGCAUUUUCCGAAGGGCUUAUAGAACAGAAAGAAUUGGACCUUAGAAGCAGAGCUUCUGUAUAGUAUGCUUGUUGUCAUUGCAAUAGUUGUGAGCUAAAUUUGCAUGGUGCUAUGUAUGUCGACUGUUCUCUCAGGUUAGUCUCAAAGACCUAAAUGGGUAAGGAUGAGCUGGGUUUUUCUUUCGGGGGCUUUUCGGGUUGGCAAAGCCCCUUUGCUACCUAUUGCAUAGUACUUCAUAUAGUUUCUUACAAAUGAUUUACUAAUGCAGAUUUUCUUUGUUUCAUUUUUACCUUUCUUAAUGAAAGGUAGCUUUCAUCAUUGAAUUGUUAUCAUCUAACUUUUUCAUUUAU